CUUUUAUGACGAUUUGCGGCAAUGUACUUGGAAAUUUGUGAUUUUGUUGCUGUUUUUGUCCAUCUAGUGAGUUGUUGUGUUGACAAAUUAGUAGUUAACUCCGUUAUGCUAGUAGUUAUUUCUAGGAGUUCUUGUACCAAAGAUGCGUUUUUUUUUUUGGGCUAAUUUGGAGGAGAAGUCGUUGAGAGUAGAGGUUUUCAGUUUGUAGCAAGAAAUUGAUUAUCUUUUUGAUAACAGUGAGGAAAAUAAAACUUGUUAGUGGUGGUUUGAUACUGAACAGUGUGUGGGCCUAUAGGAUUUGACAACGUUAUUAGAAUUCUUUCUUAUUGAGAUGAAGUGUAGGGUGACGAUUAUCCCAAACAGUGAUGGGGCAACUGGGGAAGAUUUUAGAGUUCUCUUUAAGGCGCCAAAAUGACAAACUUUACCUGAUUUUAGUUGUGAAUUUUAGUUUCAGCAUGGCUGCGGUAGGCAGCUGGAGAUAGUUUAGAUGCAAAGGGACUGAGGCAACUGCUUGUGAAAUACUUUUACUGUUUUUGUUUCAUGUAAUUUUCAUAGCAAUGGCUGUAGCCCUGGUAGUCUUAGUAAAGAAUUAUAGUACCAGCAACCUUGUAUAGCGAUAUUGCAUUAUCAAAACUGGCUGGAGAUUGUAUACUUGGGAAUAGCAGUCACUGGGGAGUUGUAAUUCUUUUUUUGCCUUAUCUCUUUUGGCUUUCAUUUAAAGCUUAAAGGUUGUUGUGAGCUGGGGGUAUCCCAUUUGUAGAUAGUUGCUGCUGAAUUUUGCAGGAUUGGAUUGUUGCCACCUCACUUCAAUAUGCGAUUGUUCAUGGUUAAGCCAUGAGAUGAUCUUGGCGGUGGCAUAUACUUUUUCGGUUAGUUGAAAGGGCUGCAAUGUUUUUAAUAACCAUUUCAAGAAAAAAUUUGGUAAAAGUUGCUGUAUGGUCAGAAGACAUUAUUUUUCAAUCUGGACAUGAGUCAGAUCUGGCAAAGUUCUACUUGAAAUGUAAUUGAUCUUCAUUGUGGUAUUUGUUCCAGCAGCAAUCUUUAAUCUAUUUCCUUGCUGGGUGACAUAACACAGCCCAUCUCUUAUACUAUAGAGAAUCUGCACUCCAAAUUAAAUUGAAUGGCCCACUCAUUAGGAAGAUUACAACUAUAUGGGUAUUCCCUCUCUUUUAGAUUUCUGGCGGGUGUUGGAUAUAUCAUAUAUGUAAAGAAUCUAACCAAAGAAAGGGAGAGGGAAGAAAUUACUAAAAUGUACUGCAGUUCCUAUAAGAAAAAUACUUUAUUAAUAAUAGAAUUUGGUACUAAAUUCUGAACUUCUUAAAGGGCAAUGCUGUGUUGCAGGAUUGACAUUCUCUUCAAUUUUUUUUUAGAUAUAGUUGAACAUUCAAAGCUUGGCAUGGUCAAUAUGGUGAAAAGCAUGCAUGGGUCCUUUCACAAUAGAAAUUUCUGUUCUAAUUGAUUUGCUGGAGUGAUAGCUCAAGCAAGGAUUGCAAAUAUCAGAAAACUCCAACAAGAAGAAAUAGGAAUACCUUUGCACUACUGUAGUUUCAGCUAAGUGAUUCCAUAAUACAUUCAGUCUAAUAUUCUUAAAGAAUGGAAAGCCAAGAUCACAGACAAGUCCAUACCACUGAUAAUGAACCAGUAAACAUUGGUUAUUAUUGCGUAAUUUUGCAGUUGAUACGAUACACACUCCACUGAUGCAUUAUUGAGAGAUAUAGAUGUUCUCAGCCUAAUAACUUUAGACAAUUGUUGUUAGCCUUUUUGAUUAUUAUGUCUCAUCAACAGAUUUUUUUUCCCUUUCUUCUUCUUGAACUUGAAUGAGGCUAAACUAUACCUUACACCAUGAAAAGACUUGUAAAAAAGAAUAGAAGGGUGUGGUGAAGGAGUUUGCCCAUGGUGGAAUAGAUGAGUUUGUGACAUUUCAUUUACUUUUAAUGCUUAAAAUCUAUAAGGUCAUACAUAUCAUCUCUAUUUUACUGUGUCACACACAAAGAUGAGAGAAGAGGUUAUUGACCUGGAACAAUAGUUUUUAAUCAUUUUUGUCCAACCCUAGUAGCUGUCGAGAAAAUCAACUAAGUCUGUACAUACUAGAGAAAAUCAACUUCCUGUUGAGGAAGUUGAAUAUAAGUUGUUGGGCAGUAAUGGUUGUGUUGGAAGUCAAAUCAUCUAACCUGCUAUAAGCUUUUGAUGACUUGUUUGCAGAAACAACAAAUGGAGAAUUUUUAUGACUGGUGAGAAAGGAAAUUCAAAGUAGGAAAAUCAUACUUUGUUUUUGUUCAUAGAAAAACUGUAGCAAAUUAUAACAGAGAAAUUCAGAACAAAUUAUAACACAUUGCCAGGUAGGCAUGAGUUAUAUGAUUUUUUUUCUGUCAAUUUGCCUUAUCUAGUUCUCUAUAAUUGGAAAUUUAGGCUAUAAUGGAAAUAUCUAUUUCUUGCAAUCUUUGCUUAUUUUCCUUUCAGCAAAGAAUUUUACUUUUUCUGUGGUUGCAAAAGAAUAAAAUAGUUUAGAUCUGCUUUACAAUGUAGACCAUAUUUGGAGCUUGGCAGAAGGAAAAAUAUAAUUAGCUCUCUCCUUUGCAAUAUCAACUUUACCAAUUGGAGUUUUAGUAUGCAUUCAGCUGGAGUUCGACUUGGCAAGACCUGUUAAUAUUAAGCCAGUAAUUUAUGGCAUGCAUUGAUGUGGACUAGUACAGACAUUCUAGUUUGUAAUAUUUUGGAAUUCUGGUUUUUUCUCUUUGUUGGCAUUCAAAACAGCAUUAAAGACUCUAAGCUAAUGCUAGUGUCUGUUACUGCAGUUGAGGAAGUAAUAUACCUUCUGUCAGGCUUGGAAUUUAGUUAAUGAAGUGCAUGUUUGAAACAAUUAUUGGCCUAUCUGUGAUGUUCUAAAAUCUUGCAUUUCUGAUUGUGUUGUUUCAGCUUGAAUAUGUUGUUGGCUUCUGCUAAUAUUCUAGUACUUUCUGUUGGCAAUCUACAUAAACAUUUUUGAGCAGCAUGUGAGAGAGGAUUACAUGGAGCUUAGACAAGAAGCCGUUGAUCUUCAAGAGUACUCAAAUGCAAAAAUGGAUCGCUUGAUGCGAUAUCUAGGUGUACUUGCUGAUAAAACUCGUAAACUAGGUAAAUGGUUAUUCAUAGGCUUUGGCAGCUCUUGUUUCAUCUGAUUGCAUAUUUUCUACAUCAGAGCUGUAGCUUAUCCAUUCUUGUUUGCCUGCAUAUCUUCGUGGGUGAUUUGGUUUCUUAAUCAUGAAUUAUUUUCAGAUCAGGCUGCGGUUGAAAUGGAAGCUAGAAUGUCUCCGCUGAUAUAUGAGAAGAAAAAAUUGUUUAAUGACUUAUUGACGGCUAAAGGUAGGAUUUUGAGUGGCCUCUGGACUCCUUUUGUCACUGACGCCUAUGCACAAAAUCAGGGGAAGAUGGGAGAAAAUGAUAAAUACAGAGAGAGUGGCACAAACAUGCACACGCGUGCACAAACAAUUUCGUCCCCUGUGGGUACAUAUGAACAACAAAAAAAGCGAAAAAUGGGAAAAAGACAGAAAAUGAGAGAAGUGUUUUACUAAAUUGAUGUGAGAUUUGGGCUGGAUGUACUGUUUCAGGAAGCAUUAAGGUAUUUUGUCGUGCAAGACUCCUUUUUGAGAUAGAGAUAGACAGGCAAACAGAGAGAGAGAGAGAGAGAGAGAGAUGUCAUUAUUCACAAACAAUUCAUUCCCUGUGGGCACACAUGCACAAAAAAUGGGAACAAGAAAUAUAAUAGGACGAAUAUUUUACUAAAUUGAUGUGAGAUUUAGGCUGGAUGUACUGUUUCAGGAAGCAUUAAGGUAUAUUGUCGUGCAAGACCACUUUUUGAAGAUGAAGGUCCAUCAGUUGUUGAGUUUCCGGAUGACUGUACUGUUCGUGUCAAUACUGGUGAUGAUAACGUCUCCAAUCCAAAGAAGGAUUUUGAGUUUGACAGGGUUUAUGGUCCUCAUGUUGCACAAGGUAGUGGACCUUAUUACUAGCUUUUAUUUGUUUUCGUCUAACACUCUGGAAUGUUAAGUCACUGUGAUGUUCCUUUCUGCAGCUGAACUUUUCGCUGAUGUUCAGCCAUUUGUGCAGUCGGCAUUUGAUGGGUAUAAUGUUUCUAUAUUUGCUUAUGGACAAACGCAGUCAGGAAAGACACAUACUAUGGUCUCUCUCUCUCUCUCUCUCUCUGUGUAGGGUAUUGCAGUUAUGUCUCACCCUGUGUUUUUUUUUUAAAUCUCGGGUUAACGGGUUCUUCAUCCAUACAUGGUACACAUCAUCAUUAAAUUGCUUUGACUUGUAAAUAAUUCUAUAAGGACACUUUCUUGAUUAAGCAUACUGUUGUAUGCUUAUGUUGAACAAACAUGACCGCAUAAAGAUGUUUGUAACCUGAUGUUUUUGUGCUGAAAAGCACUACCUGGGGGGUUAAUACUAUGAUGAACUGCUUUCUGAUUGCAAGGUCUUGUCCGCAGGAAGGAUCUAGCCAUGAUCGUGGCCUAUAUGCUCGAUGCUUUGAGGAGCUGUUUGAUUUAUCCAACUCAGAUACAACUUCUACCUCAAAAUUUAAUUUCUCUCUCACGGCUUUUGGGCUUUUCAAUGAACAGGUUCCUUGACCAUUCUGGAUUGCUUAUUUUAAAUAUUGACUUCUAUUUAGCAAUACUUGACAUUCAGUAACCAUUAUUCUGUAGAUUAGAGAUUUGCUUUUGGAAUCUCAGAGUGGUCUUCCAAAGAUCCAGAUGGGCUCCACAGAUUAUGUUGCUGAACUUGUGCAGGAAAAAGUUGAGAAUCCAAUUGAUUUCACCCGAGUCCUCAAAGUGGCAUUGCAGAACCGAGGAACCGAUGUAUUAAAGUUUAACGUCUCUCAUCUGUAUGGUCUAGCUUCAAAUUUGUGAUAGUUCUAUUUCCCUACCAAUGCAUGCUCCUUUUAUGGCUUGAUUUUUUUACUCACCAUGGUCUUCCCCUUGCUACCCUUUUUUUGGAAAAAGAAAAAAAAAUCAAAGAUCCUCUUGAAUGAUUUGUUAAAAGCCAUCAAUUCUCUUUUGGCAUAAAUUAUGGAAAUCCUGGAACGAUUAGUGACCAAUGAUUAAAUUUGCACUUUAAGACGCUUUUGCUAUUGAAGGAACAGCACAAAAUUGAUACAUUGGGUAUUGUUGCUUGAUUUCUAUGUAAUUCUUGACAUCUGGUAGUUAGGGCAGGUCUAGGAGCCAAAACUCUCCACUUGUAAGUGGCUAGGGGUAUGGGGGUGGUUGUUGGUCUCUGCAUCAGGGCUGAUUUUCCUCAUUUUAUCUGUAUGUAGAAAUAUUUAACAUUUAAGUUGUACAAGUAACGGUUUCACUCUAUUUGUUGCAUGUUUGUGUUAAUAUAUGCUUGCUCGUUAUUUUAUGUUGUUUUUCAUUUUGAGUUAAAAGUUUUUCAGUUCAAAUUUGGCAUUAGAUCUUCAGAAUUUUUUUUUUUAUAUUUGACUCACAUUUGGAAAUAUUAAAUAAUCAUAUCAAAUAUUCAAAACUGUGAUGGUAUCUAGCAACCAAAACUCAGGGGUUGUUGUCAACUCUGAGUGCUUUUUUUUUUCCCUUUGGGAGGGGGGGUUGUCUAAGUGGUGUCACGCACUUUACUAGUAGGGAAAGGGAUUCAAGAAGGCUCCCUGCCCAUUAUCAUCCCUUCUGAUGAGUAAUUGGUCAGCAGCAAUAACGUGUUACUCAACCAGGAUUUGUUUAUUUCUCCACUUAGACAGUACUUUUGGAAUAUGGUAUGUUAGGGUCCAAUUUCCUUCUACUGAUAAUCCUGAGGUAUUUUGAACAUUUUUCUUGAUGUGUUGACUAAAUCAUUCCCUUUUUGCUUCUUAAGUAAUGAUUAAGUGUAGCACUCUUUGACUGGCCUGAAGAAACUUCUUGGACUUACAAAAAGCUGUCUUUCGAUCCUUAUGCAAUUUUGUUGCUGUAUUUGAUGUAUGAAUUACGUGGGGCUUCAGGAAACAUCUAUGUUCAGUUGUAUUCUACUGUCUAGCUUUCUCUUGAGAAUUCUCAUUUCCUUCCUCAGGGUCAUCACUGUGCAUAUAUAUUAUGACAACUUGAUUACGGGUGAGAACUUAUAUAGCAAGCUUUCUCUUGUUGAUUUGGCUGGAAGUGCAAGUUCCAAUGUUGAAGAUGAUAGUGGAGAACGUGUGACAGACCUGCUGCAUGCCAUGAAAUCACUCUCCGCGUAUGUACUUCGUAUAUUUAGUUGCCUUGUUUUCAGCAUAACCUCAUUGUUUCAAUUCUCCCUUGUGAAAGAACAUCUAACGUGCAACCUUGCUGCUUAUCAACUCUGCCAUGUAUGGAUCAAACUAAAAUCAAUGUUUUACAUUAUACUUUCAAAAUUUUGAUGUCCUAAACUAAUUCCUGCAUUCACUAUCUUUAGUUGUAACUAGCUCCUUCUCUCCUUGUUGUUGUUUGUAUGUUGUCUGGUGAACAAGUACACAUUUCAUGGUAACUUAAUUCUUAGGUUGAGUUCUUUUCUGUGUCUGCAUGUAUUGUUGGUCACUGGGUUAGGCAGGACUCUUGAUAACUGGUGAUUGUUCUGUUUGGUGCUUGAGAUAACAAAGACUGUUGUUAGUUAGCGUAUGUAUUAUUUCUUACAGAGCAGAGGGUUUAUUGGUUGUUACCAUAAACUUAUUUUUUCUAGGAAAACUGACGCAUUUCAGCUUUUCUUAUGCUUGUCCUUGUUUGUGCAGUUUGGGAGAUGUUUUGGCUUCUUUAACAUCCAAUAAGGAAACAGUUCCUUAUGGAAAUUCAGUGCUCACAAAAUUACUUGCAGAUUCACUAGGUAUUUUUUCUCUUUUGUAUAAUACAUUUGCUUGUAGCAAAGUCCUUAUUUGGCACAACUGAUAAGCCUGGGCUGGUAAACAGCUGUUCUAGUUGAAUUUGGCAGGGUAUAGAUUGCAUCUCAGAAAAAGUAAGCAGAAUACAAUCUAUUCACUUAUGAGCAAAAUGAAUGUUGUAUUUGGAUAACCUCCAUGCCAAUUCAAAACAACUAGCUUCUGACUUUACCAAUGGCAAAUGGUAAUCUCUGUUGCCCACUUCUGCCAUCUCCAUUGACCUCUGCCACCAACCCCUAAUUUUGAUUUCCACUCCAGAAAAGGUCCAUGAGGAGAAACUUACUCCAAAAGGCGUAUCCGAAAGCAAGCAUUCUCUUCAUAAUUCAUAUCAUUCAAUUAGAAUUCUUUACAGGCAUAUAGGGUUCCUGCUGGAGACUAGAAGACACCAAUUCUGAGAACUGUUUAAUGACAACCUCAUAAAUGCCACACAACCUGCCUAAGCAUACUUGGAGAACAUAACUGCCCCCCAAAUUGCAUAACUUUUUGAAAUCUCAUCAAACACUUUGCUGGACUGUCUAAAUUUCUGAAAGUUAUUCAGAAGCAUUGCCUAGGUGGAAGAGAUGGGUAAACCAAUAGUAUUCAUACAAGUCAAUCAGAGAGAUGGAGGGAGAAAGGGAGGAUCUUGAAAGAUAUUCCUUGAUCUUGAAAGAUAUUCCUUUAUCUUGAAUCAUACAGGAAACAUAAACUUGGACGGGAAUUAACAUGGUAUACUGUGAUAUAACACUUGGAUACUCCUGGGACACAGUAUUGAGGUCAAGGAUUAUUGUCUGCUGUCAAACUGUUGAAUAAGAUAUGAUGAUGACGAUUUGUAAAAGGCAUGAAUGUUGUAGACGUGUUUUUUCACUACCAUGGGGCUGGUAAUUAUCACAUAUAUAUACAUGAAUGAGUAGCACACCAAACCGCUUGCCAUUCUGGAGCCUUCAAAAAGGAAUAGUAUUAAGAGGCUCAUCUUAGGUGUAGAGGUUGUAGGACACUUAUCAGAAGUACAAAUAUAGGCAGGAAACAGGAAGAGCUCAUGAAGCAGAAAAUGACAUCUAAAGGUAUAUCUGAAGUGUGUAUAUGGAAAAACAUUUCAGAAUGAAUGGAAGAUUUGAUCCAAGUGCUUUUGGGACUUCUACCAUGACAAGCAUUUAAGUGUCACUCCAGUGAUUGUUUCAGAGUCAAGUAGAGCCUUUUGAGCAAAAAUUGCACAAAAUUGCCUAAGUUUGUACCACAUCAUAGCGGAUAAAAUAAUCUGGAGAGUAUCUUUUAAUCAUUGUUGUGGAACUAAUUUGGUGAAGAAUUCUCACUGCAUGACAAAAUUGCCUGAUGGAUUUGAAUAUAUAUUAUCAAUAUUUUCUACUUUCUCUUUCUCAUGAUGGUUCUUCCUGGUUGUCCACAAGAGAACCAACAUCACUAUAAAGACACCUUUUUGUUUCUUUAACUUUUUUCCACCGAUGUGUCUUGCACAUCUUAAUUAUUCUGCUAAUAUUUGAUAACCUUCUGAGUUACUCGACAAUAUGUAUAUCCAACAUUUUGUUUGUGACUUUUUUUAUUGGUAAUUAAUAAUAAUUUAGAUACUUUGCACAAUUGUACAUUAUAGUUAGCACUUUUGUUUACUGGGCUGCAACAAUGAGUUUUUAUCUGUCUGCCCAUGAAAUAUCAAUGUUAGACCAGCUCUAACUUAUGUUAUGCUGACAAUCUAGGUGGAAGCUCGAAAAGCUUGGUAAUUGUUAACGUCUCUCCAAAUGCUGCAAAUUUGACUGAGACACUAUCAUCCCUUAACUUUGCUGCCAGAGCCCGAAACUCUAUUCUCAGCCUGGGAAAUCGAGAUACGAUUAAGAAAUGGAGGGAUAUUGUAAGACAUCUUCAAAUAUUCUUUUGUUUUCUGAACUGACAAAGUGUUGCUUUUUAACAUUGCUUUAACCGUUUGUUAGUCAUCUUUGAAGAUGGGAGAGGUAGAGAAUGGGAAGGCCUGUAGUUAGAUUUUCAUCUGGUAACCCAACGGGGGAGGGGAGAAAGGGAAAAGGGAAAACCUUUCAUGAUACAAAGACAAGUUUGAUCACUCCAUGCCUAAACACAAGCAUGACCAUACCAUGAUCUAAUAGUUGUGGUUUGUACAAGAACUGGUAUCAGGAUCACGAUAAUCCAUAUUUAUACAGUUUCUUCUUCUGAUCAAUGUGCAUGCAGGCAAAUGAUGCACGUAAAGAAUUGUAUGAAAAAGAGACGGAGAUCAGCUACUUGAAGCAAGAUGUUUUGGGACUUAAACAAGCUCUAAAACAUGCAAAUGAUCAGUGCGUCCUUCUUUUUAAUGAAGUUCAGAAAGCUUGGAAAGUUUCUUUUACACUUCAAUCUGAUUUAAAGGUUCGUUCUCAUGCUUCCCCACAUUUCUCCAUUCUCUAUUUAAGACUUCUCAUUGCCAUUUAGCAAUAACUUUGGCUUAUUGUACAAAAUGAGCUAUUUAUAACUUUCUCCUUUUGGUGACUACUAUCUGUAAAAGUGAAAGCACAUAAAGGGACUGGUUGGAAGUUUGUGGUUUGUUUUGAUGCAAUCAAACUUAUUAGGAAGAGCUAAAUAACUUGGUAGGCGGAAAUUGCAUUUCCAUGGCAAGGUGUUUUUGGUUUUUUGUCCUUAGCAAAAGCUCGUGUAACUCAAACACCAAAAUACAACAUGAAAUCUUUUUCUUGCCAAAAGUCCUCAAUCCUGUACACACUCUCAGAAACCGUAUUUGGAAGAGUAUUCAACCUGUUGAGAAAUCAUAAAAAAUGUCAAAUGCUAAAAUGUGCAGUUUAUCUCUUCAAAUGUUAGCAUCAUUGCUGUUAGCAUGUCUUAUAGAGCUUCUCAUCAACCUGAUCUUUGAGGAACUCAAGUGUUUUUUACUUGUAUAGUUGGUGGAAUAUUUGGUUUUUGGAAAAUUUUGGCUCACAUAGAAGGCUUUUAUUCCUGCCAGUAGCAUAUUGCUAGAGCUUUUUAAAACAAUAUGGAGAUUUAGUUGUCAGAUGUCCAUAGCUCUCUUAUUUCAUAUUCCUUACUGAAGAUAAUCAUUUUCUUUUUCAAUAUCAUCACACAACUGAGAUGUACCAUUUCAUUAGGGAUUAAGCCUGCUUUGCAUCAAUACUGUGUCACUUUUAAAACUAAACCAAUUUCUUGCUAUUUGCCUCUUAAAGUGUACUUGCUUCCAAGUUGACCUGAUUCAUAAGAUUUCUUGUAUUUGGAUUAAUUGCUACACUUGAUUGUAGAACUCAUUCUAGGGAGAGACUUAUAUGUGGAAAGUGUGAUGGACUAAAUUUGAUAUUUUUGUACAGUUUUUUGGUUCAUUUUGAAUGAUUUGUCCCACUUGAUCUAAGUGGAUAUCGUAUGUGCUGGUGUUAUGCUGUCACUGAUCAGGAUUCAUGGUCAGUGCAACAAAGAUGCAGAGGAAUUAGUCCAAGUUAAUCUUUUCUUCUUUUUUUUCCAAAGAAUAGGACCCAAAAAAAACAGUGCCACCUAUAUUCAGUUUUUUGUCUUUUUUUUGGUAAGCUUCCUUUUUUUCCAUUGAUCAGCAAUAAAGAGUAUACCCAGAAGGGGGAGUACCCCAAUCAAUACAUCUAGUUCUUACCGGGAAUACAAUAACAAACCCAAACAUAUACAGUACCUACCUAGCUAACUGGAAAACAUUAAAGUGAAUCCCAAGUGCAGUACACAAGUCCACAUUUGGCUGUAUCCUUGCUACACGAUUCCAUCUGGCUGCUAUACCUCUAAUAUCAGCAAGCACCUCAUGAAACACAUGCUCAGUAAGAACAAGCACAUCCCUGAAUACCUUUUUAUUCCUCCACGUCAACAAAUGAUAGACUGUUGCUGCAAGUGCAGUAACACAAAACAAAAAGAGUUUGCUGAGCAAUGCUGCAUGAACUAUGCUAACUCUUCUCUCCAAUGAGCUGCAAUCCUAUAAAGCAAACAGCUUUUUUGAACACAUUCCCAUACUGCAUAAAUAUCGACAUAGAAAAAUAAAUGAUCUGUAUUUUCAGGAGCAGACCCACACAAAACACACCUAACAUCCACUUCAAUACCCCAAGAGAGAAGUCUAUCCUUUAUGUUUAUUCUUCUUUUACAUGUCAACCAUAGAAUAAAGGAGAGCCUAGGCACAUGCUUUUCCCCCACACCAAACUAAACCAAGGGACAGCAGGACCAAGAGGAUCAAGAGUUUUUUUUUCUUUUUUGGAAAUUUUUUUGCUCAUAUGGACGGCUAUUAUUCCUGUCAGUUGCAUAUCGCCAGAGCUUUUUAAACAAGAUGGAGAUUUACCACUCAUUUGGUCACUACUAAGGAAUGACAAUGACAAUCAUUAUGGAAGACACCCUCAAUUACAAUGGGUUUGUGAAGAUUCCUUUUGAUGGAAUCUUGUGUUUGGUGGCAAUGAUUUUUUGCAUAAGAAAAGGAAAUUAUUGUCCUUUUCUUUCUUUUUCUUCAUCUCCAGCCCAUUUGACCACCACCAUUUUUUUUCUCUGUUUUUGCUUCUUGCAUGCUGCUGACCGAUCUCCCAAUCUUUGUUGUUCAUUUUCCUGUUCUUGUUCCUUUUCUGUCUUCUUCUUUCCUUGUUUUUUGUGGUCCUCUUCAUCCCUUUGCCCUUGCCACCUCCGCCUCUCCGACCUCUCAUUGUCUUCAACACUGCUAGAUACAAUGAUCUCUGGUAUUACACAACAAUCCAACAAACUUUAAAUUCAAAAUUGUUACUAAAAAAUAAAAAAAUCUCAUCAGACCAAAACUUCUUCUGAGAGAGAAAAGGGGGAGAAAUUGUAUGGUAUAGAGAGGGAGAAAGAAGGCAGGAGAGAGAGAUUAGGAUGAAACAAAAGGGGGGAGGCAAGAUAGGAGAAGUUGGAGAUUAGAUGCUGCUGUUCGUCCUCUUCCUUCCCUAUUUUUUAGUUUGUUUUUGUUUUUAUCUUGAUUGUUAAUGGGAGUGAAAGUGCCCAAAUAAGUGGAUAAUGAGUAUUGGGUAAUGAAAGACCUAAAGUGGGUAAUGAAAAAACCCAUAGCGGUGUACCAAACACCAUCAAUGCCAAUCAUUACCCUCUCAUUCCCAUUGAAAGGUGCUAAACCCCCCAACCAAAUGGGUGGUUAGUCGUCAGAUGUCCAUGGCUGUCUUAUUUCAUAUUCCUUAUUGAAGAUAAUAACUUUCUUCUUCAAUGUCAUGUCACAAAUAAGAUGUACUGUUUAAGUAGGAAUUAGUCCUGCUUUGUGUCAAUACUUAUGCCACUUUUAAAACUUAGCGCCCUAAUUGCUGCUAUUUGCCUCUCGAAUUAUACUAGGUUCCAAGUUGACCCGAUUCAUAAGAUUUCUUGUAUUUGGAUAAAAUUGCUACACCUGAUUGUAUAACUCAUUCUGGGGAGACUUAGAUGUGAAAUAUGCAAUGGUAAAAUGACUAAGUUCAAGACUCUUGUUCAGUUUUUUGGUUCAUUUUGAAUGAUUUGUCUUGAUCAAAGUGGAUAUGAUAUAUGCUGGUGAUAUGUUGUUAUGAAUCAGGAUUUAUGGCCAGUGCAACAAAAUUGCAGAGGAAUCAGUCCAAGUUAAUACUUUCCUUUUUUCAAAGAAUAUGACAAACAGAAAAAUGCCACCUUUUACUCCCCAGGGGGGUGGGGGUUCUGGCAGGGAGCCUUACCUGUUCUUAACAAAUCGAAUGAGAAGUUACAAGGUGGGGACGAAGGGCCUAACCUCCUAAAAUAUGCUCCAAUUUUAACAUAGUAACAACCAUUGCCUUCGCCUAAUUGGUCCGUUGAACUCCUUUGGGAGCUGCAGAUAUCUUUAAAAACUACUGUUUGCUCAAAACUGUGAACCAGUUCUUCAAGAAAAUCAGCUGCUGUUCUAGCUUUCUGAAAUGUUUAUGCAACACGUCCUAAUUGAUCUUGCAAUAUAAAAGAAUGAUCUUGAUUCACUCAUGUUUAUCCUAAUAAAACAGGAAAGGUAGUCAUGUAAUCUGUUGCAUUAUGUUAACUCAUAUUCAUAUAGAGUUUACAUUUAUGGGCAUAGGAGAUUUGUAUCUGUUACAAUAAUUUAACAUCUGGUCGGAAACUGGUUAGGGUUGGCCAUGGGAGAUUUGUAUCUGUUACAAUAAUUUAACACCCGCUAGGAAAGUGGUUAAGGUUGGCCAUGGGAUGGUGCUCUUCUUCUUUUGUUCUAAAUACAAUGACUUCUUAGAAGUUUAUGAUUUCCUUUUCCAAUGUGAUGUUUUCAGCCUGUUAAUUCUGUUGAAAUGACCGAUAUGAGUUCAUUUAGUGGUGUGGGAAGUAUCUUUCUUAAUUAUGUACUUUUUAAGUUCCAUUAUGAACUAUUCUUACUAGCUUUUUUUUUUUUGUUCCAUGCCAAAAAAUUCUUUCACUGAACUGCUUCAUUUUUCCUAUUUCUUGCAGUCAGAGAAUAUUAUGCUUGCUGAUAAGCACAGAAUAGAGAAAGAGCAAAAUACCCAGCUUAGGAAUCAAGUUUCUCCUUAAAUUUGUUUCAAUAUGAACUUUGUGUGCGAACAUAGGGAAGUUAAAUACAAAAUGUAGUUCCAUGGCUAAAUACUUCUGAGCUGUGUGCUAGUCAAAAUGUCCAAAAUGGUCUAGCAUAUUGAAACUUUAUAUUGGCUAACAGAUAGCCAUCAAUGUAGGACCUGUCUGCUGCUCUAGCUCUUAGGAAAGAGAUGCCUCCAAAACGGGGAAAAGUGGAAGUAUGCUGAAUGUUGAGUGAUGGUGAAAAGAAAAAUACAGAAAUAGGUAAUAGUGAGAUGCAUGGUUAAUAGAAAGCUACAGAAGUCUAGGUUAAUACUGAGAUGCAAAAGAAUAAAUAUGAGAAAUUGAGUUUGAGUGUCAUAGAAUGUAUUCUGGAAGUUUGAAUUUUGUCUCCUUGUGCUGUUAUUGACACGAUUUAUUUAUUGCCUCUGGACAUUUGACACAAUUUGGUUUAUACUUAUUUCUUGUUUCGAAUGAGUGAUCCUCUUUCUUGUUGAAAUCACGUCACCUGCAUAUUGGUUAAAUUCUCUGGUUUUGCAGAGGUUGCAUGAAGAAAAUGAGAGACUUUUUGACAGAUUGACUGAAAAAUCGACUUCAGCUGGUUCACUGCAGGUACUGAUUCAUCUUGCAAUUUAAGUUGAAUUUUCCAUCCUUUAAUUUGUUAUUUUGGGGGUGGACUUCUAUGACUGAAUUUUUUUAGCUUGAAUUCCUGCUUCUUGAUACCGAGAUGGAUUUUUGUAGUCAUUGGCUGAUCAUCAAACUAGCUGUUAUUAAUUUAUGUUAGUUUUGAGCUUUAAAUGGGACAGCUAUUUUGAAUGGCUGAAUGCUGCCCCUUUCAGAAAUGGAAGUAAUCUUAGCUGCCUGACAUGCUAUAUCCUAUUCACUGAAAAAUAUUUGGACCUCUGGACAUCUAGUGUUUGCUACUCUUGACGCCAGAAAAUCUUACCUCACCUCAUUGUCCAUCUUUGUUAGGUUUCAAGCCCAUCCCCUGGAGGACAAGAGGUUACAUCUCGUGACAUGGCAAGGUACUUGUCUGAAACUGGUUUUCAGAGUUAUUAUGUAAUUGACUAAGCAUUUUUUGUAACUAAGCUUGUUGAUUCUUGUCAUUUUAAAAAUUUUAACUUUUCCUAAAUUUUCCUGCAGAAAUGAUAAUAAUAAUGUUAAAGGGCGAUCUGUAGCUGUUCCUUCACCUUUGGCCUCAGAUAAGACUGAAGGCACAGUUGCUUUGGUUAAAUCAGGUGUUGAGAAAGUAAAGACCACGCCAGCUGGUGAAUAUCUUACUUCUGCUUUGAACGAUUUUGAUCCUGAACAGUAUGACAGUCUAGCUGCAAUUUCAGAUGGCGCAAAUAAACUUUUGAUGCUGGUAAGAUACAAAUCAUUUUGCCAUGACUGCUGUCUGAAGUGGACUAUGGAGUUGGAGGAUCUUUUACAUUCAAGAUGAUUACUUAAUUGUCAUUGUUGUGAUUACUUUCUAUUGAUUCAAAACCAGUCAGGCAAUUGUAUUGUUCCGGCAGCUAUCUUUUGGGUGUUGUAAAAUGUGUUAUUAAUCCUAACAAAAAUGCUAAAACCUGGGCAAGCAUUUUUAGUAAAAAGAAGAAAGUAUUUGAUAUGCAGUGUUGUUGAUAUGUGACUAUAAUAAGUUUUAAAUCAAGUAUCUUACUAAAUACUCAACCAAUCAUUCCUGGGCCUAUUGGGUCUAAAUACAGAAGGAUGCCUCAGAGAAUGCAUUACUAUUAAGUUAUAAUAGGAGAGGAGGCAAAUCAUGAAUUUUGUUUAAAUUCUUUGGUUCUGCUGGCUUGGAAUGAGUUGUGUUAAGAGAAGCCUUGUUCGAGAUUGUUGGGACGAUGCAGAAAAAAUGGGAAGUUGCUGGAAGGGUGUCCUGUAUCUGGUCUCUUGCUGUGUUCAUCUUCAUACACUCUUGUCUGUCUCUGUAGCUUUUGUUGAAUGCUUAUGAAAGGAGUAUAACAUUGUUUUGCUUUGUGGUCAUGAAUACAAAUUAUUUUUCUAUGAGCAUGCCUGUGACUUGAAAGAUGUGUGUAUUCCCCUGCUUCGUUAGGUUUAGUGUUUAGACACUUCACUAUUUCUGUGUCUUUGCACAUCUGAGGCGCUUGAUGCUGGUCGUCAACAUUUAGUAGUGUGCCUUAGCUUUGGAUUGGCUAUGAUAAGCUAUCAAGUUAAAAGUUUUUAUCUGUUAGCUGAAUUGAGAAGUAUAAUAUUAACCAUGCAGAUGCUGAAGCUGAUAUUGUUGCGACUUUAUAUGCAUUCUUUGAGCGUGAAUUAGAACUGAGUGCAUUGAGAAGCUUUUUGAUGCAUUGAUUGCUCCUUGAUUCUCUUUUUGGAUAUCUUAUUGCAUGUUUUCCUUUCUGAACCCAAUCUUGAUGAUGCAACUCAGUUAUUGUAAUUAUUGUACUGUGGUUUAACUCUCCCAUGAUGUUGAAAACUUUCCUCGGGUUAGUUAUAAUUUGCUGAAUUGUUGUUUGUUUCCAGUAUUUUUCUUUAUCUGCGCUAAUGACUAUACGUUCAACAUUGCAGGUUUUGGCUGCUGUCAUUAAAGCUGGCGCUUCUAGGGAGCAUGAAAUACUGGCAGAAAUACGAGAUGCUGUUUUUGGUUUUAUUCGUAAAAUGGAGCCAAAAAGGGUGAUGGACACCAUGCUGGUUUCUCGGGUUAGAAUUCUGUAUAUCAGAUCUCUGCUUGCUAGGUCACCUGAGCUGCAGUCUAUCAAGGUAUUCAAGAAUUUUGCCUUCACCUUUCAGAAUUCUUACACAAAUGUGCUAGAAUCUGCAUUUUUUUUGAAGGUUUUUCCUGUCUAAUUGUACCAAACUGGUGUUAGGUUCCACCAGUUGAGCGAUUUCUGGAGAAAGCAAAUAGUGGAAGAAGCAGAAGUUCUAGUCGUGGUAGCAGCCCUGGAAGAUCUCCCGUCCGAUAUGAUUCUGGUUCGAGGAAUGCUCUUGUAGAGGAUCAAAUUCAAGGGUUUAAAGUAAAUAUUAAGCCAGAAAAGAAGUCAAAAUUGUCAUCAGUAGUUUUGAAGAUACGCGGUAUUGAUCAGGUGAAUACUAUCUGUUUUUUUUUUGGGUGUUUCUGCUUUUUACUUUGUUCUUAAUUAUGAUCAAUUUUGAUUCCAACUUUUAGUUUUCCUUGUCCAGAAGGGGUAGUAGGAUGUCGGGUUUGGCCUGUAAGUUAUACAGCAUAAUGGUGCCAUUAUGCAUAAAACCUAUGCCUGUGUUUGGGUAGGAGAUUAUUUUGAAAAAAUUAUUUGGAAUAACAGUGUAGCACUUUUUGUGAUGUGAUGUAUGUGAGGUAAAAAGGUGUUUGGAAAUUGUGUUUAUGAUGCAAGCUACAUAACACUUGAAUUAUUUUUUUUUUUGGCAAAUUAUGCUAGCCAAACGGAUGAUUGUGUUGGGUGAAUUGUGACCUUGCACGAUGGUGUCGGGUGAGCAACAGCCGCUUCGUUACAGUACUUACUUAUGGGCUAACAGGUCACACUUUGGCCAAGUAUCCUACAAAGAGACUCCCAAGAGCCAGAAGUAUUAAAGGAAUGGCCAUAGGAAUGGGCGCAUCAUGACAUCAUAAGAUGUCUCGCCUGAAUGAAUUAGUUGGUACUAGAAAUGUUAGAAAAAGUGAAUGAAAAGAGUAAUAAGAAGUAAAAGGGACAGAGACACUUCCCAACCAGAAAGCAAAGUUCCCACUGAUGGUAUACUUUUAUGUGAGGUAAAAAGGUGUUUGUAAAUUGUGUAUAUGAUGCAAGCUGCAUAACACUUGAAUGAUUAUUAUUUUUUUUUGGCAAAUUAUGCUAACCAAACGGAUCCAGUGUGAAUGCUUUGUUAACAUGAUGUAUACUUGGUUUAUGUUUCCACUAGAUCUGACAAUUUUAGUUGGUGUAAGUUCAAAUCAGAAUUCCAUCUGGCACUGUUAUACAUCCUCUUCUUUUGAUUUUGGUAAUGGUGCUUGGCAAUCUUGUCAACUCUGUCUUGCUUUUCUUUUCUAAUUGGAACUGUCAUUGCCAAUUAACCUGUUGGCUUGGUGAAAUGAUGCAUAAACACCUACAGAUACCAAUUGCACAUCCCUUGGGACAUGGUGUGUCGAUAUCUCUUCUCGUGGAAUAGGUGAUAUGCUUCCUGACCAUUGGUGGCCAAAUCUGCCAUCAAGUAGGACCCACAUGAUUAAUUUUGCCAUCAUUUAUUAUACUUUGUAGGCAUUAAAGGCCUCAUCAAAAGGUUAUACUGUCUUUGCUACUGUCCAUAAAUUGCUAAUAAAUAGAAAUUUGGUGCUGCAACUGAUAACAAGACAUCAUAGAGCUAACCUCUCUUACAAAGAUAAAUAUAAUCCUGAUUUCCAUCAAAUGGGGGCUCUAAAGGUUGUUCUCCCGGUGCACCUUUUACAUAGGCUAUGCAUUCUUUAUGCUAUUUAAUUGUUAUGUUUUUGCUUAUGAACACAUUUCAGAUUCAGCUAUUUGCUUAUGAUCCAUGGGCUUGAUUGACAUAAUUGUGCAGGAAACAUGGAGACAACAUGUAACUGGUGGAAAGCUGAGAGAAAUAACUGAAGAAGCCAAAAGUUUUGCUGUUGGAAAUAGGGCUCUUGCAGCGCUUUUUGUUCAUACUCCAGCUGGUGAGUUACAGCGUCAGAUCCGGAAUUGGCUAGCUGAAAACUUUGAUUUUCUCUCUGUGACUGAUGAUACGGUUGGAGGAGCAACUGGUCAGCUAGAGCUUCUUUCUACUGCAAUAAUGGAUGGUUGGAUGGCUGGACUUGGUGCUGCUCAACCUCCUAGUACUGAUGCUCUGGGGCAGCUCUUAUCUGAGUAUGCAAAACGAGUUUAUAAUUCUCAACUGCAGCAUUUGAAGGUGUGUAUUGAGCAAUUUUCUUUGUGUCAAGUCUAUUACCACUAGUUGCUUGCAUUCGAACUCAUGAGAGUUAUGGUUACUCUUAUGAUUCACCGCUAAUUUGUAUCAUCCCUGCACUUUCUUUUGGUUUUUGAGAGUUAUGAUUACUCUUAUGAUCCACUGCUAAUUUGUAUAAUCCCUGCACUUUCUUUUGGUUUUCCUCCCCAUUUCUGAAGUACUUUUCAGAAUCCCAAUGACAAAUUAAUGGACUAAAAGCGAUGACCUAACUGCAUGAGUAAUUUUCCAUUUCCAUUAGUUCUUCUCGCCAUAUAAGUUUGUGACUUGCAUGAGCAAAUGCUCUUUUCAAAGUUACCAGUUCUGUGCCAUGGACAAAGCUGGAUUAUGUUUUUACCACUAUUCUGCCUAUGGUAGCCAACCAAUCUCUUGGUCAGCUCAGCUGUGUCAGUUCCAUUCCUUGGCUUGUAAAAUUUUUCCAUCAUAGUCUAUGAUGAGAAAUUUCCUGUUUUCUCUUGUGGAUGCACCUUUUAAUGGGGUUGCUGCUGUUGAUUGGCAGCUAAGAGUGUUGUUGUUGUUUUUUUUUUUUUGUUAAUAAAUUCCAGUAGAGCAGAAUAAGACCAUGUUGCAUCUCUUCUAAAAUAUUCUUGGUACUUGCUUAUGUAACUUUGAUCCUUGCCAGGAUAUUGCUGGUACCUUGGCAACUGAAAUAGCAGAGGACUCUGCUCAAGUAGCUAAAUUGCGAUCAGCCCUAGAGUCCGUUGAUCACAAGAGAAGAAAGGUAGCAGAAAUUCAAGUUCUGUAAUAUAUAUAUAUAUAAAACCUUACUGAACUACUUAGCUAGUGUUCAGUGAUUAGAAGCAUUUGUUUAUCAAUAAAUUUUGAGAGUAAAAGUUGUACUUAUCCCAUUAAUUUUCGGCUAGAUCUAUACCAAUUUUGACUAUUUUAUGGCAAUUUCGAAGGUGAGUUAACAGAAGGUGGGUCUGUAUUUAAAAAUGACAAUUUCUGGGGAAAAUCUUAUAGAAAAUUAAAAAUUCUGAGGUUUUUUUUUCCUUAUUUUUUCUCCUAUUGCAAAUAAGUAGAUAAACUCUAAAGUCAAUUUCUAAAAUCUAUGGCACCUCUGCAGACUGCAGUUCAUUGUCAAGUUUAUACAAAUCUUAACUGGCUCGUAGUUGUAAAGGAUGCUAAUAAUCUUCCCAAUCACAAUUUUGGCUGAAUUUACAAGCUAUAUGUAAUUGUCCUGUGUUACAGUGCUUAAUUUUCAGUUCCUAAGAACCUAAUUGCUCAAAAGUGAUGUUUCUGAAACUUAUUUUUCUUGUUCAUAUCAUGGGUAGUAUAGUCAUUUCAUUAUUGUUUAUGGUAUCUUCAUUUCAUAUUCUUGUUUUUUCCCGCAUAUAAUCAGUUAGCCAUAGAUUUUAUCCUGCAGAUUGUUUACUGCACUAAAAGAGUUAGGCCCAUCUAAUGCAAUGUUUUGAAUUUGUAGGAUAUUGAGGUUUUACAGUCUCUGGUUCUGAUAUAAAUUGUGCUAGUAUAAUGUUAUUUCAUUUCCAAAUUACGUGAACAUUGUUGGAAAAGAGGGAAAUUUAAAUUGAAAAAUUGAUAGCUUUUAUGUCCCAAGCACCACCUGUUGAGGAAAUGUGGAAGUGUUAGGCCCAUUUCAGAGUGCAAUGUUUUGUUGAAGAGAAUAUAGAAAUUCAUGGUGCCCCAACUUAAUUCUCGCUGCCCGUGUCCGUCAAAUUACUUGUCAGCAUUUAGUCAUGCUAGGUUUGUCUUUCUAUUGUGUUCAUCUAUAACAUGGAGUAUUUGGAUGUUUCUUGAUGUACAAAAUCAACAUUGAAAUUAGAGGACAUUCCUGUUGACCAGAAGAUUAUCCAUCUUGCUUUCUGAUGGGUAGUUUCUACAUAUCAAGCUAUUGAUUGAAGAUUCUUUUUUACAUGAUCAUAUCAGCCUUUUGAUUUAUAAAUUUGGUUCCCAGAGAAACUUCCUUUGUCAUCUAAAAUCUAAGUGACUUGUUUCAUUUGCUAGAUUUUGCAACAAAUGAGAAGUGACAUAGCAUUGGUGACUCUAGGGGACAGUGGUUCACCCAUCAGGAAUCCUUCAACUGCAGCUGAGGAUGCACGACUAGCUUCUUUAGUUUCCCUUGAUGGCAUACUGAAGCAAGUGAAGGUUCUUAAAUUCUUUCUGCCUCUCUCUCUCUCUCUCACACACACACACACGUGUAACAGAUUCAGACAGGCAUGUGCCUCCAGUAUUUAGUGAUGAAAGGCGAGGUUGCAGUGAAUGAAUGAGGUUGCAAGACUAACAGGCUGUGUUUUCACAGGAUAUAAUGAGGCAGUCUUCAGCAGGAAAACUGAGUAAGAGUAAGAAGAGAUCGAUGCUUUCAUCUUUGGAUGAACUUGCAGAUCGAAUGCCUUCUCUACUUGAUAUUGAUCAUCCUUGUGCGCGAAAACACAUUACAGAGGCUCGUAAAGCUGUAGAGGUGCGGUAAAAUUAUAUCUUUCUAGUUACUUCUGGAAGCCCAGCCUUUGAAUUCUGUGGUUUGUAAAUCAUGCCGUGAGGGAACAUGUGAAUUUUUGAUGUGUAGCUUUAAGUAGUUUGGAAGAUGUCUUUGCGAGUAUUUCUGUUCAAAUUCAAACCUCAGUUGGUCUGCAGUUACUCAGCUACAAUAAUUACUUCUUGUCAACCUGAUUUUGAUGUUAGAUUAAAGUCUCUCUCAAACCCCCCAAACCUCUACCACACAAAAAAAAAAAAAAGAAAAAAGAAAAAAUCUGUCUGCUGCUUCCAUACAUGCAUGUGUAUGCAUGUUUUUCCGUUUUAUUUGGGACUGAAGAUUUCUUUUGGUUUGUUUUUCUUUUGAUGUUGAUAUUUGGUUAGAAAAACCGCUUGUUACAUUUGUGUGAGAGUGCCAAAUUAACUUGAUAGCACUCGUUUUCAAGUUUUGUUGGGAUUUCAUCCUUGAUCAGAAGUUGAAGUUUGGGGUAAAUGCUUUUUGUCAUGCGAUUUUUGUUUAUAUGUUUCUUUUGUUUCAUCGACAGUGUGUUGCUGAGGAGGAUGACCAGCUUCAUCAUGCGGCAAAUGCUUCAAAACUUUCAGCAGACAUGGGGUCUGCUGUUGAAACAGAUGUGGGACAGUGGAAUGUUUUGCAGUUCAACACAGGCUCAACAACCCCAUUCAUCAUAAAGUGUGGAGCUAACUCGAGUUCUGAAUUGGUGGUUAAAGCUGAUUCCCGGGUUCAAGAACCCAAGGGCAGCGAGAUAGUUAGAGUUGUUCCAAGACCAACUGUUUUAGAGAACAUGAGCUUGGAGGAAAUGAAAGAGUUAUUCGCUCAACUUCCCGAGUCUCUGAGCUUGCUUGCUCUUGCUAGGACAGCGGAUGGUACUCGAGCUCGGUAUUCUAGAUUGUACAGGACUUUAGCUAUGAAGGUUCCAGCUUUGAGGGACCUAGUAAACGAACUGGAGAAAGGGGGAGUGCUGAAGGAUGUAAAGUCCUGAUUAUCUUUGUGCUGCUGUCUUUCACUACUGUAAAAUGAUUCUGAAGUUUGAAUUUUGAGUGGUAUUUAUUGGAUGACGUCAUUUAAGCCGGUGUUUUUGGUCUAUGGUGUGCGGCUUAUUUGCAUUGAUGGUAAGUUGAUGGAUGUUAAGCCAAUUUUGUGAUUUACAUUAUUGUAAAUAAGUAUUUUAUCUGCUACAUUUUCAAGUUAUUUUCCUCAUUUUUUGGUUCCCUAUGUCGUGCGAAUCACUUAAUAGUUAGUUGAUAAUCCUGCCCGUGUUUGCCACUCCCUCUAACAAAAAUGUCUUCUACGUCUCCUGGAUCCAGACAAUAAUAUGUUUCCUUUAGCCUGCUGUCGAGGAAGCAGCAUAAGCAAGAACAUUUUUCAAGAAACAAAAUGAUAAUUCACAAGGUUAUGAACCAAUACUUCUAAUGACUAAUUUGAUUACCCCGCAGUUGAGCCUAAUCUGCCCGCCUUCCCCCGUGAGUGGGGCUGAGGCUGGCCAUCUUUACCAUAGCACACGCGAAAUCAUUCAAGAGCGUCAGAGCUUAUGGUAGUAAUGAAAAUAUGAAACUUUUGCAAACACUUAACAGUAGUAAUGAAAAAAAGGUCAGGAUGGAUUGUCGUAGUAGAAAAAAUAUUUUAAAAGGUGUGAUUUGGGUAACAUCUUGAAAUAAAUUUUGGUAAUAAAAAAAAAAAGAGAGAGAGUUAUUAUGGUGAAAAAUAUGCUUGGAGACUAUUAUCUUAAAUGAUUCUCAGUCAUCUCAUUGAUUUUGGGGACAAUACUAAGAAGGCACAAAAAUGCUUUGCUGAUCAAAGGCUUUGUUCUAAAUAACACAGGCUUAGGGGUUUCCUGCUCUUCAAGCAUAAGUAGUCCUUCCUCAUCUGAUGAUAUAAUUAAAUAGUUUCAAAAUUAUUAAAACCAAUAAACCGCAAAAUUCAUAAAUUUAAGAACAUUUAUAGACAUGAUCUUCCACAUUUUAAAGAUAUUUAAUCAAGUUAAGUACUUCUUGUCACACAGAUGGAAUUGAUUUUUAGUUCACGCAAUUACCUAAACAAACUCACAAAACCCUAAAAUCUAAUGGUCAACAGCUAUUUGAUUACAAACAUAAUGUUUAAGUAUUUCCGAAACUUAGCAAUUAAGUGAUUAAAAUUUUCGACUACAUGCCUAAUUAAAAAUGUUCUGUCCAAACAAAACAAGUACACUUUAUUUCCUAGACUAUUCAGCUUUUGGUACUUUACUAGGCAUAUGGCCACAAAAAUGUACGUCUCUUAACCCUAAUAAUAAGUUUUGUAAUUUAAUAAGUAGGUUAGUUUCACCGUUUAAGAAAAAUAAAAAAAAGUAGGCUAUUUUCAGACUUUAAGGUAUUCUAAGUUGAAGUAUUAAUUCAAAGGCUCUCUCUAAUUGUUAUUUUCUUUAUUGCAAAGAGUGCUAUGAACUAGAAUGGCAAUAUUCAGAUAGAAAUGAAUUUUGAUUUACAAAAUUAAAAGUGUAGAAGAUUUUUUUUUAAAAAAAAAAUUUGAUUAUAGACAUAUCACAGUUUACAAGAUUAAAAAAAAUGAAGAUUGACUUUAAAGGAAGAAAAUUAGUAACUUAGAAAUUGAUCUAGCCUUUUAAUUGGCAAGAAGCUUUAGUAAUUUGCUAAGGAGAAAAAAAUAUUAUUAAUAACUUUGCAAUGAAGUAGUAUUUUUCCUGUCUAUGAGCUAUUAUAUAGUUUCUAAGAAUAAAACAAUGUAUUUUUUAAACCUCAAUUAUCAACAAUUGCUAAUUUAACUCCAAGUUGCAAGUAGCCCAAGUUUCAAUGACAUAUCCACCAUUUUUUUUUGCCAAUAAUAGCUUAAAGUUCCUAUUUUUCUUUAAAAAAAUCCGAUAAGGGAAAUUCAUACAUAUUUACCUUUUUAAAAUUCUUUUCCUAAAUACAUUGCAGUGCCUUUUAAAAAAAAAAUUUCUUCUUUAUUGUUCUCGUUUUGAAUUAAAUUCCAUAAACCCCUUCCUUGAUCUUGUGCUCCUUGCUUCUGGGGUUUUACCUUGCCUAUACAUUCCUUCCCUUUAUUCCCACUCCGAUUCUUUGCGAAAAAUCUUGAAACAAGCUGGAUUAGAUUCUCUCUCGUCAAGUAAAAUGAUGGGCUCUUCUUCAUCUUCUUCUUCCUUAACAUGUAAAAGAUUAACAAUAUUGACAAUAUUAGCAGUUGUAAUGCAAAUUACUGGAUUAUUUCUCUUCGUUAUAGGCUUCUUCCCAGUAAAAACCACUCUCUCAGGGGCCAGGUAACCUUCCAGUUUUCCCGCUUGAUUCAUUUUAGUUCUGUUCUUCAUCCUGUAUCAAGGAUUGUCCCUUUUCAUUUUUAUUCUUGUUUGUUUACAUCUUUUCUUUUAACGAAAAUUUCAGUGGUUUGGAGAGUUUUUAUCCACCUGGGUUCGAUUCAAGUGAUGAUAGAAAUGCUAGUACAACUUUACCUCCUCGUCAGCUUAAAUCUCUAUAUCAGGUGACUACCACUGUUUACCCUGUUCUUUACUCUCUUUUUUUUUUCUUUUAAAUUUGGAUUUUCAAAUUUGUUGCAAUUGGGAUAUUUAGUAGCUUAAGACUGGUAAUGUGCUUCAUUGUUGGUUAGGAUGAUAAUUGUUGAAAGCUUUUUUGGGACCCUGGUGAAAAGAGAAACUAAUUGUUAUUAAGUCUAUUCAUCAUUUACAGCACACUGGAAUAUGGAAAAGAAAAUACUCACUUAAUUUUUGCUAUAUAUUUUCUUCUCAUUUUAGCUAUUAAAGUUUAUGUCUUCAUGCAAAGUGGGUUAUUUUUGUCUUCCUUUACAGCAACUAUCUGGUGUACCGCCUUUGUUUGACCGGCUAAUACUAAUGGUACGCUGCUCAAUUUGUGUAAAAAUUGCUUCUGCUGAAUUAGUUUCGUAAGGGAGAACCCUGUUUGUUGUGAUGUUUGUUCUAGGUCAUUGAUGGUCUGCCAGCUGAGUUUGUGCUUGGGAAGGAUGGCAAGCCUCCUCCUAAGGUUUAUAUGGAAGCUAUGCCAUAUACACAAUCAUUAUUGGCUAAGGGAAAGGCAAUUGGAUACCAUGCUAGGGCUGCUCCUCCUACCGUGACAAUGCCUCGCUUGAAGGUUUGUAAACUGGUUAUUUUGGUGAAAUUUGAAGCUGCUAUUUGUGUGGUCUGACUGUUCUUAGUCCUGCUUUUGUGUAUAGUAGGCCAUGGUUUCUGGUGCAAUUGGAGGAUAUCUGGAUGUUGCUCUCAAUUUCAACACACAAGCCUUUCUAGAUGAUAAUCUUAUUGGUCAGUGGUUAUCCUUGCUAAAGUGAACUCACUAAUUAUAUGAGUGUUUUAGCAACUUUUGCAAUUUUCGUCCAUCUCUUUUUCAGAACAAUUUUCUAGAAUUGGCUGGAAAAUGGUAAUGCUGGGUGAUGACACAUGGCUUAAGCUGUUUCCUGGGAUGUUCACAAGGCAUGACGGUGUUAGCAGUUUCUUUGUGAGCCUCUUUUGCUUUCACAAUUUAAAGCAUUUUACUUCAUUAUGUUUUAGUUUUUCUGCCUUUCUGGUAUCUGUAUUUUGAUUUACACAUGCACUUUUGGUUGACUGCCUUUAAUAUAGUACCUUUCUAGAAUGUUCAACUUGUAUUCACCAGAACAAUGAGGUGAAGAUUUUAUAGAUUUAACACUUUGUCUAAAUGCAUUUUAAUUACUGAACAUAUUGGAAAUUCUGUUUUGUGCUAUUCCUUGUAUCAGAGGAAUAACAAGUGAAGUGGCAAUGGAAUUACAUAUUUUGCAAGAGCUGUUCCACUAAAGUAGGAACUCUGCAAGAAAUACUUUUUGUUAAUGUGCAAUGCUGAGGGAAAGUUUUGUUUAUCUUGUUUUUUUAUGCAAUCAUAGCAGAUAUUACUGAGAAACAUAAACAUCCUUGUAACAAUUACUCUGAGAAAAUAUUCUAUAGGCUAAUAUCUGUCAUUUGUAAGCUUUUUUCUUGUGAAUAGAGUACUCUCUGUAUAAUGUCUCUGAUCUGUUGCUUGAUUCCUGUGUUGUUCAAACUUGUAAACAUUAUACUGCAUACAUUAAUUCAAACAAAACUAGAAAAAACAAAAAAUCAAGAAAAUUACUAGCUUCAGCUUUGGCUUCUAGUCAAAAACUACAAAGGCAUUGAGUGUGCAAAACUGUGAGCUAUUUCUUGCUAGUUUCUUACUUAGUUUCAGUUACGUGAACUUAGAAAAUAGUUGCUUUGCUUCAAAGGAAUGUGUGCAAAAUACACAUUGAGUGCUUCUGCCUCCUCAUAAGAGGCAUCUUUAUUUUCUUUGGUCUAUAGAUGGGAACUUUUCUACCCUCUGAGCUAGUUGGAUAAAAUCAUUUCCUAUUAGAAUAGAAAAAGUAAGUGAAGAAACAACUUAAUAUUUUGAAGCAGAUCUGCAUCUGAUAUUGAUACAAUAAAAUUCAGAAGUCAGAAAAACAGAGGGGAAAGAGAAGCUGAAAAUAGAUGCUUGUAAAACUUAAACGUAUAUAAUUUUUGUCUGCAGCAUGAAAUCAGAAAAUUAAUAGGGGAGCCAACAAGAUUUUGACACGCCUAGAAGACAGUAAACUUUUUUUUGCAUGGUUUGCAGUAACAAUCUUCUUCAAUAGGAAAACUCCAUUUUUUGGAAGCAGGGUGUAUGAUAGUUCCUUUAGCAUGCUCCUCUCUGAGCACUAUUUUAUUUGGUUCUGAUAUUCUUGAUGCAGGUUAAAGACACUGUGCAAGUGGAUCACAAUGUUUCUCGCCAUCUGAAUGUUGAGCUCAACAGGACAGACUGGAAUCUUCUGGUAUUUGCUUAAUAGUUCAUAUUUGGAUGUUUAUUACGGUACUAGCUAGAGUUUGUAUGCAUCCAUAGCCUAUAUGAUGAUUCAGUGUCUGUGAAUGUUUGCGGAAAGGUUGAGCCUUUACUUUCUGGCUGAAUGCCUACCUUGGUGAAGCAGUUUGGCUUUUACUCCUUUGUUCCCUGCCCCUUUUUCUUUACAAUUUUAUGAUUCUUAUUUAGGUCUAAACUAUGUGCUGGGAUCCCCUUUUCUUUACAAUUAGGUCUAAACUAUGUGCUUGGAUCCCCUUUUUUGGUGCUUACUAUGCAGAUUCUUCAUUUUCUUGGUUUGGAUCAUGUUGGACACAUUGGAGGUCGCAAUAGGUAGGUUUGUGCUUCUUUUGCUGUUAUUUCAGUGAAGAAGAUCUAGCCUUAUCCAUUGAUGUCAAUCACCUGAUGAUUUCAGUUUGUUGAUGGGACCAAAACUCAAGGAGAUGGAUGAAGUGAUUAAAAUGAUUGAUUUGACUACUCUAAAAAGUCAAAAAUACAAUCAAGGAAGGACACUUCUGGUUGGUGCUGCUUCAUUCUAAUGGUAGUGCUGGUAUCCUAUUGUUGUUACCGCGCUCAUUCCUCUGAUAGAGUUUCUUGGGAAGUGGGUUUCUAGUCUAAUUCCUGUUGCUUAGACAUUAUUUGACUUUUACUUUUAAUAUCUUAUUUUAAUUUGGAUAUACAUGGGCUGUUAUGCUUGCGAAUUAUAACAAUCCAGUGGACUCCUCUGUUUAAGAUUUACUUCAUUAACUUUUUAAGGUGUUUGAGUUUGUUUCUGGGAUGGAGUUAUUUGAUCUCAAUAAUCCUUGUAUUCAACUUUUAAGAGAUUGCCUUUAGGUUGACAGCAAUUUGACUGUGAGAAAUGACACUAUGUAUGAUAUCAAAUAAAGUAUUGAAAUUGUAAUUUUAUCCAAUGUUUUAAGAAUUGCAUGGUAAUAGUAGGUUUCUAAUGAGAUUGAGUGUUCAAUAAAAUGCCUAUUGUUGGAAUACCAAAUAUGUUUCAUAGCUGCAGUGAUGAUAGCUAUGAUUCUACUAACUUGUCUUGUAAUAGACUUGCAUUAUUAAGAAAAGUACUUGGGAAUAUGUUGUGAUUUAGUUUGUUUUUUGAUUUUUGUAAUUGCAGGUGGUUGUAAGUGAUCAUGGCAUGACAGAAAAUGGCAAUCAUGGGGGAUCAUCCUAUGAGGAAAUUGACUCUUUGGCACUCUUUAUUGGGCUGGGAGAAUUUACUAAUUCCUCAACAACCAAUAACAUAGCCAACCAGGUUGGGCUCUGAAUAUUUCUUGCAAUUGAUGUUUAUCCAGAUUUCCACUGUAUGGGCGUCAUUUAUCCCUUUUCAUAUUUGUCUUUUUUUCAAAUUCCUUUUACAGCUGCUUGGUUGAGCAACGAAUGGAUAUGUUUCACAAAAUAUUGCUACAUAAAGGGGCUUAGUUUUGGUUUUAUCGAUAUCUUCAUUCUGGCAUAUAUUCCAAGCAUGUUUCAAUAAACAAUCAGGGGCAACCCCUGAGAUGUUUUUUUGAAUCAUAAGGAGGACAGUUUAUCAUUUUUUAAAAUUUUAAUCAGAUAAGAAGUUUUUUUGUUUGUUGUGUUCUUCAUGGAUUUGUUGUUUCUUUAUGUGGAAUGAUUUGAUUGCGUAUAUUCUCUAUCUCUCUCUCUAAAUGAUACUUUUGGCAUCCAGAAAAUUGCAUUAUGGAUUUUGGUACAGCGUUCUAUGUUUUUUCUGCUUGCAUGCUCAAAAUAUGUUGAGAAGAUAGUUUAUAAAUGAUAUAGGCAUUUUAUGUUUUUCCUGAUUCCGUGCUCAAAAUAUGUUGAGAAAGCUUCUUGAAGUAGGCCAUUUGCAUUAUAAUGGAUAAUCAAUUAGUAUUGAUGUUCUUCUUUAUCAUGCCAAUCGAAGUUGUAAAUUUCUCUUGAACUGAAUAGGCUGCAUGCCUAGAUGUUUGCAUGUCUUGUUUUGGUGCUGUUUGCUAUCAUCAUCUAUCACAAGGGCCCCAAACAAGAUUUAGUUAUUCUCUCAGGGCAUUAGAUUAGGCUCUUUUGAAAAUGUUUGCCAUCUUGGGAAAGACAGUUCAUAUGGGUAGCAUUGGCUGCAACAUUUGACAACAUUAACUGCCUCCAAGGCUGAUUGACCUAGCAGUUUGAUACUGUUAUACUUUUGAAUUUUGAAGGCUGCCAUUGUAAUCAUCACAAUGCAUUUUAAUGUUUGGUUUAGUGCUAUCUUUGCUAUUGGAAUCUAGAUGACUGCUAUAGGAUGGGAGCUAAGAUAGUAGUCUAAAUGAAAGAACAUUAGGGAGUUUUUGGACAGCAAAUCUGUUAUUUUCCAAAUUAUAAUGAGUGAUUCUAUAUAUAUAUAUAUAUAUAUAUAUAAAAGUAAAUUUCAGUUCUUGAACAAAAUUACUUAUAUAAUUAUAUUUUGAGAAGAAAGUUUAGAGGAUCUAUUGGUUUAUUCCUUGGCUGUGCUUUCUUAUUUUCUUUCUUUUUCUCCAAUUUCGUUCAAUUGAAAAAUGUUUCUGCCAUCUACCUGGCAUUUCCAAGUUAUAAAGUACAUCAUUGAGCAAUGUAAAUGGUGAGCGCCAAAUGAAGCACCAUUUUCUGUCUCAGUUUUUCAAACAAAUGUUGUAACACAAAAAGGAAUGAUGAUCCAUAUUGGUGAAACGACAUAACAAGAGAUAGAGUUGCAUGGUGGCCUAUGUCUUGCUUGCAAUCAAAGACAGCAAACAUAUGUAGCUGUCACAUGAUAAAUAUAAUUCAGUUUAGAAGUGUAUAUCUUCCUCAUCUGGGACAAGGAUGAUUGUGGAUUGACUGUAAUCCUACAAGGGAAUAGCAACUGAAGAGACAACAAUUUGUCAGAUUUGUGAACAUAUGCCUGUAUUCUGUCAGAGCAUCCUUUUGGCUAUAUUUGUAUUUUAUAUAAUUUCAGUGGGUAGUGAAGUAUGUGCGUGUGUAUGUCUUAUUAUUGUUUCUGUGGUCCCUCAAUCUUUGUUUUGUUUUCUUGUAAGACAGGUUGACAUUGCUCCAACAUUAGCUCUACUUUAUGGAGUCCCAAUACCAAAGAACAAUGUUGGCAUCGUUAUGGUGGAAGUUUUCAAGUUAUUGACAGGUUUAACCAUGUCAAAUUUUUCUUCCAUUUCUGUUGGAAAGCUACUGGAUCAGAUGUUUGCUUUUAAAGUCUAAUAAUGACAUUGGAUUGAAAGAUCAACAGGUUUCUGUUUGAAGAAGUGCCUGCAAUUUAACUGUUCUAUAAACAUCUAAUUAACUCAAGUAGCACAAAAUGUACAAAUGGUUAACAUAGCCGUUCAGAGUGCUAUGGUAGAAAUAAUCUAUGCCAAAUACACCAAAUGAAAUUAGUCAAUGGGAUUUUUGCCUCUUAUGUUGGAAAGUACUUACUGUUUGCUAAAAGCAUGUAGAGUAAAGCCUUGUCAAGUUACAUUAACAUAUGUUUUACAAUCUGGAAAACUGCAAAUUCUACAAGAAGCACGUGGGAUUUUGUAAAUUCUGCAAAUUUUACAGCCUUGUCAGUGGGAUUUUUGCCUCUUAUGUUGGAAAGUACUUACUGUUUGCUAAAAGCAUGUAGAGUACAGCCUUGUCAAGUUACAUUAACGUAUGUUUUAUAAUCUGGAAAGCUGCAAAUUCUACAAGAAGCACGUGGGUUGGUGCAUGCAGUGCUGUGUGUCAGUGUGAAAAUCUUUACAUUGUUUUGGUUUAUUCUUAUUCGAGUAGGAUGCCAAUUUUCUGAACUUCUAUCGGUUGCCUGGCCUAGGUACUUCUUUACAUUGUAUGAAUUUCCUGGACUGACUAGGAUAAGUAGAGUGGUGAUGAUUUGAGAAGUUUCAUUUCCUCGUCUCAAUAGACAGCAUAUGCAAAUGGAUUUACAUGCUUUGAAAGUUCAAGCUAAUCUUUUUCUUGUUCUGGGUGUGCUGUAUUUCAUUUGGUAACAUGGUUCUGUAAUAUUGCAGAUGAUGAACGGCUGAGGCUAAUGGAGUUAAAUGCCUGGCAGUUGCUCCAAUUACUUCAGGCUCAAUUGCCUGGUUUAGAGUGUGAAAUUUCCAAAUGCAAUGUCCAUAGAGAUGGUAAUGGAUCUGAGAUCAGACAAGACUAUAGCACUGUAGAGGAGAUGUUUUGUUGUCUAUAUUUACAUGCGGCAACUGUCCACAAAUCCAUGAGAUCUGAGUAAGCCUUUAGGUGAUGGAUUUUCACAUCUCUGUAAAAUGCUGAACUACUGCUUAAUUACAUAAUUCUUUUUUCCAGUUCACCUGGGGGAGAUGAAUACGGUAGUACCUUUUUGGCUUACCGUGAAUUUCUGAAAACAGCAGGCCAAUGGCUAUCUCGCAGAGCAACUGACGUAAGUCUAGGAAUAAAUACUAUUGUUCCAUAGGAUGGUUUACCUGUUGACUUGAGUUGAUGUUCUAGGUGAAAGUUGAAUAGUCAUAGCCAUUAUGCUCCAACAAACAUUUUGGUUGUAAUUAGGAUUGUAGGUAUACCAAUCAGUGCAGCCAAAUGGGUGCGGAGAGAGAGAGAGAGAGAGCAAUAGUAAAUUGCUGAACGUUCAGUUCUCUCCUUCACUUCUUCAAUGAUUUUUAGGACUAACAUGUUGUCUUUCAUCCUUACAGAGACCUCUCAGUCUACUUGCUUGUGGAUUUGCAGCCAUGCUCGUGUCUUGUUCAAUAAUAAUGGGCCUUCUUUUCUUCCUUAUCCGUGAAACCUAUAUCAAGGAAAGGGAGCUUCAUUCUCACGCGUGGCAGUUGGAUAAGACUUUUACACUGGCUAUAAUUUGUAUCCUUAUGCUAAGUAUGGGAUCUAGUUCGAUGGUAGAAGAAGAACAAUAUAUAUGGCAUUUUCUGACAUCUUCAAUUUUUUUGGUGUUACUCCGAAAAACUCUGCAGUCCAUCACAUUAGGAUUUGGGGUACUGCAAAACUCUUCAACUGUAAUUAAGGAACAAAGGGAAAGAGGUCUUCUUCAAAUUUUUUCUGUUAUUGUAGUUCUUGUUUCUGGAAGAAUUUUAAGAGGCUGGCAUCAAGGUGGUGUCAAUUGGGCUCAUCUUCCUGAUAUGGCAAAAUGGCUUGAGCAGGCAGGAAGCGGUUAUACAAAUGCGCUGCAGCUGACAUCUGGUGUCUUACUUAUCAGUGCAAAUAUUUUUACUCUUCUUUUUUCGUUACGAUCAAAGAGAACUUUUGCUGUGGUGAUACUUAUGAUCAAUUUGUGCCCAUCUUUGAUGAUUGUGUACCUUAUGAUUAUACAUCAAGGUAGCACAUUAGGGACAACUGGUUUUGGUGCCACCAAAAUGGUUCAAAGAUUCUAUGCAAUUUUGGGCAUUUCUACACUUGGGACUGUUGUUUCUGUACCAAUGUUUAUGCUUUUACAGAAUUCUAAUAGCCCAGUAAAUGAUUUCACCUUAUGCCGUGAUAUCUCUUCUGAAUUUAGAAGGAAUCUCUUGCUUCAAGGGAUGAAAGAUUCUACCUUUAUAACUGGCUGGAGUUUCAUAUUCAGCUGGUGUCUUCUGCAGCUGUUGCUGCAACAACCUGUGAAUUCAAUGCCUUUAUUGUUACUAUUCAUUCAAAUCCUUGCUACCAUGUGGUAUUCUUCUGAUGGUGAUGCCCAGUUUAUUGAGGUGAGUCAUGAUGCCAAAGUUUCUGCCCAAUUUUCUUACUUCUACCCACCCCCUAUCAACAAUCAUGAAAGUAGUAAAAGAGUUGGCAUGAGUUUAAAGUUAAUUGUCUUGAAAAGUAUGAACCUGCAACAAUGCAGCUAAGGAAUUUUGGUUUGUUUUCUGUAGUUUGUUGAAAUAACAUCACCGUGUAUUUCUAUACAUUUAGCUGAAGCACUGCUUAACGGUUCCUUGUUGAUAUUAAAUGAAACUGAUGUUAGAUGUGCAAUUAAUUGAAUAUUUUUUGAACAUUCAGGUGGCUGCACUAUACUAUUUGGGAAUGGCGGGCCAUUUUGGUCUUGGUAACACCAACAAUCUCGCUACAAUUGAUGUUGCUGGUGCUUUUACUGUACUUCUUCUCCCCUGAAAAGCUUUUUGAUUUCAUGCUGAUGCCUAAAGUUAUUCUAUUAGUCUCUGAGGUUUUUUAACUUUUUUUUUUUGGCUACAUCUUCAGUGACAUUGAUUUCAAUAUUGACAGGGUGUCUCAAGCCAGUCCACCUUACUUUCUGGCAUCUUAAUGUUCAUGAUCACAUAUGCUUCCCCGAUAUUUGCUCUUCUUAGCAUGGUGCUAUAUAUAUCUGUGAAGGACAUAGGUGGUGACAUAGAAGCCAAGGAAGUAGAUAUUGGAGAUCUGCUAAAGAGGAAUCUCAGCUUUCCUUGUCUAGUUCCGCUGGGUAUAAAUUCCAUGUUGCUGAUUGCAUACACCGUCGUCUUGCUACUAAUGAGAAAUCAUCUCUUCAUUUGGAGCGUCUUUUCUCCAAAGUAAGUCAUACUGAGCCAAUAAUGCCUAUGCAGUAUACCUAGACCACGUUCCCCACCCUAACUGUAGAUUGAGCUCUGGCAGUUGGAAAGAAUUUUGCUGUGUCCCAAGAAACAAAUGAUCUUGUUAUGCUUCAGAUUUCUUUACUGUUUAUAAAAAAGAAUGAAUGGCAUCUGACAACAUGCAUCUGCACAGAAGGAAAGAAGCUCAAUUUUGUUCUAAAGCUCAAUGUCGUUCUAAUCAUAGGCGGAUUAACCAGAUGGAUAGUUGCCCAAAAAAAUCAGAAUCAUGAUUUUCCAGUUCCCUAACAUCCCUUUCUUUGUGCAAAAUAAAUGUCUUCAUCAAUUCAAUCCCAGAUUCUCUUCCAGAAUCUGAACGCCACACAGUUCUUCCACAGAAAUUCUAAGGGUCUUGUGCCACUUGCUGGAGUCCAUUGCUUUCAAUAAGCACAAAUUGUAAUUUCGAAGCAUUCACCGCACUAAUCAAAUUGAUAGCAUCUAAUGGGUCCACAUGCACAGAGAAAAAGGGCAAAAGGCUAGCUCAUCUAAAAUAUUUCCAAGUGGACUUCUUGAUUAGUCAUGGAAUGAUAGAAUUCUUGUUCGCAUGCCUUUUUCCCCCGUUUUGGGUGAAAGUCGUCAUUUCUUUAGCGAGCUUAUCCUCUGAGCUUAAUUUCUCCAACUGUUUUAGCUAGCUAAGGUCUUAAUGUAUUCCAUUAAUAAUCUCUUGGUUCCUGAGAUAUCAUAAACUUAACGAGUACAUCAAAGCAGGAUACGAUAACUGAAAAAUUGCGAUCUUAGAAUGCUCUAGAUUUGAUAGAUGGAAAGAGAGUUUGUAAAUUAGUUAUGGUCCACUACUCUACAUUUCAUUAUCUUGCAUGCUGUUGUAAUUGAAUGACUCAUCUUGCUUCUCCAGGUACCUGUAUGUCUGCGCCACUACCAUCUGUAUCUUUCUGGGUGUAUCUAUUGUGGCCUCAGCAGUGGUAUAUUCUUUUGGGGUUCUUGCCUUGCGAAGAAGUUGAAGACACAUGCUGAUUUUGACUUGAAAGAGAGUGUGUUCGGGCAGUAAAUCUAACUUAGGAUGUUCGCCAACAGAUUUUAUCAGAUGGUUAAGAUUUCUUGCUUACUGCUCUCGUGCUAUGAGCAAAUAGAGCAGUGCAUCUAGAAUGCAAUUCUUCAUUUCAUUUGAAAGAUUGAUCAAAUGGCAGUUUUGUAAACAUUAUUUGAUUCUGUAGUCUAGUAAAUUCUGAACAUCAGUGAUUGUAGUAAAUUCGGUGAUUUUUCCUGUGGAGAAAAUAUGAUUACACAAUAAUGGUAUUUUCUCAUUGACACCCUCACCCUUAUGACAGGGACCCAAAAUGGUUCUACCAUGCAGUUUACCUAAAACUGCAAGUCCUAUUGUUGCUCAUUCAGUCUGAGAAUUGAUGAACUAAGCCAAAUGCUGAUUACUGUGGAUUAGUCUGUAAUUUACAUAUUAGACAGACUCGUGCAAUUGUCAAAGCAAAAAAGUCUUGGUCCUAAAGACCCUUCUUGCUAGUUGCCUGUAUCCAGCAGCCACGGCUAAACUCUCAAGACUGAACCGAAAGACCCAAUAAAAUCAGACAUUUAUUGGGCUAUGGCAGCAGAACUCAAUUUGUGUACAAACAAAAGCAGAAAAACCUACGAAUGAGUUAAAAUAAGGUUUUGGUUUUAAAUGAUGUUUUGGUUUUAAGCCAAGGUUUUGAUACUUGUCACUUCUCUUUUGUCAAUAGGUAGGACAAUCGUGUGUCUCAUAAGCUGGCAAAAUUUGCCACAAGCUUGCAUGACGAAAUCAGUUGGAAGGAUUCCUUUCCAAUUUGGCUUACUAGUUUAGCCAAAAAUGAUGUAAGAGCUGUUGCUCCAACUCUGUAAUUUCUACUCUCUCUUGACCUUUUCUAACCGAAGUUAGAGUUACGACUUUUACAAACCUAAAUCCCAGAAGAACCUCCAAAAGCCGGCAACUUUUGGAGGCCUCCCAGGAGACUUAUAACUACCCAACCCAAUCCCCCCAGAACCGAUGUGGGAUGGCAACCCCACAAGGGCAAGUCAGUAGGCCGGCCGCUGCUAAGAGAUGAAGACCCCCCACCAAACCCAGUAUGCUACCCUUGCAGGAAUUUAUCUCUUGACCUUUUCUAUCCGGUUAUAAAAUUUGUUAUCGUUUGGAAAAAAAAAAAGGUUAAAAUAAGGUUGGAGGGUCCCUUUCUUGUAUACUGACUAGUAUCCUCCUGUUCCUAAUCCCACGAGAGAAAUAGGUAGCCAAGAACAGCUGUACCCGACAGAGUGGUUUCAGAAUAUGCCUCCAGCUACUAUUUCUUCCACUGUUAUUCGUCCAUCACCCUGAAUAUGCUGUACAAGCCUGAAUAUUCGUACACAAGUUGCUCACGUCCAAAUUCCUGCUACAUUUUAUGUACGAGGAAAUAUGCAGGAGAAGGGGCAGAAAUAAUUGUCACGAUCGAUAAUAAUCCCAUGCAGUCAAAUAAUUCUAGUGAUCAGCAACUCUAGUAGAAGUUAACAUGAUGAAGGCUUAAUUGCUCUAUAUUGAUAAUUUCAAUUUGUUAUUCCCAAUUUUGUUAUUGGGAAUGAUGAAAGAUUCAGCCUCCAGAACGGAUUCACUGUCAUAUGACUGAUCCGCGAUUAUUAGCUUCAUGUAGGCGAUAACCAUCUCGAGAAAAUUACUUCACUGUUGUGGAGCGGAAAACUAUGUUCGUAUUCCACGUCUUCUUGGCAAAGUAGAAGGGGAUAUUGGUUUUCAACCCGUAAAUAAUCACUAAGAAUAGAUAAGCACCUAAAACUGCUCCAUGGAUAAACUUUUUCUGGUAAGGAAUCAGAGUUACGGUCCCUGUUUGCACACAUUACUCAGCUGUUACAAUCUCUAGCUCGACAUAUUUUUCAUGGCCGCCACCGCUAUUUCUACUGCUGAAGUUGUUGCCUCUGCCCAAUUCCAAAACUUCGAUGUUUUAGUGUUUUACCCACCAUUAAUCCUCAACUUACCACUCAAAAGUUACCAUGGCCAAGCCACCCUCAUGAUGGCCUUCACUUGUGGCAAUUCAUGGUUUCCGGCUCCGCCCAUGGCGUGUUAGAACACAUGGCCAUGUUCCCCGCAGACACUGUUAAGACCAGAAUGCAAGCUAUCGGCUCUUGCCCCAUGAGAUACGCUAGUAUUAGUCAGGCUGUUCAGUCAAUUAUCAAAUAUGAAGCCCCAGCCGGACUUUGCCGUGGGAUUGCAGCUAUGAGCCUCAGUGCCGGCCCGCCAAGCUGUUUAUUUUGCCGUUUAUGAAACUUGCAAGAAAGCUUUGUCCCAUGGGAAAAGAAUAAUCCCCUAGCACACACGGCCUUGGGUUGAGGGAGGAGGAAAGGAGGAAAGGGAAGAGGGAAGGGGCAGAGGAAGUGGGUGGUGGUGUUAGGUGGAAGGAGAAAAUGUGGUAGAUUUUUUUUUUUUUUUUGUAUAUAUUUGUGAGUAUUUUUGAGAUAUUGUAUUGAUUGUGUUUUUGGAGUUAUUUUUUGUUUGUCUAUUACUGUAACAUUGCAUUUAAAAAACUAGUUUAUAAAAAACAGGGGAAUCCAAACAAGGCGAAGAUUAUUUUGUAUUCGUAUUGUGACACAGGAAAGGCCACAAAAGUUGUAUUACUAGUAACUCUUGAUGCAAUAUCGUAUUGCUCCUCCCUGAGCCGCCUGGUUUCUUUUCUCGUUCUACGCGCGGUCUUCUCUACUUCAGGGUCGAAAAUUAAUUCGCAUGUACGAGAAGAGCGAGGCAUAAACUAGAAAAAUACCAGAAAAAAAAAUGAACUUAAAAAGAAACAAAUGAUUAACGCCAGUCCCCGGCAACGGCGCCAAAAAUUGACAGGUGUCGAGCCUGUGCAAUAAUAAAUACCUACUCGAGAAAAAUGAAUUUUUUGUGUAUAGUAGUGAGUAGGGUCGAAUCCACAGGGACUGGGAAAAAUUCGAUUCUUUUCAAGUUCGGGACACGGGGGAUUUUUAUCAGAAAUAAACUAAAAAUAAUUAAAUAAUUUAACCAAAAAUAAAUAAUUAAUUAAUACAAUUGUAAAUAGCAAUUAAAUAAAUGAUAAAUAAAUUCUAGCCAAGGAUACAACUACGCAGACACAGUCCAUUCAUCCGAUCAUUGAUGCAAAGAAGGUUCACUUAAUUUUAUUAACAGGUUAGUUAUAGUCGCCGAUAAACUCUAACGACCAGCUUUUCCUUAAUUUAUUGAUAACCAAGGUACGACCGUUGAUUACCCCUAACCAGGAAAUACUCCUAGGUACGACCGUAGGAAUUAAUUUCCUAAUUGCAUUAAAAACUAGAAAAGCCUAACCCAAAUUAAUAACACGCUACGAGGGUUAUUUAAAUCAGAUUGCAUGUCCCCCUAGUAUGUGAAAAUACUAGUUGUCACUAAUAUUAAUCAACUAAACAAUUACGGAUUUAAUUGAUUAAUUUGACAAGAGAUUAAUAAGUCAAAUUGCACAUCGGGCCCUUGAUAUCCAAUUAACAAAAUAAUCCCAUGGAAAUUAAAAUAGAAAACAUGCAAAUAUUAAUAAAUUAAGGAACACGUAAAAUUAAUUAGAUCUCACAGAUAUUUGGGACUGCGUCUUCGCGUUGAUCCUUGACUAGAGGAGAAAAUUAGCCACGCCUCAUAAGAAAAUUCCCACGCAAUUUAAAUGGAAUCAAAUACAUAAAUAACUAACUAAGAAUUUAGGAAGAAACUUGAGUCUCGCUAAACUCUUUUAAGAAAAGUUGCACACCACACAACAAGAGAAGGAAGAACUCCUCCUCUGAAAACCAAAAACUACCUCUAUCCUCCUACGGAGCUUCUCUGGAGAGAAAACUCCAAAACUAGUCUAAUGUCUUAUGAAAAACUAUCGUCUAAUGCCUUUCCCUUAUUUUAUUUUAGCACUAGUUUCCUAAGAGAACUAGUGACGUAGGAAGCUAAGUGGAAAAGCUCAAUCAUCAAAGCCAACACCUUGACUAAUGAGUAUAUCUCCCACAAUAAGAACAAACUUUCUACGUGGUCCCCGCUUUGAUUCCUUAUUGCUAGUGGAUUUCAUCAUAUCAAUUCAAUUCUUCAUCAGCAAUUCCGUUCAUCAGCAAUUCCGUUGGUUUGCACAAUUUGGGCUAAUGGUGGAAAGCUUUUAGAAGCUUUCACGUGUGGAGAAAUCUUCUCAAGAAGGUCCCCUUUUAGCACUUUUCUGUUUCACUUUCUGAAAUUAUAUCCAAAUACCAAAUAUAAAUAUAUAUUGACAAUUAAAACAAUAUUUGGCAAGGAUAAAGAGGAAAAUUAACGAUAAAAUUACUAACAAUUAAUACCCUAUCAAUUCCCCCCACACUUAAAUCAUGCUUGUCCUCAAGUAUGGGAACACUAAACUCAACAAUGGCUAACUCUCAUUUCAUUUACUGCCAAGCUACGCUUAUCCCAAAAUCAAGUUUUAGUGGCUAAGUGUCAAGAUAUAUUUCUCCCGGUUAGCUCCUGAAAUCAUAGACUCGUCCAAUUCAUAGCUAACUCGUCUAAGAAAUCAAAAUAUUAAACUAGCAAAAGUUAGCAAUUGGGUCAACUGAAAAUCAAAAUCUCAACAUUGAAGAACAAGGAUCGGCAGGCCAACAUGAUCAUAAGCUUACUUAUUAUUUUCUUCUCUCUCUUUUUUUUUAUGAUAAUAAUUAAUUUUUUUUUUUCAAUAAAUGCUCAGUCCCAAGCUAUUCAAGUCUUUUGACGUGAACUCUGACAUUUUUAGAUGAAAGAAACCAGUUACUCAACUUUUCACAGUUUCAGGACUACCUACUCAUAGAUAUCGCCACUUUUUGACGCGAAAGUCGACACUUGUGGUGAAGACUCCCGGUUACUGGGUGACGGCACUAGCGGAGUAGAGUCAUUUAUUAAUCACAAUUAAAGCACUAGAAAACCAAAUAUUUAAAGAUCAUGGCCCACGUCAUCUCCUAAUAUGGAGAACUAAGAUCAACAAUUGCCCAAUCCACACAACAAUUGCUAGUAAAAUAUUUAUAUUGCCUAAACAAUUUAACCACAAUUUGCACCAAGUCAUUAAACUCAUGAUAUUCACCAAGGUAAUAUGCUUUUACUUGCCAUCUAAACAAAAUUCAUAGGAUAAAUCACAACCAGCAAUAGAAGAGUGAGUUGCCACAUUUAUUCAUCAAGACAACAAUAAGAAAAGCAACAAUUUAAAGAAACUCCAAUCAAAUCCAAAUCUCCCCCCACACUUAAAGUAUACAUUGCCCUCAAUGUAACAAAUAUAUAGAAAAAGUAAGAAAAAGGGCAACGAAACUCCCCUGAAAUCGUCAAGACAUCAAAUUCUCUGAUCAGCCCUUGGGGUUGAAGGAGGUGGAGCGGAGGUCGAAGGGCCGGGGUGUUCUAGACUUAGAAGAAGAUUUGGGUUUCACCAUUUCUCCAAAUGUCACUCAAAUCAACAACAGACAACAAUUCUAACAAAUAAUGGAAACAGAAAAUUUAAAGCAAUAACAAAUGAAAACCAACCCAGUGAAUAAAAUGCACACUUCAAUCACCCACAAGUUAUAGAAAUACUCCAACACUUAUAGUAAAUGCAAUCAAUAAGCACUUGUGGUUCCAAACUUAGCCAAAUGCAAAAACAAUGCACCUCAAAAUCACCCCAAUCAACGUAAUAAUUGAAAUGAAAAAGACAAAAGACUCUCACACAAGGCAACUACUUCAAUAAGCAAAUUUAAGUGUUAAAGGCACCUCCCAAUUAAACAAAUAAUCUCAGCAAUUUACCCACAAUUAGACACAAGUUAUAAUAAAUUAGACACUAUUGGACCCAAAAUCAUAACAAGUGUCUCCAAUUGGACAGUCAAUCACUUAAGAUUAAGAAAUUGGAGGCAAACUAUCACAACCAAUACCACUGGUGGACUCACAGGGAAAAAUUAAAUCAAACGGCCAACCAAAGCACUGAUAAAUCCAACAACACCAAGCAAAGCAGAAAUAAAAUUAAAAAAAAUUCAAAAUGGUAACUAAUUUGCCAAGAACCUAAAUUGCAGUUGAAGCCCCAAACAACUCACUAAGUGAAAAAUCCAGCACCUCCUGCGAUUAUUCAGCAAGAAACCCAGGAAAAAGAAACAAACUUCAGCAUUUUAAGAUCUAGAAAAUUGCUAAUCGGGGAGGGGGGAUUCAAUAGCUCCACCUGUCGAAAAUUGACAAGUGGCGUGAGGUGAUCUGGAAUUGAAGUCGCGUGUGAGGGAAGCGACGGUGCACCGGCGAGGUGGAGAGGAGCGACUGGAGUUGGUGGUAAGCUGAGGUCGAGCUUGCGAUAGUGAGCUGGGCAGGAGGUAUUGGCGCGGCCAAGGAAAGUUCGCGCGCGGUGGUGGUGUUUGCCGCUGAACUCUGCGACCUUAGAUGAGUUGCGGACAGCUGCUGUGGCUGUUGGUGGAGACUGAAGGAAAAGCUGCACGCUGGGUAGCGCACGGAGAAAGAGCUGACGCAGUGGAAAGGGAGAUCGAGAUGGAGAGAGAGAGCUGAGCUGGAGAGUGGAGCUAGUUGCGUUGCAAGUAGUGACGGCGGCAGUUGGUGGUGUUUGGCGAGAGAGAGUGAGAGAGCAAAUGGAGGUGGUGGCGGCUGGCAUUGCUUGGGCUGCAGGAGGUCGACGCGAGCUGGUGGAGAUGAGGCACUGGCGGCUGCAUGCAGAGGUGGACGCUGGGUUGUGGUGGGCUUCAGGCGGAAGUCGGCGGCAACUAUGGACAGGGAGGAGGAGCUGCGCACAGCUCUGGGUUGCGCGCGGCUGGCGGAGCUUACAAUGAAGAAGAAGAAGCGAGCAGCGGGGAAGAAGAAGAAAGAAAGAAAGGAAAGAAAGAAAAGAAAAAGAAGGAAAGAAAAAGAAGAAAAGAGAAAAAAAAAUAUAGUUUUUGGUCUUACAUUUUUUUUUUUAAAAAAAAUUCAGAAAUUGAAUUGCUGAAAAACUAACCGAAUGUUAAGAAAGGAAGUAAUUUUUUUUCGAUUUUUUUGAUUUUUUUUUUAUUGCAAAAAUUUGAAAUUUUUUUUUUUUUUUGUUUUAGUUCGUCAAACAUGGCGUGGGCACGCCAAGAUUAGAAAACAUUCUCUGACUUGAGAAUCAGUUUUUGAACAUUAACGCGUGCCCUCUCCGCGCGGGCACGCCAAGAUUCCACUUCGUAAUGUUGAGAUUUUACCAACAUGGCGUGGGCAUGCCAUGUUUUAGAAACAUCCUCUGACCUUGAAAUUGGAACUUGUGAGAUUAAUGCGUGCCCUCUUCGCACGGGCACGCCAUGAUCACCUGUCAAAAUAAAAAAUUGGGUUGCCUCCCAAAAGCGCCUUUCUUUAACGUCUUUGCCUAGACGGAGUCUAGAAUUUGCUUAAACUAAGCAAAUCGAGUCUUCCGGUUGUAUCAUCUCCACCCGUUCAAUUGGAAAUCCUUCAUAAUACGGCUUGAGACGGUGACCAUUCACCACAAAUUUCUUCUCCGUUUUCAAACUUUGGAUCUCUACUGCACCAUAAUGAAAGACAUUAGUCACAACAAAAGGGCCAAUCCAACGAGAACGUAAUUUACCUGGAAAUAGUUUCAAUUUGGAGUGGUAUAGUAAAACUUUUUGCCCGCAGACGAAUGUCUUCCUAGAGAUCUGUUGGUCAUGAAAGAUCCGAUUCUUCUCCUUAUAGAUCACUGCAUUCUCGUAUGCUUCAUUUCGGAUUUCUUCCAACUCUUGUAAUUGUAACUUUCUUUGAAUUCCGCCUUCCUCGAUAUCCAUAUUACAUUGUUUGACAGCCCAAAAUGCUCUAUGCUCAAACUCUAUUGGGAGAUGACAUGGCUUUCCAAAUACCAAUCGGUAAGGGAACAUGCCAAUAGGUGUCUUGUAUGCCGUCCUAUAUGCCCAUAGUGCAUCCUCUAGUCUCACACUCCAAUCCUUCCUAUCGGGUCGGACCAUCUUUUCUAGAAUUGAUUUGAUCUCUCGGUUCGAUGCUUCCGCCUGACCAUUUGUCUGAGGAUGGUAGGAUGUAGAGACUUUGUGCAAGACACCAUAUCUCCUAAAAAUUGCAGCGAUCGUUUUGUUGCAGAAAUGAGUACCCCGAUCACUUACAAUUGCUCGCGGCAUUCCAAAGCGAACAAAAAUAUUAGACUUAACGAAUUCUGCAACCACUUUGGAAUCAUUAGUGCGGGUGGCCUUUGCUUCUACCCACUUCGAAACAUAAUCUACAGCAAGCAAUAUAUACAAAAAACCAAAUGACGAAGGAAAAGGACCCAUAAAAUCAAUGCCCCAAACGUCAAAAAUUUCAACAAAAAUUGUUGGGGUUUGAGUCAUUUGAUCCCUACGAGAGAUAUUACCCACUCUUUGACACUUAUCACAUGACUUACAAAAUGAGUAGGCAUCCUUGAAUAGAGUUGGCCAAUAGAAUCCACUCUCUAGCACCUUUCGAGCCGUUCUCUUCGGUCCAAAAUGACCUCCACAUGCAAAAGAGUGACAAUAGGCUAUAAUAGAUUGAAAUUCAACUUCACUUACACAUCUACAGAUGAUUUGAUCGGCACCCCGCUUCCAGAGAUAAGGAUCAUCCCAAAUGUAGAACUUUGUAUCGCUCCUCAACUUGUCUCUCUUUGCCUUAGGCCAUCCUGUAGGAAAUUUGUCAGUGACUAGAAAAUUAACAAUAUCUGCAUACCAAGGCAAAGAUGAAUUAAUAGAAAAUAAAUGCUCCUCUGGGAAUGCUUCUCUCAAUGGGAUGUCAUCUUCGGUGACUUGUACUCGACUCAAGUGAUCUGCUACCAGAUUCUCCGCCCCUUUCUUAUCUCGGAUCUCCAGGUUGAACUCUUGUAGCAACAAUAUCCACCGUAUUAAUCGCGGUUUUGCCUCUUUCUUGGUUAACAGAUACCGCAAAGCUGCAUGAUCAGAAAAAAUAAUAACUUUAGCACCAAGUAAAUAAGACCGAAAUUUCUCUAAGGCAAAAACAACUGCUAAAAGCUCCUUUUCGGUGGUUGAAUAGUUCAAUUGAGCUCCGUUCAAGGUUCGAGAUGCGUAGUAGAUAGCAUGGGCUGCCUUUCCCACUCUUUGACCCAAUACCACACCAACUGCAUAGUCACUGGCGUCGCACAUGAUCUCAAAUGGGAGGUUCCAGUCAGGGGGUUGGAUAAUAGGUGAGGAGGUCAAUAACUCCUUUAACUUAUCAAAUGCCCCCUUACAUGUUUCAUCGAAUUCGAAGGAUACAUUUUUUUGUAAAAGUUGGAAUAAGGGUGCUCCAAUUUUCGAGAAAUCCUUGAUGAACCUUCUAUAGAAACCUGCGUGACCCAAGAAGGAACGAACUUUCCGCACACUCACGGGGUAAGGUAAAGUAGAUAUAACAUCUAUUUUUGCCUUAUCAACCUCAAUACCUGUAGAUGAUACAACAUGACCCAAAACUAUCCCGUGUUCAACCAUAAAAUGACAUUUUUCCCAAUUAAGCACGAGAUUAGUUUCUAUACACCUUACUAAGAUCAAUUUCAGGUUAUCUAGACAGUUUUCAAAACUUUCACCAUAUACACUGAAAUCGUCCAUGAAAACCUCAAUAAUAUUCUCAACAUAUUCUGAAAAGAUACUUACCAUGCAUCUUUGGAAGGUAGCAGGUGCAUUGCACAAUCCAAAUGGCAUCCUUCGGUAUGCAAAUGUUCCAAAUGGGCAGGUGAAAGUAGUUUUCUCUUGGUCUUCGGGUGCGAUGGCAAUUUGAAAAUAACCUGAAAAUCCAUCCAAGAAACAAUAGUAAGCUCGACAUGCUAAUCGCUCCACCAUCUGAUCAAUGAAAGGGAGGGGAAAAUGGUCCUUUUUCGUGACGGCAUUUAGCUUUCGGUAAUCGAUACACUGUCGCCAUCCGGUGGGCUUUCGAAUUGGUACGAGCUCACCCUCUUGGUUUGAUUCCACUGUCACCCCUGCCUUCUUCGGGACCACCUGUACUGGACUUACCCACGGGCUAUCUGAUAUUGCAAAUAUAAUUCCAACGUCCAGCAGUUUUAAAAUCUCUUUCUUUACGACCUCCAUCAUGAGAGGAUUUAAUCUCCGUUGAGCUUGCCGUACGGGUUUAGCAUUCUCCUCGAGUCGAAUUCGGUGCAUACACACCGCAGGGCUAAUUCCCUUGAUGUCGGCGAUGGUCCAUCCUAUCGCCUGCUUAUGUUCCCUAAGAACUCGAAGUAGUUUCUCUUCUUGAACCUUUGAUAAACCCGCGGAGAUGAUCACUGGAAGUGUCUCCCCUUCACCUAAGUAUACAUACUUUAGGUGUUUCGGCAGUGGUUUUAGUUCCAAGACAGGUGCCUGCACCACAGAUGGAAGUAACCUUUGGUGAGGUUCGGGUAUGAAAAUCGGUGCAAGAUCAUACCUUGUCUUCGUGGUUGGUAAUGUUUGCAACGAUCCAAUCACGCAUUUAAGCUCUUCACUCAACUCUACCCUAGAGGUCGUUUCGGACUCAAAGUGCCUGGUCAGGACGACCUCUAGUUCAUCCCUGCCUUCAAUUUCAAAAACCUCCUGUAUAGCAUGGUCAAUAACAUUUACCGAGAAAACAGAGCCAAUAUUUGAAUCGGAUGGAUAUUUCAUGGUCUCAAAGAUGUUAAAGUGAACAAUCUCACCAUCAAAUUCCAUAGACAAAGUACCCUUAUUAACAUCAAUUUUGGUUCGGGCUGUGCUCAAAAAGGGUCUACCUAACAACAAAGGUGACGGAUCACGGGAGUGUUCAUCCUCCAUGUCGAGCACAUAAAAAUCAGCUGGAAAAACCAAUUCGUUAAUUUUUACCAAAACAUCUUCAAUCAACCCGUCAGGGUAUGCAUUGGUCCUGUCAGCUAAUUGGAUUAUUAUCCCAGUCUCUUUCAAAGGGCCUAAGUUUAAGGAAGCAUAAAUGGACUUUGGCAUGACAUUAAUUGAGGCUCCCAGGUCUAACAUGGCCUUUCCAAUCAAAGUAUUACCUAUCCUACAAGGAAUUGUAAACAUACCUGGAUCUCCGCAUUUUGGUGGAAGUUUCCUUUGUAGAAUUGCUGAAACAUUCUCCCCAACUAUAACUCGUUCAUCCCCCUUCAACCGCUUGCGGUUGGCACACAGGUCCCUCAAAAAUUUUGCGUACCUGGGUACUUGUUUAAUCGCAUCCAGCAGGGGUAUGUUGAUCUCCACCUUGCGAAAGAUCUCCAAGACCUCUUUUUCCUUGUCUUUCUUCUUUGGUUUCUCUAACCUGCUAGGAAAGGGAGGUGGAUUAGUUUUAGUUGUAGGAAUUGGGUUCGAGGGUACCUUUGCAUUUUUGUUGUCUGUGCCCUCAUCUUCCAAUUCUUUCUCAAUCCGUUCCUCGUCCUUGUCUUUAGGAAUCACCGGUUCGGGUCCUUGGACUUUCUUGCCACUCCUCAAGGUCAUUGCACUUACAUUCUUUGGAUUCACCUCAGGUUGAGAUGGCAACUUCCCUUGAAUUUGGGACUCCAAACGGUUGAUCGUUAUGGCCAUUUGAUUCAUUUGAUUUUGCAAUGAUUGCACCUGUCCCAGUUGAUUCCUCAUGCUUUGUAAGUCUGAAUCCGUCUUUUGUUGGUUAACAAGUAAUUGCUUCAUCAUUUCUUCCAUGGACGGACUUGAGUUUGAAGGGGGUGGUGGUGGUGGUGGGCGAGGAUGGUACUGCUGUUGGUGUCCUUGCUGUCUAUUUGGCACAAAGUUAGACUGCCUAUUUCCUCCAUAGCUAAGGUUGGGGUGAUCCCUCCAACCAGGAUUGUAGGUGUUUGAGUACGGGUCGUACUGCUUUCUUGGCGCGGGCGCGUGGCCAGCCAUGUUCACCUGUUCUGCAGUUUCUUCUUGAACCAGUGGACACAUUUCCGUAGGAUGACCCACGGCAGUGCACACCCCACACACUUUGACUUGUGAAGCACUCCCCACAGCUAAUUGUCUUACGAACGAUGUUAAUUCGGAGAUCUGCUGUUGGAUAGAGGACGUUUCCACCUCAUUCACCUUACGCGUCGGGAUGUCCUCUCUUGAACCAAACUGCUGUGAGUUCUCAGCCAUCCCUUCAAUCAACUCCCAUGCUCCUCGAGGGGUUUUGUUCACCAACGCCCCUCCACUUGCAGCAUCGAUUAUGCUUCUGUCCCUGAAAAGCAACCCCUCAUAGAAAUAUUGAAUGAGCUUAAAAAUAUCAGAAAAAUAUCAGAAAAAAAAAUGAACUUAAAAAGAAACAAAUGAUUAACGCCAGUCCCCGGCAACGGCGCCAAAAAUUGACAGGUGUCGAGCCUGUGCAAUAAUAAAUACCUACUCGAGAAAAAUGAAUUUUUUGUGUAUAGUAGUGAGUAGGGUCGAAUCCACAGGGACUGGGAAAAAUUCGAUUCUUUUCAAGUUCGGGACACGGGGGAUUUUUAUCAGAAAUAAACUAAAAAUAAUUAAAUAAUUUAACCAAAAAUAAAUAAUUAAUUAAUACAAUUGUAAAUAGCAAUUAAAUAAAUGAUAAAUAAAUUCUAGCCAAGGAUACAACUACGCAGACACAGUCCAUUCAUCCGAUCAUUGAUGCAAAGAAGGUUCACUUAAUUUUAUUAACAGGUUAGUUAUAGUCGCCGAUAAACUCUAACGACCAGCUUUUCCUUAAUUUAUUGAUAACCAAGGUACGACCGUUGAUUACCCCUAACCAGGAAAUACUCCUAGGUACGACCGUAGGAAUUAAUUUCCUAAUUGCAUUAAAAACUAGAAAAGCCUAACCCAAAUUAAUAACACGCUACGAGGGUUAUUUAAAUCAGAUUGCAUGUCCCCCUAGUAUGUGAAAAUACUAGUUGUCACUAAUAUUAAUCAACUAAACAAUUACGGAUUUAAUUGAUUAAUUUGACAAGAGAUUAAUAAGUCAAAUUGCACAUCGGGCCCUUGAUAUCCAAUUAACAAAAUAAUCCCAUGGAAAUUAAAAUAGAAAACAUGCAAAUAUUAAUAAAUUAAGGAACACGUAAAAUUAAUUAGAUCUCACAGAUAUUUGGGACUGCGUCUUCGCGUUGAUCCUUGACUAGAGGAGAAAAUUAGCCACGCCUCAUAAGAAAAUUCCCACGCAAUUUAAAUGGAAUCAAAUACAUAAAUAACUAACUAAGAAUUUAGGAAGAAACUUGAGUCUCGCUAAACUCUUUUAAGAAAAGUUGCACACCACACAACAAGAGAAGGAAGAACUCCUCCUCUGAAAACCAAAAACUACCUCUAUCCUCCUACGGAGCUUCUCUGGAGAGAAAACUCCAAAACUAGUCUAAUGUCUUAUGAAAAACUAUCGUCUAAUGCCUUUCCCUUAUUUUAUUUUAGCACUAGUUUCCUAAGAGAACUAGUGACGUAGGAAGCUAAGUGGAAAAGCUCAAUCAUCAAAGUCAACACCUUGACUAAUGAGUAUAUCUCCCACAAUAAGAACAAACUUUCUACGUGGUCCCCACUUUGAUUUCUUAUUGCUAGUGGAUUUCAUCAUAUCAAUUCAAUUCUUCAUCAGCAAUUCCGUUCAUCAGCAAUUCCGUUGGUUUGCACAAUUUGGGCUGAUGGUGGAAAGCUUUUAGAAGCUUUCACGUGUGGAGAAAUCUUCUCAAGAAGGUCCCCUUUUAGCACUUUUCUGCUUCACUUUCUGAAAUUAUAUCCAAAUACCAAAUAUAAAUAUAUAUUGACAAUUAAAACAAUAUUUGGCAAGGAUAAAGAGGAAAAUUAACGAUAAAAUUACUAACAAUUAAUACCCUAUCAAAAGAAAACAACAUAUUAAAUUAGUAAAUCAAUUUUUACUGAAAGAAAGAGAAAAAAUGUAUAAAAUUUCACAGAGGAACCUAAAAUUGUGAUCAUAGUGAAUUUCAAAUUUUAUCACUUUUCAAGAAUGUAAAAAUAACUUAGGUAUUAAUGCAAAUAAUUAAUUAACACUUAGGAAAUUUAUUAGACUUCUAUGAAAUGAAGGGAGGAAGUAGGAUAAAAUUUUAAAAAAUAAAAGAAUAGAAAUUAAAAAAGGGGAAAAAUGAAAAAUAUGUCUUUGUAAAAAAUUAGAAUAUAAUUAUUGGAGUGAUUUAGAUUUACCCAUUAAUGAUCUAAACAUGUCAAAAUAAGUGAUCUAAACAUGUCAAUUUAAUACCCAUUAAUUAAUGGGUUUAAUUAGGUCACUCAUUUAUUUGUUGAUGGGCGAGCCAAGUAAACAGGUUAGCGGGAUAGAGCAAAGAGAAAAAAGAAUUUUGGGGAAUAUGAAGGAUUAGAGAGUUGUUUUUUUUUUUUAUUGAUACGAUAGCUUCCUACACUAUGGGGAGGAGGAGGGUUUGAAGAGGUUUUGGAGUAACUCGGAGGAGAUUUAACCACCACCGGACCAGAUGGGGUGCACUACGCACCUGCCUGGAUUUUUUAAACAAUGCCACAUUUAAUUGUGACAAAUUGGUGGAAAACAAUAUUUGAACCCUUGUCUCCUACCCCACCAAGCCUUAAUGCAUUGAUGGUAGCCACCAGCCUUUGGGCUCGUCGUUAUUAGAGAGUUGUGACUUGUGAGAAAGUUGGCUAAUAAGAAAUGUGAGGAAAAGGAUAGUGGAGAGUAAAGGGAUAUGGUGGAGCAAAUGGUGCUAAGAGGGAGAAUAUGGGGGAGAGAGAGGUAUUAAUGUUGUUUUUUUUUUUUUUUCCUGACGGAGGGGGUAUACGGGCCAUCAGGUAAAUCGGACCCGACUAAUCCCCCACCAGCCCGGGAGGAGAGGCCCCAUUCCUCCGAACACGAUAACCAUGUGACUCGAACCCUUGUGGGACUGGACAACGGCUCCUAAGGAGGUUUGCCGUGACCAACCGAGCUGCCCAUGAGGGGCAUAUUAAUGUUGUGUUUGGUGUGCUUUUUUUUGUGAUCUUUUUUCAUAUUUUUUAUAUGCUUUAAGGUUUUAGAUAAGAUACAUAAAUAAGAUAUAAAUUAGAUAAUAGUAUUCUUUUAAGUUUUUAAUCUUUUUUAAAUGUAACUACUAUAAAUAAUUCAUUUAUUAUUGUUAUUAUCAUCAUCAUCUUAGAUAUAAAUCAUGCAUAACACGGGUCAGAAUACUAGUUUUAUAUGUACUCUAGAAGGAUAUUUCGAUACCUAAUUCAUUGAAAAAAAUAUUUUACUUACAUUAUAAAUAUAUCUCUUAGUUAUAUUUUUAUUUUUAAAUUAUCUUUUUAUUUCACAUAAUCACAUACAUCUAUAAUGCUGUAAUAAAUUUUUUUUUCUCUAAGUGAUGAACUAUACAAACACCUUAUGCUAAUACAAUUUGGUAAUGACGAACCACUUUCCUAUAAAAAGGCAUGUGUCACCGAUGGACGAUUUGUAACCGUUGCCUAUGUCAGAAACAUGUUGGUGAGCGAUGUAUGUCCUUGCUGGGCAAUUUGUAACCGCUGCUACUGAUGUCAAAUUUUGUGUCCUUACUGAAUGAUCUGUAAUUGUUGGUGCCAUGUGAAAACUGUGUUGGUGAGCGAUCUGUAUCCUCGCUAGACAAAUUUGUAACUACUGAUGCCGAUGUCAGAAUUGCAUUGGUGAGCAAUCUGUAUAGAUCCAUCUAUGGUCCAAGAGGUAUGUAUGACUCGUAAGAGUAAUCGAAAUCGAAUCCGAAUCCAUCUAAAACUUUUUUUUUACCAAAAAAAAUUAAUAAAACAAAAGCCAUGUUUUAAACUGAUGUCAGAACUGCUGUGUUGAUGAAUAUAAGUCCAUAUAUGAUCUCAGAGGUAUGCCCUAACUCGCAUGCGUAACAGAAAUCGAAUCCAAAUCCCUCUAAACUUUUUUUUUUUUUUUUUAACAAAUAAAAAACACAAACACAUGUUUGAAAGGAAAUGCGUGGAACUUGGGAGUGGAAAUUAAAGAGAGAGAUUGGAAAUGCCCUUGGGCUUUGACUCAUAAAGACUCCUCGUCACUGUGCAGCAAGUAAAGUUCCUUUCUUUCCCUCCAAGUAUCCGGCUUCCCUCAGUUCUCCAGACCCACGCGAGAGAUGGGCGGCCAGGAUAAACCCCCAGGACCCGGACUCGAACCCGACAUACAGCCAUUACUGAACGCCUCCAAAUACUUCCUCUGUCACCGGAACUUUUCCCAGAGCUUGAAAUACGCGGACAAAGCCCAGCAAUCCAAUCCAAACCACCCUGGUCCGCCCCAAAUCCUCGCUAUAUCCACUGUUCUCUCGGCGACUCCGUCCUCGACCCGACCCGAACAGCCAGAAUGGUACUUAAUCAUCAACCUCCCUCGUUUUACUCAAGACCAGAAUCUGAUUCGGACCCGUUGUGCUUCGCUCGUCAACCUCUUAAACCCUGACACAAACCCUUACCCAUUUGCAGCCGAAGCCCGUGAUUGGGUUGUCAAAGCAGAAUCUGUUUUGUCUGACCCGGACGCGAAAGCCCAGUAUGAUAACGGAUUGAAAAUGACGCAAAAAAAUGUUGGAAAUGGCGGCGGAACUUUUUGGACUUUGUGUCCGUACUGUUACUUUAUGUAUGAGUACGAGAAAAUGUAUGUGGAUUGUGUCCUGAGGUGUCAGAAUUCCAAAUGCAGGAGGGCUUUCACGGCGGUGGCCGUUGCUGCUUCAGCGGCGCCGCCACCGGAGGUGCUGGAGGAAGGAAAGUAUACCUGUUAUGGGUUUUCGCCGCUGGGUUCUAACAAUGGAAGUGGUGGUGAUUCUGGUGAAGAGAGAGGGAAAAGUUGGUGGGCUCCAUUUGUAUCCAUGGGUCAAUAUCCGGGUCCAGUUCGGGCCGAUGAGGAAAAGGUGGAUGUGAGGACUAAUGUGGACUCAAGGAGUGAAAAGAGUAAUGGGUUUAUUGAAAUUUCUGAUGAUGAAACUGCAGGUAAAGAGAAAAUUGAAAGAGGGGGACAGGGAAACGGUGUUAACGAUGGGAAGGUGGUGAUGAAGAGGAAAAAAAUGGCUGCUAUAGGGAAGAAGAAAUUGAUGGGAAAAGGGAUUAGAGUUGUUGGGAACCAUAGUUUAUCAGCGGAGGGUGGUGAAGGAAUAGGAUUUAAAGCUGGAGGGAACGAAGCAAAUGCAAAUACAAGUCCAGGGAAUGAAGCAAAUGCAAAUACAAGUGGAGGGAUAACGGAAGGCUGUAAUGAGGAGGAAUUGGAGUUUUGUGCUGGAGAUGAUGAUAUUUUUGUUGCUGUGAAUCCUUGUGCUGAUUUAGGAUGUGAAAAGCUUAGGAAUUGAUGAGAGAUGAGUUGGGGAUUUUGAACUCUGUUUUUGUGCACUGUUUUUCUAGCUGGGAGCCUUGGACAUGAUGGUGUACUAAAUGGCCAGUAAAGUUUUGUAACUGGUAGAAUCAUGUUGAUAAUCAUUAGAAUUGUAGACCAUAGAACUGGUAGAAGUGAAGAAGUAAUCCUGAAUAUGGUUCUUGAUAUCUUUGUGUGGCUGUCAUGUGGAUUCUUUUGCCGGUAGUAUUUGAUGUUUUGAAACAGUUAUAUGGCCAAUAGUAUGCUUGGUUUUAUCCAAAAGUAAGUUGGAAAAAAAAAACAGAGAAAGGGAUCAUAUGAUUGGUUAUCUUUUUGUUUAUAGUUUGUUAUUGGCAUACGAGUAUUAAGUCAUAAGCAAGGAAGAAGAUUAAAAUAUUCUAGGUGCUUUAAUUUGAUUGCUGGGUUUUGGAUCUGCUCUGCUUUGCCGUCCAAUUUUUCUAACAUUUCCCGCCAAUAAUAUUUCUUCAGCAAUCAAAUUGGGUCUGAAUCUGCUCUGUUUUAAAGUCCAAUUUUUCUUCUAUUUCCUGUCAAUUUUUAUACUAUUCUAGCUGCUUUAGUUAGAUUGCUGGGUUUUGAUCUGCUCUGCUUUAGUGUCUAAUUUUCUGACGUUUCCUGUCAAUAUUUUAGAUUUUCUUUACCUUUGCCUUUUUCUUUGCUGGAUUGCAUUGUUUAUGUUUCUGGUCUUCCUUUUAGUGCUGAUGCUGAGGAUCUUUAAUGUCUGAAAAAUCUGAGCCUAAAUUUCUCUAACUUGGACAAGUCUGAAUGUUGGUGUAGCUGUAUAUCUAGGAUGGUAAAUUGAUGGGGAUUUGACUUGUCAAGUUGAGAAAAGGGGGUUUUUUUGGGGGGGAAAGAAAAUGAAGCUGAAGUUGAUGAGGACAUGAACUCUUCAUGUCGAGUAUUUACAUUAUACUUGAAUUUUGGUUCUGUCCUGAGGUUUGGUGCAUUCUCCUUGAUUCUAAUAAAUUGGUGGUGGCUCAUCUAUCUUCUUCUACUUCUUGUUGGAAGGUCCAUUGUAACUUUUUGGUAAUUUGGGUUCGGAUUGCAUCAAGAGAUAUCCUGCAAUAUUGGGUUAUCUUUUAAUGAGAUACUGGGAUAAUAUAAUGGACUAGUUCAGCUCUGAGAAGCUAGUUUUUAAAGACUCAGAUCAACAAUGGGAAAUUAUGUGUUAUGUUUAUUUGAUUAGGGUGACACACUGGUACUAGGAAGCAAUAAAGAAGUUAUUACCUCUUUGAAAAUGUUGUGUGUGUAUAAAUCAAGAAGCGACUGUGUUAAUUUGUUGAAAAAUAAGAACCACUAAAAGUAUGCAGAAAUCUAGUAAUCAAGCAUCGGUAGUCCUGUCCUGUGGCCCUCUUUCUUUUCUGUCUCUUUAGCAUCAAGUAGAAUAAGAGAAUUGGAAUGAUAUAUAAGUGGGAGAACAGGGGCAGACAUCCCUACAAGGGCCUGUCCGGACUAAUCUAGGAUGUCUACCUAAUUUUAUCUUCCAGUUUAGCCCCCUGUGACUGGAUGGUCUUUUACCUAUAUUGACUGCUAUUAACAAGUCUGAAGAGAGAUUGUGUUAUAUCAUGUGGGUGCGUUUGCAUAUUGAGCAUUUAGCUUCCCUGCGAAUGCUUUUUCUUUUUAUUUUAAUUGUGUUUUCAACGAGAAUAGAUUUUGCUUCUUCUUGAUUUGCUUGUGUCUUGCGUGUUCUGCUUUAUUCUGCUUAGAUAUCACAGUUGAACUGCAUAUCUUCUGAUGCAUGUCGUCAUGUCAUUCUUCGCCUAAAUUGUGCUGAGAAUAGGAAUGAGAAGAAAAAAAUCUCUAAACUACCUAGGUGCAGAGAAACAGCUUCAUAGGCUUAAAGCCGCUCCCACAGGUUCUGGUUCUGCAUUUUCUUGCCUCACCAACUCUCUCCCUCUCUCUUGCUUAGUUGCUUUUGAUUUUUCUGAUGUUUCUUCCAUUUGAUAAUGUAUGAUCAGAUAGAGCGUGAUCUCUUUUAGGCCGCGUACGAGUUCAUACUUUGAGAUGGAUGAGGAACUAGCUUGUUGCAGGUUGAUUGAGUUUAUAUAUUAGAUUAAUUAAGACUGCUUAAGAAAAAGAUUGAUGUUAACUUCGAUCAGGCUCAACUAAAAACAGUUUUUCAGUGUGAAGAAAGAUGCUUCUUUCUUUAAGGUGUCAUCCAAUGGCUGUACUAACAACUUUUUGGAAGCAGAUUUUAACUUGAAAGUCGAGACCCCUAACUUUUAUCCAUCUGGGAUUCCUGAUGGGCCAAUUUUACACAUGUUCGAUUGCCCUGUGCAUGUAUUAUUGUUUCCCAAGCUAUAAGGAAGAAAACAGAACUUUUUGUUACAAGCAGCUUCAUGGGAUAUCUUUAACAGCAAAAGAAUUAGUCUUGUGGAAUGGUUUAUUCAGUCAUCUCCCUCUUUUUGUGGUGGGGGAAAUGUGGGGUUUUCUUUCUGGUUGCAUAUUAUUUAACAAAUCAAGUCAAGCUUGCGAAGUGGAACGAAGAAGAUUUAAGUUGAUUUUUUGCACAAUUCGUUGAAGGUGCAAAGAUGCAAAAUAGAACAUAGAGGAGACAUUAAAUUUGGCCGAGAGCGGAAAAUCAAGAUAACAAAAAGAAACUUGAACGUGCCAGGAAAAAAAAAUCACACUACUGCCUUUUGUUCUGCUCUUUGGCUUACUUUUGAAUCAAACUGAUCAUUUUUGUCAAAGCUGAGGACUAAAGAACUUCAAUUCUCUCAAGUUGGGUUUUCUUUUCACACCCACGUGGGCAAAGACACUCAAUUCCUUGCCUCUCCUCAGUCCUCCCCCAAUCCCACACGAAUACAAAAGAAUUUCACACCAAAUAUGCAUACAAGGAUAACUUCCAAAACCCAAAAAAAAAAAAAAAAAAAAACACACGCACACACACACACAAGGAUAGUUGCCUAUACAGGGGAUUUUUCACAUUUUGUCACUAAGUUGUUGGGCAUAGAAAUCCCUCCUUGGAAGUUUAUCCAUGGCAACCGACCAUCUCUGAGAGUUUACGGGCCUAUUUGGUAAAUAAGUUUUUGAUCAAGUUCGUCUGCCACAAGUUUUUUAACAACUUUAGCUAUAGUAAUCUCAAGAAAUUUCUUAAAAAUUUUAAACUAUAUAUUUCAAAAUAUCUAAAAAUUUAUACAUUUCAAAAAUUUUACAAAUAACUCCUAUCGUAAAUUACAGUAAAAUUUUAGACAAACACCCAAAAAAUUUAUUUGACAAACGGCUUGGUUUCAAAGUUGUUGCCAACCUUUGCAUCUUUUAAGUCGAAAAGUGAAAAAGGCAAAGCAAAGCAAAGAUCCAAACUGUAGAUGCUGGAUAAAGAGGACACCCUAUGUUUCUUCAUACCGUGAACUUAGUGAGGUGACCGUCCCAGCUGUAUUUGAUUGAAUUCAACUUUUCAUCCAUUGUGAAUGGGAUCUUUUUCCAUUCCAUUUCAAUCUGUCUGAAACCCAAAUGAUUUUGCAUUGUUUUGCUAAUACACGUAUUUCUUGGUCCUGUUUAUCCUAGGACUAUUUUGCAUAUGCUGAUUUUCACGGACACCUAUUUGACAUAGAAAAAGCAGUUUAAACUGGAGCAAUCUUGAUUUUCAUGCUUGCUUAAUUUAAGCCUUAAAGCUUCAAACGUCAUCAAUGAUAUAAAUGUGAUUGGAAUCUUUUAAGAGAAAGGGUAACUAUUUUUUUGUCUGUAACGAUACAUAUGUAUAACCUACUCUAUCCUAAUAUAGGAUAACUUGAUAUUGUGUUCUUUGUUACAAGGUACAAAAGCAUCCUACCACCAACCUCCAUACUUUUAGCACAAAGGGAACUGAUUAAAGCACAACUAAAAGAAAAGAAAUUAGAAACUUUUUUUAUCAAGAACAGAACAGUUUGCUGAUUGGUCUGUGUUAGAGGCUAACGGUUACAGGAAAAACAAGCCAGCGGUCCUUGUUGCGGAGAACAAGUUUGAGGUCAAAGAGGGGACUGUGGGGCUCUGAAGUUGCAGGUGUGUGGGAACAAAUGGACAAACAGCAAGGCUGCCUCUGCCUUUUCUUUCUUGGGACCCCAAAAAUAAAAUUCUUCUGCUGCAUGCCAAUGCCGUAAUCAACUGCGCCGGAAAAUCAUUGCUCUUUUGAACUUCUCCAUUAGAAUUCACUGGCCAAACCAAAAGCACAUCUUGUGAUAAAUAUUCUCCCUGCGCUUCUCACCUUUUUGUUCCUGUGUUUUGUUCAUAUCCCAAUAAUGUCAAACGCAGCGUUAUACGUUAUGAAUUCUAUACUUCAUGUAGGGGAAAAAAAAAUUGUACUAGUAUCACUUGGUUAUCAUACAUGCACCUUUUGAUUCUCUAUUGCUAGAACUCGUGCAGAAGCAGAUCUCCUCCAUUCGAUUUGUCAAUUUUGAUAAACGUAUUUUAAUUGAAAUAUAUUUUUGAUAAUUUUUCUAUCUAGUCUAGAAGUUUGCUAUUACAAUUUUCAAAGUUUCUUUGCAUGUAUUCCUGUCUGCCAUAAGAUCUAACAAGAAGUCAAGAACUCAAUGACGGGUGAAUGUUGUAAUGAUUAUUUCUUUUGUAUGACAAGCACACUACUGUAAUUUUUAGAGUUGUAGACAUUUAUAAAAUAUUAGUGGUGUUCUAACAUAAAUGAAUCUCUCAAUAUAAUCCUGUUCUUAUUCCAAAAUUUUAGAUACAUUCACUCCUAAAAAGAGAAUACUCUCAUGAUUUUUCGUUUAUGUUGUGUAAGUGAAAUUGAAAUUCACAGCGCUGUGACUGUUUGUCCAAAUUAAGGGCAUAGCUACAACCAUUAAGAGGUCAAGGGAUCUUUUCAAAGAGGGAUCAUAGUUUGGGGGCUUAAGUGAAUAUACCGAAAAGUGAAAAGUACAAAUAGCCUGAUUUUAUUAGUGAACCUUUGCCUUACAGUCACACCGCAUCCUUACUAACAAGUCCAACUAGACAUACUAAAAGCAUCACUCAUUUUCACUUCAAAUUGGCUGAUGUCCUGAUGAAGAUAGAGCAAUCUUGGCAUCCAACUCUUACGAAAACAAUCCUUUUGUCUUGGUAACAGGAGAAAUCAUCUCUGGGAUUUUUGUGCGAUAUUUCAGAUUUACAGAAUCUUCAAACUCAGAGGCGUACCAGAAGAAGCAGGUUGGAUUCUAACUAUAAAUGCUUCACCUUGAUUACGUUGCAAUUUUCCUCAAUCAUUUUCACUUCUACUAGUUCCCGUGGAAACAUAUGCCUUAAACGCCAAGAUUCUUCUUUUUUCUUGUGCUUCUUUGUUGUUUUUACCGAGAUGGAUUAUUCAUUUGUCUACUUUUGAUGCCUCACUUCUACUUGCUUUUGUCUACUCUUUUAUAUCAAGUGAGAGGAGCAAAUGCAUACUUUGCCAAGUUUCUAUGAAGUUGGAAGCUGUUCAGAGUCUUACAACUUCCUUCACGAAAUUUUGAACUCAAGAGAGCAACUGCACCUUGACAAUUCAAACGUUAAUGCCAUUUCAAUGGCUGAGGCAAAAGCAGUUGCAGCAAACAAGAGCCACAGUGAAGCUGAAAGGAGAAGAAGAAAGCGUAUCAAUGGUCAUCUUGCGACACUUCGCAACCUUCUUCCCAAAACCAUCAAAGUAAGUUUUGUUCAUUCAUCUAGUUGCUCUUUUUAUUUCCCUAUUCAACUUUUCCAUGUUCAAAAGACGACCCUCCAUUCUUCUUUUCUUGGUUAAUAAGUUUGAAAUGUAAUGAAUAUAGGCAGACAAGGCAUCAUUGUUAGCUGAGGUUGUCCGGUGCCUAAGAGAGCUAAAGAAGUCAACAGAAGAACUCUCAGCUACAGAAGGUGAUGAUCAGUCCAACACAGCAAUGAAACUCAUGUUUCCUAGUGAAACUGAUGAACUCAAGUUAUGUUAUGAUGAUGGAGAUUCAAGGACUAUAAAGGCAAGAUUAUGCUGCGAGGACCGACCGGAGAUGAUGAUAGAGUUAAAGAGGGCAUUAAACGCAGUAAAAGCUAAGGUGGUGAAGGCAGAAAUGGCAACAGUUGGGGGAAGAACAAAAACUGUGCUUUGGCUGCAAGCUUCAGCAGCUGGAGAAGAAGGGCUGGCGACAAUAAGGAGAGCACUGAAAGUGGUUGUAGACAGGUCUAUCAUGUUGUCUACUCCUGGCCAGGCUUUGCCGGGUAACAAGCGGCCUCGUCUCUAUCACUGCUGAAUAUGAGUUUAGGGUUUUGUAUUUUCUGAAUCUUGACGGUGCCCCCUGUUUAAAAUGGUCCAUACUAAUGUUGGGGAUGGGGACCAAUGACCCCAUGGAAAUUGAAAAGUGAGCUAAGGUGAUCAUGGAUGAGGUAGGAGAAUUUGAAGUGUCAAUUUGGUAGAAGAUUUAUCCUAGUUAUGUAUGAAUGUCAAACUCCCAGCUGGUGCUAUGAAUCUAAAAAGUAGUACUGCCUGCGCUGCGAGAUCUUCAUUCGUGUUUCCUUUUAAUUUUAAUUGAGAAGCAAAAUUGCGAGCUCUGAGUGAAUUAUGAAAGGGGUAAAAGUUUAAAUUAUUUUGGUAGAAUUCUUCGUUUUGCAGGCUGUUUCUAAUGAUUCCUUGAGUUACUAACAUGUUCCUUUCUUUGAAGGGAAAAAAAAAUUGUAACAGGGUUGAGCUAGUAAUGAUUUCCUUUUUCUAAUCAAAAGUUUGACUUCGACUUAGAGUAAGAGAAAAGUGGGGUUGGGGGAGCCUAAUCACUGAUUUCUUGUUUUUCGACUUUAGAAUCCAAGGUAAUCAUUAACAUUUGCUCUUAUCAGACUAGACUAUACUAUUUCAGGCAUAUGUUUUUAGCCUUUAAUAGUUUAAUCAUAUGAAACACUAGCUUAUCUUUUUCUCAAUUUUGGAGCAAAUGUAUUACCAAUUUCUAACUCUUAUUUGACACGCGACUGCAGUCACUCCCCCUCAUUUGUUUGCUUAAAUUACGUAAGACCUACUCCAUGUUUUUUCUCAACCAAGCCAUACACAUACCUUCAUCAAGAAUGUUGUCCUAUGUUUGAAAUCAAUUGAGAAGUUGAACUAACAAUAGAAAUCCUCCAUUUCUUCACAACUACAUUUUAUCCAACUCUUUGAACUUUCCAAACACACAAAAUCUAUAAUUCACUAUAAAUAGCCAAUGCAGUUCCAAUCAAUUCAUUCAACUCAAAACAAAAGAAAGUACAAACCCUUUUAGCCACACUCUUUUUGUGCUUUUGAUCAAACAAUGGCUGCCUUGAACCAUUGUCUCCUUUUCUCCUUGAUGGUAGCAUUCUUCUUCUCAAGCUUCCAAAUGAGUUUCGCAGCCCGCCACCUGCUGCAGGCACCAUUGAUUCCAACAAUGCCUACGAUCCCAUCGCUUCCUAAACCCGCUGGGAUGCCUCCAUUGCCUUCAAUUCCAAGCAUUCCUAAGGCAACAUUGCCACCUUUGCCAAGCAUCACAUUGCCUAAAAUCCCAGCUGCUGCUGCACCACUGCCAAAGCCCACUUUGCCAAGCACACCUCCGCUCCCAUCCUUGCCAAUACCCACCCUACCAUCUUUCCCAUCUGUUCCCAAGUUCACUCUACCUCCACUGCCAUCCAUUCCAAAAAUCCCCGUCCAAGCACCACCACCAUCUCACUAGUGCUGGAGGCUCGAGUUCUUGCAUUUGGUUUCAUUACGCCAUAUUGGUAGAUUCAUGAGCUGUUCGGUUUGAUCUUAUGUUCAUGGUUUGGUGUAGUAUUUCUGUCUUUUUUACGCAUUGGUUACAUGUAUUUGUACUUUGGCGAUUUGUAAACCAUUUCCAUUUCUGUAUUCAUCCAUUGUAUUCUUGGAGCGUUCGUGUGUUGUAGAUCUAUUUGUGAGUAUUAGUAAAAAUAACUUUUAUCUUCGUUUAUAUAUAUCAUCUUCAUUCUGUGAUUAUAAAGCUGUUUUUUUUUUGUUUCCAAAUGAAUUGUGAACGUAGAUUAAAGAAUUAGUCUAAAUAAAAUUUGGAGGGCAUAUUCUAGCCUGACACUCUUCAUCAAUCAUCAAUCAGAGGGUUGUAACAUGCGUUGGAAAACGCCUCCACAAUAGGGUGAAAAAGGAAUGUUGAAUAAAUUUGAAUGCAAAAUGGGGCAAAUGCCAAGCGUUACUUGGGUACCUUCGUUGGAUUUGGUGCUUGACAAUUCCAUGUAAAACCUGCCAAAAACAUGUGCAACCAUGACCGCAUGCAGUAAACGGAAUCCCUAAUGUAUUACAAUUCAAUAAUAAUAAAAAUGCAAACAUAUGAAUUAUUGCGUAAUAAGUACAUGAUAAUUGUACAAUAAUUCAUAUGAAUUAUUAUAUAGUGAAAUUUGAAUUUAAGAAUUUAAAGUCUUGAACCCUAAACCUUAGGUUGAAAACUCAUUUUCAUGUUAAUGGACGUCCCUCAACAUGAAUUAUCUUUAGCGUUGUUUGUAUUUUCUAAUGUAAAUCAAAUUUAUGAAUCAAUAUAUUUUUUGAUAAACAAUAAUUAAGCUUGCUCUAUGCUGACCAGCUGUGCAUAUACUUGUAAACAUCAUAGCACUCUUAUAAACUUAAAAGAGCUUACCUUGUUUCUUCCGGUGAUUACAGUUCUUUAAAACCUUAAAAAAAAAAAAAGUGAAGUAAAUUUAACUUUUUUUUUUUUGUGGGGUUGCAUGUCAACCGAAAUCCAAAUUCAGAUGACCUUUAGGUUGCAAAAUUUUUCAUUGAAGGAGGGAAAAAAGGGACCAAAUCCGUCAAUUAUUCAAUUCCAAUUGGGUCCCUUAAUAAUUUUGGAGGCCCAAAACCAAAAUGCUACGAAUUUUCUCUUUCGUAACAACAGGUUUUAAAGCCGAUCUAUAGCAUGUUCUUCCCAUUCCAUCUUGUCUUCCACUUUCAAGACCAAUUUGGUCUGAUUACAAGAACAAUAGCUGAAGAUUUGCUAAGAUAGGAACAAAAAUAGAUUGACAUUAUAAUUGCGAUUAAGAAACUGUUGAAACUGGUUAAGAACUACAACUACUGAAGCGUUUUGAUUUGCAAUGAUAGGAGCAGAAAAAGAUUGACACUGAAUUUCUACCAAGAAAUGGUAGCUUUUUUAGGAAUAAGUUUAUUAUUGCUUCUCGAUCUACUUAUUUAUCGGCAUCAGAUCAUUGGAGAUUCUUUAAUAGAUGAUAAUCAUCAUAAAAUCUCACAUUAAAUUUGUACGAUGAUGGGUCCUGGCUAAUUUUCUUUACAAUUAAUUCAUGGGUUUUUAAGGGAUACAAAAACUAAGUUAUUAUAAGGAAAUAUAUAUAUAUAUAUAUAUAUAUAUUUUACAUUAGUAUUGAGGAAAGAGAAUCACCCAUGACACAAAAAGAUGGGUUUAAAAUGGUUUCAUGCAUGUUAUUACUGGAAAGAGGUGUUAUGACACUAGAAUCAGCUUGUCAAAGACAAGUUGGUUGUUAAUAGAGAUUCAAAAUUUUAAUUUGGGGUAUAAGUUUGUAGUUUUAAUCUCAAACCUUGCAAUUAAAGAGGAUUUAGCGUAUGCUCUUUCCUUUCCUUCUUCUCCCUUAUAAGGUCAGAGUCUCCUUUGAAUCAAAGUAAAAAAACCAAUAAUCCAAUAAAAAUGUCACUAAAAAUAAUGUCAUAUAUAUAUAUAUAUAUAUAUAACAGUAGUCUAAUAAUAUCCGAAAUGGAUUAAGAAUCUGAAAUAAGCUCAAUUAUGAAUGAUGCUACCCGUCCUUUCGAACAAGAAUUUUAAAUGAUUUUAGAAGGGCAAUGUAAAAAUGCUUUUUGAUUUUUUUUUUUAUGUCUUGGGAAACCACCCCCCCCCCCCCCCCGGUUCUCAUGGACAAAAUGUCCACUUCUUUUUUAUCUUGUUCUCCCCACUUUUCCAGUCGAAACAAUCAGACCCCAAUUCAGCUCUGUUUUCAGACUCGGACCGGACCGGCCGGUCGAACCGGUCGAACCGGAAACCGGCCAGGUAGCCGGUCCGAGUCACAUUAGAAAACCGGAAAUUUAAAAUCCGGUCAAAGCCGGUCAAAAACCGGGUUUGACCGGGAAAAAACCGGUUUUUCCGGUUCAACAGUAAUUUUUUUUUAAAAAAAUUCAAACUUUUUAAUAUUAUGUUUUGACCCCCUAAAUUGUUAAAACUUAUUGAUAUAGCUCAAAUAUUUGAUACUUUAUAAAUAUUGUCCUAAAAUUUGAUGUUAUUUUUCAAUUAAAUUCAUAAUUUUAAUUCUAAACUUGUUAAUAUUUAUUAAAUAAUAUAAAUUGCUACUUGAUUGUUCUAAUUUCUUUGUAUUUUCUUGUUAAAUAUAUUUGAAACAUCAAAUAUAUAUGAAUAUGCCUUUAUUAAUAUCAAUAUAUUAUUAGAUAUUAUAUAUAUAAUAUUUUAAUUUUUAAAUAAUUUUUAUUUAUGACGUCAUCCGGUUCGACCCCUAUCGACCCCCGGUCGAACCCAUUGACCCCUGACCCCUGACCUCGGCCGAGUCGCUAUCCGGUCCGGUUCUGAAAACAUAGCAAUUCAGUACCUUUUUCAGUCCCCAAAUUCCCGGGGAAAUUUCUAAUCUAUGGAGUUCUUCUUAGUGAGGAGGCUCAUUAGAAUGGUGACACAUACAUUCAAAUCUACGCAUCCUCUGCAUUUUACGAUGAAUGUAACAUGAUUCUUCGUUAAUUAUUCUCCAUCUAAGAAUAACCCAAAUUGCUAACCGACUCCCCCAUUGUUGGAGUAUACAGGUGCCUGAGAGAAGUGAUGUUUAGUUGCUAACCUUUGUGAUCUCAUCAUAAGUCGAGAGGUAGUUGAUCAAAACUCCUUGUGUUCAUUUGCCAGUUGCCACUUUGAUGCUUAUUUUCAUUCCACUGCAACAUCUAUUCUUCAGUUGGUGGAUGCUGUUAGGAACUUAGGAUUUAAUUAUCUCAGUCAAAAUUUUUGCAACUAAAAUCUAGUUGAGAAGGCAUACCAACCUAUACAUCUUCAAACUGGUCCAACUACAUUUGAACUUAUCCUUGAAGCUGAAGGGCUUCCUUUAAAUAGCCUAGUCUUCCCCUUUAAGCUGAUCAAAAUACACAAAAAAAUCCUACUACCUUGGAAACUCAAAGCGGAGCUUCGAUCUUCUGCAUCAAUCAAUCAGCAUGGCUUCUUCUUCUUUUUCUAACCUUUGCAUCUUUCUAUCUCUGAUCAUUGCUUUGUCAUUUCCAAGCAUUCAUGUAACCGAGGCGGCUCGCCAGCUUUUACAAACCUCACAACCAACAAUACCGACGUUGCCCACCCUGCCAAACUUGCCCACCGGAGCAGCAGCAUUGCCACCAUUGCCAACCACUCCUCUGCCAACAUUACCCACAAAUGUUCCAUCCUUGCCAAACCCCGCAUUGCCAACAGUUCCCACAAUUCCUCUGGGUGCCCUCCCUCCCAUACCAGCUGCAACUUCAUUGCCAAACAUCCCAUUCACAAUCCCUUCAAUCCCAACUAAUCUCCCAACGUCAAUUCCUUCAAUUCCUUUCUUCUCACCUCCACCAUCCAACUAGACCAUUUUCUACCUGAACUUGUUUCAAUCAUUGAAUAUGCCGUAUCUGUUGCUUCGUUGUGAUAGCCUAAUGAUUUCCAUAUAAUUUGGAAAUUUUCACAGUUUCAAUGGUCCUUGUAGGGAUCCUAUGAAACAGAUGGAGUUUGGAUUAUAUUGUGAGUCCCUGUAUUGUACACUGCAGGUUGUAUUCCCAUUUCUAAUGUUAUGAAUCCUUUUAUAUUUAUACUAUAUAAGAGCAACAUCUUAAAAUUUUCUCUUUUUUUUUUGUAUUUGAUUUUUCUGGAAUUACCUUCUCAGUUUCUAGUGCUCUGUUACACUGCUAAUUCCAUUCCAUUUGAUGAUAUGUCUCUUGAAUUAUGAGUAGUGUUUCAAUGAUGGGAACAACAUUCGCGCCGAUUUGGUCCCCAUGUGGUAUUUGGCAAAAAUGUCACGGAAACUUUAACAAAAAAAAGUCAGAUCUACCAUGUAAUUUUAAGAAGGAACAAUUUUGUUGCUUGCGAUUGGGAAAGCAACAGUUUGUAUUUACUUUCAGUUUUAAGAAUAUGGUGUAAUGAAGUCAAUUCGAACUCAAUUAGUGAACAACUCGAGAUCGAUCUGAACUAAAGUACUUGAGUUCAAAUUUGAAUUCAAACUUGACAAACUCUUAAGUUUCAUCACAUACAAAUGCUCACGCUUGGACUCGUCAUUUUUUUUUUUUUUUUGGAAUUCAUGAAGUUGUUCAAACUUGAUCAAAGCAAACUCGAAUUCAAGCUUUAAUUGAACAACCUUGUGAGUGGUUGGAUUGGACGUUUGCAACCCUACUUUAAUAGGAAUACUUGUUAAUUGAUACCAAGGUUUCCUUCAGUUACUAAAGCUUUGGUGCUACGUACUAUUUAGAUUCAGUUUUAAGAGUUAUUAAUGAAUAGCAGCCAAUAAUAUAAAAGCAGCAUAAAUUACAACAGUUAUAAUAGCCUCUCAAAUGAUCAUGAAAUCAAAAGCAAACCGCAUGAAUGAAAUCAAUACUGAUGGGGUUUAUGUUCUUGAAUUUUCUGUUUAUUUAAUUCCCUUCGCAUGAUAAUACAAAUAUGAUUCUUGGAGAUAAAGUUCCCUAAUAUUUGAGAGUUUCGUCCGCUCAAAUAAAUAUUCCACGUGUCUGACUUUUGGAGAAGAGAACACUUGGCAAAGCCUGGAUUAAACCUUAUUUGUCCAAGUCAUUCCCAUUUCCAGUUCAUCCCCUAUAAAUUCACCCCAUACAGAUCAGUUUCAUGCAGUCAAAACGUAAUUUCUCCUGAUCAGUUUCAAAACUGUGGAUUGCCAGAUGAUGGAGAAGGCUUCAAUCAAGUCUACUCUCUCAGAGUUGCUCUCUUCAUUCUUCCAAUUUGUUAGCCUCUCUCUCUUGAUCUCUCAUUUACACUUGCACAGGACUAGAAUGUGUAUUGGUGAUGGGAUUCUUGCUUCAUAACUUGAAUUCACCGGUUGAAAAUCAUCACUUUAUUUCUUCUAUUAAAAGAUUGUUUCUUGUUCACAAAAAAGGAAAAAAAAGAAAAAGAAAAAGAUAAACAGGCCCUUUUCAGCUAACAGUUCUUUCUUCCUAAUGUCAUUUGAUUGCAGUAUUAUCAUUCCCAACGAUGAAAGUGAUGGAAGUGAAAAUGGCAACGAGCAUCUCAAGAAAAUUUCAGAUAUUUGAAUGUGGAAAUCCUUGUAGCUCUGAUGCGGAUUGCAAAUGCACUGAUUUCUAUUGUGCUCCCGGAUGUGAUGAUAAUGGUUAUUAUAUUCAAAUCAAUUUUGGCAAUCUUAAUUAACCAAGGUGGCCAACAAUAAUGGUGUACUUAAUAAGGGUGUUUGUAUGUAUGUAAUGUAAUCUGAUCAUUCGAAAAUGACUUGAUUAAACCAGAAGAUGUACUUAUUUUAUUAGAUCAGUAUAGACCAAAUCUUGAACUUUCUAUACUGCUAAGUUGACAUAAAUUUUAUAUCAAGUCAAAAGUGUCUUGUCCUCUUAAUUAAAAUUUUAACUAAUUCCGACUAUAAUUCCCAAAAAAAUGACAUUCACAUCGCAGUUUAAUUAAUUAAGAGAGUAGAUUUACUAGCCUCACUUCAGGAUCAUCCUAUGUACGUGGAUGUGAGGACAUGGCAUUUACUUGCCUACCCAAAGAAAAUUUAAAAGAAAAAAGAAACCUGGACCAGAACAAACCGGACCGGACCAGACCAACCUCCAGUAGUGCCCUGGUCUGAAAGUUUUUUUUUUUAUAUAUAUAAUUAAAGAGUGUGCAAUAGAUGCUUGAUAAUACACUUAAUUAACAAUUGUUAUCCUACUUUAUAUUUUACAUAUAUGUGUUUUUCUUAAUUAACUUUUUACUUUUUAAAAAUAUGAACUCCUAAAUUCUAUCUUAAUGACAAUCCAUUAGGUACCACUUAAAUAUACACUAUAUAAUUUUACAAGCCCAAAACCCAAAGCGCUAAUUUUCUAACUUUUCAAAAAAAAAAAAAAACCCCCCAUCCACUCGGCCAGGUCUUUUCCCAACGAGUACUCAGGCUGCUGGCCCUAAAUUACUAACUUCAAACUCACAACAAACUUUGGCAAAUGAUGAGUUAGUUUUAAAAAUGCUUGUUUUCUUAGCUAGGUAAUUAUGGUAAUAUGCGUACAAGAACUAUUUUGUUCCUUGUUGAAAGUGGCUUUCGAAAUUAUUUUAUAAUCAUGUUACCAAUUUUAAAAAUUUUGAAGUUUUUUUAAUAACUAAAGGUAAAUAGAAGGAUUCACAUCAUUAUCCUUCCUAGUCUGGAGUUAGUUCAUCGACAUUUUUCUAUGCUGGCUUCUCACAACCACGUCCUGUCCAUCAAAAUCCUCUCAUCUAUUUCAGUUGUCAAAAAUGAGCUUGGCACUUGGCAACUGGCAGGUCAUUCCAUAUCAUAUAUACACAUUAUUUAUGUAUUCGGUGGACUUUUGUUGAUGAGAAUUCUGAACUUCGAAAAAGUGGAAUUGGUUGAGCUAGCAAACCAACCAGUAAUUCUUCCAACUUGUCCAACUACAUCUAGCCAACCAUUGCUCCCUAUAAAAACUAAAAAGCAUUACCUCCCCCUUCAACUCAAACAACAUACUAACACAUAUAUUAUUCCCCUACAAAUCCAAUUUCGAGCUUCUUCCUUCUGCGGUAUUCAAUCCAAGUACUCAAAAUGGCUACUUCUUCCAAUGUCUGCUUCUUUCUGUCUUUGCUCAUUGCUUUAUCAUUUUCGAGCAUCCAAGAAAGCCAGGCCGCUCGCCGACUAUUGCAAACUUCCCCACCAGUGAUACCAGCAAUACCAACAUUGCCUGGUACAACCCUGCCAAAUUUGCCUACCACAUUGCCACCAUUGUCAAGUACUCCUUUGCCAACAUUACCAACAAAUCUUCCAUCUUUGCCAACUAUGCCCGCAGUUCCGAAGGUGGCCCUCCCUCCCAUUCCAGCUGCAACUUCAUUGCCAAAUAUUCCAUCCACAAUUCCUCCAAUCCCAACUAAUAUCCCAACUUCAUUUCCUUCAAUUCCUUUCUUCUCACCACCGCCAUCCAACUAGACAAUUUUCGAUAUUUGAAUGUUUGAGUUUGUCAUAUCUGUUGUUCCUUCAGAUCGCUUAUCAUACGAUCGAUUUCAUGUACUAGUAAUUUUUACAGUUUCGUUAGUCCGUCUAUAUAGCUAGGGAUCUUAUGAAGUAGACGGAGUUUGGUUUGUUUUUGAGAUUGUAUUGCGAUUGUUUAUGUUAUAACUAGUUCUUAAUUGAUACCAUGUAGGAGUUUCUUGUUUGUUGUUUCUUGAUACUUUCAUUUAUUCAUCUAUCUUUCGUUGGCUUGAGGCCUUAUAUUACACCUCUCGUUACACUUUAUUAUUCCACUUUUUAAAAUGACAUGCAUCCCCACAACACAUUAAUCAAAAGAACUUGGAUUCUUAUCCAUGAUUAUAUGCAACACACGUCAAUCUAACUGUUUGUCUAAUAAGAAUAUAACAUAAAUCAGACGAUCUUUUUUAUUUUGUAAAUUACAUUCUCACGACUCAGCUAUUAUUCAUCAUAUCUAAAAAUUUAAUUUAAGGUCAAUUUUAGAAACCUUCUUUAAAGUUUUUAACGAUUUCAGGCAGUGCUCUCUUGUAAUUUGGAUAAUUAAACCCACCUACAUUGCUAACUUGAAUUGAGUAUCAUAACCCUUUUCUAAGAUACAGGCUGUUUACAAAAUAAAAAACCAGAAAAUUAUUCACCCAAAUUCCCCAACCCUCCCCGUUUUCUUGUCAGCACUAUGGUACUUUUAUCCAUUUUUACCACCGUCACCACCAUCAUUGCCAAAAGCAUGGCAAACAGAUGCUUCUCAAAUUACCUGCCCAAAAAAAAAAAAAAAUUUCUAAUGAGAUGCUGCAACACCACGCAAGCCAUAAUCUACCAGCCCAAAAACCUCAACAAAAAAAAAAAAAAAAAACCACACACACGAGAUGCUCCUUCUUUGCCAUCAAGCAUAUCUGCCCAAAUCCUUUGUUACUUUGGUUUCCUCAACCAAUAUACCUCAAUCCCUCCCCUCUCUCAAAUAACAUCUCAAAAGUAAUGGAGUCAGCUCCAGUCCCAAGGGGUAUACUUCUUUCUUUAGUUAUUCAUGGUGGAAAUAUGCUGCUUUAGGUCUUUAAUCUCAAUCAAUGUCCACAAUAGGUAUAGACGACAGACAACCAAGCUAUGCUGGUUUCAGCAAUUUGAUACAGACGUCCAAAAAAUAAAACAAAAAAGUAUUAAUAUGGAUAUAAUAAUUGCAAACUCCAAAUUACUAAAAUGUCAGCGUUUAGCCAAAUGUAUGAUCCCACACUUGGAUUCAAUAUAUAUAUAUAUAUAUUUAUUAGGUCGCUUGGUUUCAAUUUCUCCAAGCUUAUAUGAUCAUACACUUUGUUUGAGUUUCUUUAAGCUCUAUCUGUCUUUGGUAUACGGUUAAAGGCUUAAUGCUUUGUUAGGAGCCUUAAGUUUGUCUGUUUAGGUACAUGGUUUAUUGGAACUUUAGUUGCUGUAGCCUAAAUUCCUUUUAGUAAAGAUUAAAUUAAUGGUGGGAUCGUAGUAGAAGUAAAAAAAAAAAAAAAAAAAAAAAAAAAAAAAAAAAAAAAAAAAAAAACCCUGGACUAGGAUUAUAUUUUGUGGUAAGCACUUUUUGAUACGUUUGUGUAUCAUAAAGUAUCAUCAAAUGUGGAAAUCUUAAUUACUCAUAUUCUGAGACCGAACAAACAAAAAAGAUAAUCUGAAUCAGAAACUUGUGCUUGUGAUUCGUGAACAUCCGUCAUCUUACUCUAUUAAUUUGGUCUCCAGCGGUUGUAUUACUCUUUGGUUUUGAUUUUAUCUGGUUGUACUUUUGGUCAAGCAGUGACUUGUUGAAACUGGCCAAUGAAUUGGAAAAAAAAAAAAAAAAUCAAAAGCGAAGCGGUUUGUUCAAUUUUCGUGUGUUUUCUUUACAUUAAAUUUAUUCACAUAUUAACAUUAUAUGGUUUCUUGUGGAUUAAGUUCCUAACGUGAGAUUCUGCCCGCUAUGGAAACUUUUAUAUUGUACCGAAUUUGAAAGACCUAUUUGGCACAUUCUCGAUCAAUCCUCAUUUGUCGAAUCCAUUUCCAGUUUGAGUUUAUCCCCUAUAAAUUCACCUGAAAUAGACUAGUUUCAUGCAUACAGAAAUUAGUUUCUACUGCUCAUCAACGACAGUGGAUACUAGAUGGAGAAGGCUUCAAUCAAGCCCGCUCUCUUAUUUGCUCUCUUCAUUCUUCCAAUUUGUGAGUUUCUCUAGGAUUCUUACCUCAGAACUUGAAGUCACGGGUUCAAAAUCCACACUUUUAUUUCCCCUACUAAAACAUUGUUCCUUUUCCAUUUAAAGAAAAAAGCACAGGUAAAAAGACCCUUUUUCAUCUAACAAAACCUUUUUUCCCCUAAUGUGAUUUAAUUGCAGUAUUAUCUUUUCCAGUGAUGAAAGCCAUGGAAGUGAAAAUCACUGGCAACAAGCAUCUCAAGAAAACUUCAGCAGGAUUGUGCAAUUCCUUGUGGCUCUGAUGCGGAUUGCACAUGCAUAGGUUUUAGUUGUGCUCUGACUCCCAUAGAGGGAUGUGACGAUAAUGGUAAUUGUAUUCAAGUUAGUCGUUGCCUGGACGAAAUUCAAGCAUUGUGGCAAACGAUAAGAGGCGUGUAAUACAAUUAUUUUAAAGGUUUGGUGCACUGGUUACUGGUUUCUUUGGUAGUAAGAGUUUGUUUGUAAUAAAAAUAGUAGGAUGAGAUUUUUUUUUUUUCCGAACGUAAAAAGGGAUUUUAUUGAAUAGAACAUGAAUGUACACAAGUGCAGAGGUAUUCGCUACACAAAAGUACUACUAAAACCAAUUAAGCUAUACAAUAGUACUGCUACAAUGAACUAAACUCCGAUUAUGCUAUCAACAUUUAAGAAAAAUGCCUUGGGGAAAUCCCAACUAAAGCAAAAUAACCAGUUGUCUCUUGUACUCGAUACAUUCCUCCAUUAUGCCACAUAAGAGCGAAUCUCCUUCCAUAUAUAAUAUACAACUGCCUCUAGUGCCAACUUUUUUACUGUGUUUAUAAAGCAUUCUUUCUUCCAAUGACAACUGAGACAUUUAACUUCAGUAUGCCAUUCAUAAGUUCCGCGUAUUGCAAGUGGGGCAUUGCUGUAUUCUUGACCAAAUAUAAGUUGCAUACUCACAUUAAAAAAAGAGAUGAUUACAAGAUUCAUUUCCAGUAUAGCAUAAUACACAUCUCAUUUCAGACAUAAUGCCCCACUUAACCAACCUGUCCUUUGUGCUUAAUUUGUUCUUGCACAACAACUACAAGAUAAAUGAAUGUUUUGGAUAUAUUUUUUGAAGCACACAAGAUGAUGCCAAUAGACCUCAGUAGCGAAAUGGUUCAACCCUUCAUUUUCAGAUUUGACAGAGAACAAACCUAAUUUACUGGGCAGCCAUUUCACUAUAUUUGACAUUCCCUCGCUUAGUAACUAUCUAGAAGGAAGAAAUUGUGCAAAAUCAUCUACUUCAACAGGUCUCCUCCUACCAGCAGGGAUCUUCCACUCUCUAUUUUCAAUGAUAGAAAAAACCUUAGCUUGUGGCGUACUUCCAAACUAUCGCACCAUAUUGGGCCCAUAAGCUGUGAAUAAUGGCCCUCUAUGGUGCCUAUUAUCAUACCAAAGAAGUAUUUUCUCCACUUUUGAUCACUGAGACAAUAAAGGGCUGUAUAAUAGGUCUGAUUUGAAGGAGUUUAUGCCAAACCCAAGAACAAAAUUGAGGCAAUGAAAUAGACCAGAAACAUUUAUUUUUGAGUUUCACAAUGUGAACCCAAGCAAUCCAAAGAGAAUCCUUUUUAAGUGUUAUGUGCCAGAUACGUUUAAACAAUAAAACCUUAUUCCAAUUAGUCAAAUUAGGUAAUCCAUGUUCUCCUUGUUUGAUAGUAGGAUGAGAUUGUUGGUGUGUUAGUUACUCAUUGUCAAUGUAUGGAUUUACUUCUGGUCUAGAUUGAACCAGAAGAUGUUCUCUUUCUAUUUAAUCAGUAUAGACCAAAUCUUGGUAAUUUCUAUAUUUCUUGGUUCACAUAAAUGUUGUAUUGAGUUCGAUACCCAUGAUACGAGACUGACCUGCUGGAGUAAUGAUGGAUUGUAGAUUAUUUGUGAUCCAAGAUCAUCCAAAAAGCAAACUGAAACAACCUUAGUGGCCCAAAAAUUUUUUUUUUAAAUAAUAAAACGAGGUUGCAAAAUUUCAGAUAAUAAAACAGAAAUUUGCUACUUCUCAGUCGAACAAGAUUGUUAAUUAACCUUAGAAGCCCAUAAUACAAAUUGCCAAUUUUUUGAAACCCAUUCUUUCUAUGAACUUUUCCUAACUUGUACUCGCUCUUCCAAACUUGGAUUACCAAUUCAAAUUUGCGGUCUAAAUUCCAUCCCAGGUAGAACACAUGUACUUAUUAUUUACUUGGUAGAUUUUUUGUUGAGGAAUCUGAGUUUCUAAUAAGUGAGUUUAGUUGAGAAGGCAAACCAACCAAUGCUUCUUCAAACUUGUCCAACUACAUCUGACCAACCAUUGCUUCCUAUAAAAAGCAUCAUCUACCUGCUCAUCCCCUACGGAUUCAAUUUGAAGCUUCUACCUUCUACAUUAAUCAAACAAGUGCUCAAAAUGGCUACUUCUUCCAAUGUUUGCUUCUUUCUAGCUUUCCUCAUUGCUUUAUCAUUUUCGAGCAUCCAAGAAAGCCAGGCGGCUCGCCAACUAUUGCAAACUUCCCCACCAGUGAUACCAGCAAUACCAACAUUGCCUGGUACAACCCUGCCAAAUUUGCCUACCACAUUGCCACCAUUAUCAAGUACUCCUUUGCCAACAUUACCAACAAAUCUUCCACCUUUGCCAAAGCCCACAUUGCCAACUAUGCCCACAAUUCCUAAGGUGGCCCUCCCUCCCAUUCCAGCUGCAACUUCAUUGCCAAACAUUCCAUUCACAAUUCCUUCUAUCCCAAAUAAUAUGCCAACUUCGAUUCCUACAAUUCCAUUCUUCUCUCCACCGCCAUCCAACUAGACCAUGUUAGACAUGAACACGAUUCAGUGUUUGAAUUUGCAUAUUUGUCGUUCCUUCAGAUUGCUUAUUGAUACGAUUUCUUGUACUUGAAAUUUUUACAGUUUUAUUAGUCCGUCUAGCUAGGGAUCUUAUGAAGUAGGCGGAGUUUGGAUUUCAUGUGAUUGUUUCCUUUGGUGGGUUGUAGUCCCCGUAUUGUGCCUUGGACAUUGUAUUCCGAUUGUUUAUGUUAUGAAUUAUGAUGAGUUCUCUGAUACUAUGAACGAGCAACUUUUUUACUUAUGUUUGUUUCUUUUGCCAACUCUAAACAUUACUUUAAGUCAUAGAUACGAAUGUGGGAUACAAAAGUUUAGUUUUGGGAUCUACAGCAACCGUUAUACCAGAAUACAUCUACGCUUAAAAUGGUGUACUCCCAAAAAAAAAAAAAGGAAGUCUUGGGAUGGACAUAAUGAAGAGUUUCAAUAUGUAAGUUCUAUCAUCUGCACAAAUAAAUUGGAAAUUCAUGAUGUGUUAAUGUACAAACAUUUGGGAAAAUGUUGCGGAAUUUGAACUAGUUUCAUAUAUAGGUGUAUUUUUUUUUUUAAAGAAUGAAAAUUCUAUCCAAUAAAGACUACAUUCACUUCACAAAAAAAAAAAAAAAAAAAAAACAAAGAUUAGAUUCACCAGCUGUCUAAAGUUUCAACUUAAAAAAAAAACUUAAAAGUCUUUGAUGAUUAAUUACCUUAUUAAGUCUCUCUUGCCAAUAAAAUCUUGAUUUAGUAGUGAAACAACACUACUAAACCACUUGCAUUAAGAGCUGAAUUCAUCCGAACAACCCAAAAGAUUCGUUUUAAAGAGAUAAAUAACAUAUUUUUCCAAAAAAGAAAAAAAAAAGUGAUGCCAUAGCAAAAGCGUGAAAAAUAAAGGGGUUACACGAACACCCUCCAUCAGAAAAUUAUUACACAAAUGAAAUCUAGGUAUGAAUCAGUGAUUCAUAAGAAAUGUGAGAUAACUUUCAACAAUUAGAAUAUCCAAUUAAAAUUUCAUUAAUAGUUGAUAAAAGACUUGUUACAAAAGUCCUGGAAAAAACCUAUUUAUAAACUACAAAAGUUUAACCUAAAAAGAAAACAAAACACACGAAAAACUCUAAAACAACUAAAAGAUGCGUUGCAGCCGUGAUGACCCUUCAGAUAUAUUUAGUAACACUAGAUUUUUUGUUUUUUUUUUUGGGGUAAGUUCGGGUAACAUGAUUUUGCUUCUUAGCUAGAAGUGACGGGUUCAAAUCUAUACUUCCUUUCUUCUUUCAACACAUUUUUUUAAAAAAAAAAAAAGGACUGGUAAAAAGGCUUUUCAUCUGACGAUUUUUUUUGGGAUUUAAUUGCAGUAUUGUCAUCGCCAAUGGUUCAAGGGAUGGACGUGAAAAUGGCCACAAUUAUCUCAAGAAAAUUACUUCAGACUGAAUGCGAAGUUCCGCUGAAGACGAUUGAACAUGCAGUAAUCACUCUUGUUGUUGACAACCCAAUAUGCGAAGAUGAUGAUGAUUGCGAUGCAGUAUUCAAAAAAAAAAAAAAAAAAAAGUAUGCCAGCAUAUGUGUAGCCUCAAACCCUGAAGUGAUUGUUCGAGAUAAUUCAUGGUUGGAACUUGGAAUCGAAACGCGAGAUCUGCUUUCUCUACAUGAAAAAUCUAAAUAAAAUCCUCAAUUUCGACAUAUUUCGAAGUUCAGAUAAAUGUUUGAUAAGUCAAAUGUUGUACCUUGCAUCUUGUGACCAAGUCUGUAAUGCAAAUAAUAGGAAAUAAACCAAAGUGCAUUGCAGUACAAGGACUGCUCAUGUCUGUUUGUAGUUUAAUUUGAAUAUUUCGUGCAAGUUAUAUAUAUGUACGUUCUCGAAAUUAUUUCCAUGGAAUGUCGCUCAUGCUUUGAUUUGACCAUUAAUCCCUUUCAUUUUUAUUAUUUGUAGUAGUAUUAAUACAAGGAUUUUUACUUCGACUAAAUAAUAGGAGAUUAGUAUGAAAUGAGAAGCUCUCAAGAUACAGAUCGAGGGAUAAUAUCCUGCAAACACUAGAUUAGUACAUGAAAUAUAAAUUGCUUGUUUGAUUCCUUCACGACUUUUAGGUCUACCAGAAAUUUAUACCAAGAAUUUUAUACAGAGGGAUAUUUAUGUUUUGAUACCAAGAAAUGCACUGGCACUAAUUAGUGUACCAAUUUUGGUUAUUUAUGCAAGCCUUGGAAGUAGGCUUGGAUCGAUCAUUUCAAAGAUUUGGUCUAAUGCUUUAUUGGUUUGUUUAUCAAAUGAGGACAAUCUAGUAUGAGACUGCUUGUGGUAGUAUGAGAAUGUUUUGUAAAGACAAUCUAUGAUGAGAUUAUUGGUGUUUUUUACUGCUCAUAUCAAAUGUUGAAAUUAAGAUUAUAGAGAUGGACUGAUAUGAUCAUUAAAAAAUAAUUUCUGUUCUAGAUUGAACCGAGACAUGUACUCUUUCCCCUACCUCUUUUAAAUUCCAACCUUCCCUUAUUAUAAAAAAAAUUAAAAAUAAAUAGAAAAGUAAGCUGUUUUUUUUUUUAAGAGGACAACUUCACAUCACAAAUACAGUUGAACUACUCUUUUUUUUUUUCUUCUCCUUGUCAAGUGUUGGCCAGGUCUGGCCUCAGUAUCGCUGCUGUUCGAUUGGAUUUUCCUCUCAAGUUCCUCUCCUGUAUUGACCUUACCCCAUAUCAGAUUCUGUGAGGGAAUUCUUAAUAAUGUUGAUGCAAUCGAAUCGACCAAGUGUACACUUGCACACCAUAAACUGUUGGUGGUUCAUCAGCAUUCUAAUUCCAAACUAAUUCAAAGUUUAGUUGAGAAAGGCCAACUAAACCUAAUUCUACUAAUCCAACUACAUUCGAUCAAACACUUUCACCUCUAUGGCUAUCUAUAAAUAAGAGUCAAGAAACAAUAUGCGAGUCCCUCAACUCAAAACCAGAAAAAAUACCCAUCUUGUACUUGUCGUAACACUUAAAAAAGUGUUUGCUAAUUUCUAAAUUCCAAUACAAUAUCAUUUACCAAUGGCUGCUUCUUCCAAAGUUUGCUUUGUUCUAUCCUUGAUCCUAGCUUUAUCAUUUUCAAGCAUCAAGGUUUCUAACGCAGCUCGCUACCUUCUGCAGACGACGCCAGGAAUACCUACAAUGCCAUCGUUGCCCAAGUUGCCUCCAUUGCCUACCAUGCCAAGCUUCCCUACAGCCACAUUGCCACCAUUGCCAGCUACCCCUUUGCCCACAUUACCCACAAAUCUUCCAUCACUGCCAAAGCCCACAUUUCCGCCAUUGCCAAGCACUCAGCUUCCAACUUUGCCUUCCAUUCCAUCUAUUCCUACUACAAUUCCUACUUUACCUUUCCCCUCACCACCACCAUCAAGCUAGACAUUGAAAACGAAGCACUUCGAUUAUUUAUCAUCAUUUCUUUACUGGGAAGUCUCGAAAUCCAUGAAGAUUAGCGAUCAUUUCUUUUUUUUUUUUUUUUUUUUUUUGGUGGCUCCAGCCAUAGUCGAAUGUUACUCAUACUAUGAUUGCGUUGCUGUAUCUUUGUUCUUCAUACUAUGAUUGUAUUAUUGGAUCUCUGCUACUCAUACUAUGAUCGUAUUAUUUGAACCUUUCUUUCACGGGGUCUGAGUAUCUGGUUAAGAUUUGACAGACAGCCAUCAGAAAUCUUAUCUCAACAACAUAAAAGCGGCUCUUUGGUUACAUUCUUUGAAUUAAUUGAUUUUUUUCUGAAAGACGAAAAUAAAAUGCGAAUCUAAGGCUGCGAACGAAAACACAAACGACUACUGGCAAAACGCGAUUCUGUUAGAUGAUAUUGCUUUCAGGAAAAUAUAUAUAUAUAUAUAUAUAUUGGUUUCCGGGUGAAAAAAAGAAAGUUCCAGACAAAAGCACUGAAAUAUCACCGACAACUGUAUACUGGGCCAGCAGCAAUUCAGUCCUUUUACAAUCCAAGCAUUCCGGUGCAACAUACUUGUCUAGAUUGAAAUCAGGCUUCAUGUCAAAGUUGAUGGAACUUCAUCUUGGAAACCCCAAAAAAAAAAUUUUUUUUUGAGAGAUAGACAAGCAAAACAUGAGAGGAUUUACUUUUCGCGCACUUUUAUAGUCUGGAUGUAAAUCUUGUCAUCACAUCUUUGAUAAGUAUCCGGGAUAGCUGUUUAUAUCACAGUAGUUAAUUGAAAACAGAUUAAAAUUUUUUAUGUUUUUUGGUUUAAAUGAGAAUUUUGUUCACCAGUUAAUAUACACAUGCCGCGUGUUCAAGCAAUGACGAGUUUGGAUCCUCUUAAUUGGUGUAACUUCCAGAGCUGUUAGGUCGUAGUUGUGCAAGCAACUCAUUAACAUAUUUAAAUAUGUUGAACACUUCAACGAUUUUUAUAUAAUUUAUUAGGAUAUGGUACAUGUAUUGUGUGAUUUGAUAUUAUCAGACUCGAUUUUUACAUAAUAUGAUAUGGUAUGCAUUUACAUAAGUUAUUGCACUGAAUUUCUUAGCAGAUGGAGUGCAAAAGAACAAAACGUACAGAAAAAAUAAAAUAUGGCUCGCAUGACGUAAAUUUGCAUCAAAAUAUGUAACAAAUACAAUUGUAUAGAACUGCACCUACCGCAAUGGGACUUGCCUCAUUUCCAUUUUAUCUGCAUCAGAAAGGAGCUAUAAAAAAUGCUAAACUAUUAUUAGCAAGUUUCGCAACUCAUCCAAAGAAAUCCAAACGGAUGUACAUCAUCCUUUGAAUUUUUGGUCUUAACUUUCCCAUUAUGGUAUGUGUGUGUUUGAAAAGUAAAAGCUGAAAACAAGAGGGGACUUUGAAGCAGCUGACGAGUUCCAUGCGAUGUACUGUUACCAUUGCGAAAUCAGUUUCCAGGUGUACACUACUUUUGCUACCUGUCACCAUUUCAGCCCCUUCACCAUGAAAUUUUUCCAGAUCACAUGUCAAAAACUCAUCUAAAACCUGAGAAACCAUAAGUCCAGAUUGAGAAAAUGCCAAGAACCCACCGCACUGCAAUUUUCUACUGAUAAUCUAGACACCAACGUCAUACUCUAAUCAAUGUAUCAUGCUCUUCAAGCACAUAUCAUGAAAUCCUUCUGGUUUCCUUCACUAUAAAUAGAGCUUGAAUGAACUAGUAUUUUCCUAACAUCUUCAGUUUCUCUUUUGUAAGCCAGAAAGCACAGGAAAAAUGAAGUCCGGAGCGUUUAUUUUGGUUGCACUUCUAUGUGCUCUAUUUCUUCUCGUUUCUUCCACUAUGGCUGUUGAUUCACCCAAGGAUGGAACAAAGGGUAAGAAAAUACUAGUACCAAGUAGCUAUGUUUAUGUUUUUGCAAGAUUUCCAUCGGUCAUUAACUUGAUUUUCUUAUUUUUCAAUAGAUAUAUCAUACGAUCUCCGUUAAUGAAUAGUAUGGAUAAUAGGAUGAAUUACAAAAGUUUGACUGGUUGACAAUUUUUGUUUGCAGAGGACAAGGCAAAGGAACCCGAACAAUAUGGAGGUCGGUGUAGGUUUGGCUGCUGUGGUCGUUUGGGCCCCUAUGGUUGUAGUAGGUGUUGCAGAACAGGUAAUAGUUGUACCAUUUAAAGAAACAGGAUUUAAAUGGAUAUAAAAUCGCACCUAGCUAACACAAUCAUACCCAGUCCCAUUUGAUUGACAUCAAAAAAGAGCUAUUGAAAAGCCUGAACUAUUAUUAGCUAUUUCACUACUCAUCCAAAUAAACCCGAACGGAUGUACUUUUGUCUCAACUUUUCCCGUUAUACGGUUAUAGUAUGUGUGUGUUUCAAAAGUAAAAGCUGAAAACGAGAGUUGACUUCGAAGCACCUGACAAGUUCCAUGCGUGCAGUUGCUAAGACAACCUCGUAAUAUAGUGUUACCACUGCGAAAUCAGUUUCCUGGUGUACGCUACGCUAUUCUUGCCACCUGUCGCAAUUUAAGCCCUUUAACUAUAUAUUUCUUCCAGAUCACAUCUUGAAAACUCAUCUAAGAACUUAGAAACUGCAUUCCAGAUUGAGAAAAGUCCAAGAACCCAGCGUACUGCAUUUUGUACGCACUGAUAAUAUAGAACAACGUCGUAUCCUCAUCAAAGUAUCUUGCUCUCAUGCACGUAUCAUUAUAUCCCUCUAGUUUCAUUCACUAUAAAUAGUGCUUAAAAUGGACUAGCAUUGCCACAACGUCUACAGUUUCUCUUGUGUAAACCAGAAGCUUAAAAAAAAUGAAGUCCAGAGCGUUUAUAUUAGUUGCUCUUCUAUGUGCUCUAUCUCUUCUUGUUUUUGCUACUAUGGUCUGCUGAUAACCCAAAAGAUGAAACAAAGGGGUAAGUGCAUCCCAAUAUUUAGUAGCUAUUGCAUGUGGCCUUGCUAUGCCUGUAUAUACUUCUGUUGUAUUUCCUUAAACUUUUGCCUAUACUAUCAUUUCAAUCAUUAAAUGUUACUUGAUUUUCUUAUUUUAGAACCACGAUUCAAUUAUUUAUAUUCACUUUUAAUUACAAAAUUGAAUUUUAUUGUCUUUCAAUGGAAUUAUCAUCUGAUAUAUGUAAGUUAUUAGUGUAAAUUAUGGGAUGAAUUACAAAAAUUUGUGUGGUUGACGGCCGUUGUUUGCAGAGAACGACGCGAAGGAGAACGAGGCUAAGGAACCCGAACAAUAUGGAGGUCCGUGUAGAUAUGGCUGCUGUGGUCGUCGGGGCCCCUAUGGUUGUAGUAGGUGUUGCAGAACAGGUAAUAGUUGCACCAUUCAAAGAAACAGGAUUUAAAUGCAUGAACAGUACUUGUAACUUAAAAAGUUGUGUUGUCCACUCCAUGUAGCUAAUGAAGCUGAAGCAACCCAAGUAAACGCUGACAUCAAUAGCAAUGAAGGCGGUGGACAUGGUGGUGGCGGCGGCUAUGGAGGUGGUGGUGGCGGCCAUGGAGGUGGCUAUGGAGGCGGCGGCGGUGGUGGCUAUGGAGGUGGUCAUGGUGGGGGAGGUGGUCAUGGUGGUGGAGGUGGAUAUGGUGGGCACUGCAGCUACGGCUGUUGUGGUGGCUAUGGCAAAUAUUGCAGGUGCUGCUACAACCCUGAAGAAGCUCAAGCUUUGGUACAAAAUGAGAACUGAGCCAAGCCAUAAAUCAAGGAAACUUCCAUGUACAACUUAGUUUGCAUGAAUAACUACAUGGUUGAAUGUUGAUCUUAUGACAAAAAUAAAAUACUUAGUACAUGUGCUUCUGUACUUAGCACAUAUGCAAGGAAUAAAAAGUUUCAGUCAUCAUUUGAUGAUGUGAAUUUCAAGUGUCCUUCAAUCCCAUGCCUGGAUUUCUUUUCUUUUUUUUUAAUUUGACAUCUGCUACUUGUCAUGUUCGUCUUUGCUCUUAACAUUUGCACUUUGCACUUGAAUGCUCCAAUCAAAAUUUAAGUAACUUUGCGAAAUAAAUAAAACAAUUCAUAAAAUUAUGCCAAAAGAACUAACUUAAGAAGGCACAUCAAGAAGAGAAUGUUUUGAGUUCCAAACACACAGUUAGUUAUAGACAAACAUUUUCACAAAUCCAUGCACAAUUUAAAGUUUAAAUUGCUCAACAUCUCAAUUAUGUGUCAGUUAGGGAUAGGAAGGGCAUUGUGUAGAAUAAUCUCUUUUGACUCUGUUAACAAAAUAAAUGGCUUGAUUUGCAUGACAAAUCAUGUUCAUAUGCAAUACAAAACACUACUACAAAUUGGCCAUUAAGAUUAUUUUAUUAACAACAGCAAACCAUUCAAAAACCAAACCUAUUAUUAGGAAGCUUCAUAAAGUCAUCCCAAGGAAAAACAACCAAACGAGUCUACUUCAUCUAAUGGAAUUUUUUGUUUUGUUUUGUUUUGGGUGACAUUUCUCGAUUUAGUAUGUUGAGCAUGCAAAACAGAGUGUACCGUUCAAGGAUUGACUUCCAAGCAGCUGACACAAGUCCCAUGCAUGCAUUACACGGAAACCCUCGUAACACAAGCCUACCAGAAUUUAUUUCUAGGUGUUGAUUACUCAAGAACCCUGCCAAAUUGAUAUAUGCUAGCUGCCACGAAUUCAGCCUCUUCUGAAUCAAAUUGUUUACAAAUAGGCCAAAUUGAUAUAUAUGCUAGCAUCAGCAUCAUCCGGGUUAGUUUUUAGAUGGGGGUAGCGAGAAGGAAAGAAAUCUUGGCAAUUACAUGGAAUGGUUGGUAAGGAAUGGAAAGAAUAGCGGUCGGGAUGUUAGGCACUUUAGGCAGACAGCAAGGGAGGCAGUGUCAAUUUCACAGUUGCAGGCACGUUAGGCAUGGAUGGCAAUGUGCUGGAAAAUGCUGGCUCUGUGGGCUUUGGCAGGGUACGUAUUCAUGCCACUGAUGGAGGCAAUGUAGUUGCAGGAAUUGCGGGCUUUGUGGGCUAUAACCAUAUAGAGUUGUAAGUAAUUUCUCACAGUAAAUGUUCUGCUUGUUCGUGGAAACAAGAGAACUAAAGCAUCAUCAGGUUUGACAAAUGCAAGUGCACAUCUUUGGACUUGGGAGUUGGGAGGACUCGGGAGCUAAUACCUACAUAGAAAAUGGGCGAUGGAUGAAGAAAGGUGCAACGGACUUUUUAUGUCCUCCAAUGUGGGUGGCAGAAUACACUUUCCUUGAAGUUGAUCAGCGAGAUUACUUUUGUGAUUGCUGAAAUUCAUGACAAAACGGUUCAACAUCUUCAAUCACAAAUUCGUCGAACUGCAAUUAUAAUCUCAUUGGACCAAACUCGAGUAAGCAAAUCAAAUCAAAUCGCUAAUGUCACUUCUUCCAAGUAGCGCUGACAUUCUAAGAUUGACAAGGAAAUGCAGGCUUUGACUCAUCAUUUACUUAAAGCAGGAUACAACAGCAAAAGAAAUCCAGAAGCAAAGAAUAUGAAACUAACCUGAAAACAAAGAUUUAGUAUUUCACAUUUAGAACAGUUACACGCAAAUCAAAAACAUUUUUGCUGCAUUGGGUCGGUGAACAUCCGUACAAGCAUGUGUUACAACAAGAUAUAUACAGUCUCAGGAGUAAUGCUACUAAAGUUUGAUGCCCGAUGCUGUCAGAAGAUAAAAUGGAACUCAGACACGUCGCUGAAGACUGGAGAGUCACUCAUCACUCAAACGGUGGUCUUCUUAGACAAAGAAACACCAUUAUCACAGCUGUUUAAGUAAAAUCCAACAGUCAAAGGCAACCAAAAAUAGUUAAAAUGAGGCAUAAAAUAAAUAGAUUUCACAUCAGACUUCAACGACACUACUUGUAAGCUUACAUUUCUGCAAAAGUGACUUAAGAAAGGGUGCCGGAUGAUAUGUUUGAGAAACCAAAGAUUGCAUUAGUUAAAUCCACAUUCAAAUGCACAUUAUAUACUUAGCCAGUCGUAUUGACCAUCCCAAUUAGUCAUGAGAUACAACUCAAGGCUGAUUAUCAAAUCAAAAGGAGUGGUUUGAAAACACAAAAUUUGGAAAAGAUGGCCAAUGGAAAUGUGGUUACAAGUACAAUUGAAUAUGAGAAACAUAACGAACUUGAUAGAUCUUCCUGCUGAAGUUAUUUGCUUUUCUUUUAAUUAGUUCAUAAAAUGUUAUUCGACUAUAAUAGUCAGCAGAAAGACAUCCAGAAAUUUUCUCACUCCAUAAUUGAAUUUAAGAAAAGAAAUUUAUACUAUAAGUUAAGUCUACGCCAAUGAACAAGUUGCACAAAAAUAGUUCUUAAAUAACUGAAACACGGCAAGAUAUGAAAUACACCGGACUUGCAAGUAAGCUUAGUCAAAUUUAAACAAGAAGAAGCAUCAGAUAAACAAAAUUGUUUAAUAGUAAGAGGCAAAGGAAAGAAUAUUACCCAUGAUACGAGCCUUAAGGGUGAUAAGGUUGCAGUCUCUUCAGAAAAAGGGUCAUACUAAAGAACCAGAAGAGUUCUUAAGCCUUGUCUUAGCGCUUGAAGAAAACAAUAUCUCUGCUGCAGCUAACUUUGAUAGCUUCCUCCAAACUCUCCAUCUGAUCAAAAUCAACUUUAAAAGUUACCAUGGUAACACCAUCUUUUCCAGUGUCAUAAUCUUGCUUAAUGUCUUCAGCCCGAAAUGAUUGUAACUGCAAGAUACACAAAUGGUGUAUUUGUGAGACAACUUUUACGAUGUUGAGAUGCACAAAUCACAACCUCAUCAAGCAAGUAAAUGCAUUGAUGACAUUUAGCAAAAUGGUAAUACAUGAAAAACUGACGUAUGCUCCACAUGUCAAAAUGACAAUCGAAACUUGAUUCGUCAUGAUAAUAUUUGACAGCUAAUUAGCCAGCAACACAACCAGAAGAGAACUUAUAAAUCCUCUGAAUCUUACCUGAUGGUAGAGAACCCCCAAAAGGUCAUAUGGAAUCUCCAAGCCCAUUGGAACCUACAAAUCAAGAUCCUUGUCACAAUAUUUAAUUCAUGAAGCAGAUUUCAGUGUGCAAAGUACGAAGUGGAAAAGAAACUUAUAGAAUUAGACUACUAUUGAUUCAAUAGGCACAUGUUUUAGAGAAUGUAAAAGCCAGCAAGGAUGAGUUGUUACUUUGGACUUGACAAGACAAGUGGGGGCAUUUCUCAAACAAUCAGCGGCAACCCCUCCAUAAGCCCUGACUAAACCUCCAGUGCCAAGUUUAAUACCUCCGAAGUACCUAAAUUAUGAAAUGCAAAAAGAUGAACAUCUUGAAUAGCUUCUCUCCCUAGAUAGAAAAGCCAAAUGACAGAUUAAUGAAUGUCAAAAACUUAAUGCAUGUAUCAAACAAUGAAAAUGGUUACGUAAAAAACAACAUUCUCUACAUUUCAUUCACAAAAGAAACAUUUGAAUCAGAACCAAAGGGAAAAAAGCAAUAGCAUGGCCCCAAAAAUGUGCAACAUUGUCUACCUGAUCACGACUACCAUAACUCUAUCAAUCCCAGAAGAUUCAAUUGCAGAAAGUAUUGGCUUGCCAGCAGUACCAGAUGGUUCACCGUCAUCAUUACUCCGAAACUGAUCCCCAACCUAGAAUUCACAAAUAACUGCAUUUGCAUCGAAAACAACCAAAAAAAAAAAUGGGGCAAAAAGAAAUAAAAGCCUCAUAAUUGAUUCAAAGUACUCCAAGAAUCACUAAUAACUAUCAUACCGGAAAAAUAUCAAAUUUUGUACUUUAUAUGCCCAACAAUUAUGUGUAGCCUUGGGGUCACGAACCUUAUUUCCAAACAAAACAAAAAAUCAGUCUUUAAUGGCAAAAAAAAAAAAACAGAAGCAAAAUGCAAGAAAGAAGAGGGACAGGAGUGAUUAUUAAUACCUCAGUGAGGAAGGCCUGAGCAGAGCGUUCAUUAGAGAUGGUGCCAGCAAUGGCGAUAAAUUUACUCUUCUUUAUCUCUUUCUGAAAUGUGACCCUUUCUUUAAUUGUGGUAAAGGCACCACCUUUAUGAUUAUUAUUGGGAUUAGAAUCAGAAGCAGUGAUGCUAUUGCUGCUAAUGGUGGCCAUUGGCGUCAGAUAAAUACAGGGUUUUGUCAGAAUUACGGAGAAUGAGGGAAGAAAAGGGUGAUACUUAUUAUGGAGAUUGUGAUGGAGAAGAAGGGAUUUGUUCAGAUUUUUCAAAGGGGUUGAGAGAAUCAGCAUAGAAGCAGCCACCUGCAUCAGCAAAAACCUUCCAUCUAAAACGUUGUCGUGAAUGGUGGAAUUCGAUUAAGGUUUCGUUCUUUGUUUUUUAUGCUCAAUUUUGAGGACAGAAAAAUAUGCGAGCAACAAAAUAGUCUUUAGGAUUAUAUAGCACACUUUUAAAAUAUGCAAGCAACAAAAUAUUCCUUAGAAACAUUGGAGGCGUGGAACUCUAGGGUAUUAUAUAGCACGCUUUAGAGGGUGCAAAAAGAUGGGAGCCUUUCAACUGAACAGAAAGACAAAAGAAAAGGGGAAAAAAAAAAAAAGUUACCCCACAUUUGUGAUUUGGUACAAAAAAUGACUCCAGUAGACAAAUUUUGGAAAAUGCAUUUCCAUCCAUUAAAAAGUAAUUUUAAGAAGUUAGCCUAGAGUGACAUUUGCAUAAUUUGGCUUAAAUACCUACAUUUUGAGAAAAAGUAUAACAUAUUUUCCUUGAAAAAUGUUGUUCGCACCAUAAUAUCUAUUAAUUACACUCCUAUUAUUAUUUUAAUCAUAUAAUUUUUCGAUUGUUAGAGUAUAUAAUAAAAUAAAUUAUGAUAGUGCAAGUAACAAAAAAAGAAGUACAAAUAACAUUUCUCUUCUCCUUUUGCUCAAGUUAUGCAAGUAGUACUAUUUCCUCUGUCAACGAGCAAUUCUUAGGUUUUUUAAUGAAGGACAACAAAAGUAUGAAAAUACAUAUUCAAAUGAUGUCCAUGCCAAAAUAAGAAGACCACCAUGCAAAGAAAUAUGUUAUUGUGAAAUUUAAUAUUAAAUUAUCAAGGUUACUGCAAAAUAAAAUGUAAAAGAUCAAUAUGAUGUUAAGAGAUGUGAUUCGCUAACUAAGGUUUUUUCAUGAUUAAAUUGGAUUGGCACUCCUCAAAAAUGCCCUUUUUCAAUCCAAAAGUCUCAUACUAAAUAUGAAAAUCAAAUAAACAAACUAAGAUGGCCUUUUCAUUCGAACCUUCAUUUUGUACUAAACAUAGAACUAGAAAUAAGUUAUAAAAACAUGAUCUAUUCAAGUUUAUGUGAAAAAAGUAAAUUUUUCACAAAAAAGAUUUGCACGUACUGAUGAGCAAAUAUAAGCAAAAUACCACACUUUCCUAGUAAAUCAAGCACAAAUGCAAGGAAUUGUUUUUGCUUUCUAAUACUAUGGAAAACUAUAAUUUUUUAUUCGCUUCGCUUUCACCAUCCCCAACGUCGCUUUGGCCGAGUGGUUAAGGCGUGUGCCUGCUAAGUACAUGGGGUUUCCCCGCGAGAGUUCGAAUCUCUCAGGCGACGACUUUUACCUUUUCGGCACAGAACUUCCGUUUGCUCUUACAAUCUCACCUACUACUUUCUAGUAGUUCUUCACUUUUGACUGUUAAACAGUUGUUCUUUCUCCGGCUUUCAAGUCUAGACAACUUUUCGUCCACAUUAAUCGGAGAACCUGAAAUGGGAACUGGAAGGGGACCUCACCGGAGAAAGUCAAUGACCUCCUCUCCCUCUGUCCCCCUCCCCCAUAUAUAUGCCUCUUCUGACUUUUGAAUUGUCUCAAGACCGACCCUAACGCGGUGACUCGGUCGUCCCUCCGACCAGUUUGGUGAACUGGGCAAUCCAGCCAACAACAACUCACCAAACAAUAAGUCCAAUGCAUUAGGUCCACCUCUUGACACGUAGCAUUUUCUUUUUUUUUUUUUUCUAGAAAAAUGUUUGGGUAGAUUCAGCUCCAAUCAACACUGGUGUGUACCUCCGCGACCAUAGAUCGCUUACAGAAAUUCUUACAGAUAGCCCACCAACACAGUUUUCACAUUGGCGGCGGGAUUCGCAUACAUAAUCUUUUGUAAAAAAGUGAUUCAUUCUUAUUAAUUGAACAACUUGUGUUGACAUAGCCUUUGUUGUUCAUGAAAAAGGUUGCAUUUCCUUUCCAGUCUGGAGUAGUGACUUAUGGGAAUUGGAAAAUAAGGGUGCAUUUAAUAAAAUUGAAAUUUGAGAUUUGAAAUCUAAAAUCUAAAUUUAGCAAAUUACUAAAUUAUUAAGUACCAAAAUUAAUAGUACAUUUGAGUGUAUGCCACCACAUUAAGUGAUAAGUGAAUAGCUUAUCACUUAUUUUUUUAUACAAAUUUUGUCUUAAAAAAUUCAGUGUCAUUUAAUUAGUUCAAAUAUUUUAUUUUUAAUUAUCAAACGUGUCGGAAUAAGUUAAAAUUUGAAUACACUGAAUUUAAGUGAUGAAUUAGAUUACCAAACACGGUUGAGUCAAGCUUAACAUUUGGCUGCAAUCAAAGGGUUAACGGCCCCGUCAGUCUAUGACCAUAUUUAAUUUCAAUGAUAAUGUGAACGACUAAUAUAUUUUAUCAGCCUCAUUUUUUCUCAAACUUUUUGACAGUUGCUAUUAGCCUCAUCUACCUGAUGGAAUUGGUGUCCUUUAACGUGGUCAAGUGACGUUUUCUUCUUCCAUGGGCCAAUACUUGGAAUUUUUUCCUUUAAUUAUAUGAUUAAAAUUAACACACAAUAAUGACAACAAUACUGAACACACGCAGAUUAAAACUGAUCAACAACAUUACAACUAAUAACAUUAGAAAAUGUGGGAUGGUAACUAAUAAAUUCACAUUCAGUGAGAUUUAAACCCAAGAUUUGUUUAUUUACAUGAUUUAUAAAUCGUCUCUAUUAAAUUACCCUUAUUAAGUUAGCAUGGCAAAUAAUCAAUCAUCAAGCGAUCUGUUAUCUACAUGAGCAGAAAUUUUACAAAACCCUUAUUUGAAUUACUCUAUAUGCAUAUGUUUUGAUGCCCUCAAAUUGUUCAGAAUACUUCAAUAAACAACCUAUUCAGUCGACACAUUUUCAUGUUCGUGAACUAUUUUUCAGUAUUCAGUAUUUCCAAUCCUUGUGAUAAAGUGGUUAACUGAAGGGUAGAUAUUAAAGUUCUCUUGAUUACUAUUGAUUAAGUGCAUAAGCAUAUUAUUCUUUCAUCAAAUCCAAUAAAAUUCCUUAAUCACGCACGCGUUAUAGUGACAUUAGGGUACAAAACAAAAAAAAAAAAUCGAAUAUUGAAGCUGUUGAUUUGCAGCAUGGACUCCUUGAGGUUAGGUCGGAGGUUUGCUUAAGGGAGGUAAUAUCUUAGCCUUAGGUAGUGGUUGGAGGACCGGGCGCAUCAUCUAGAUGCAAGAGUUGAGAAACUUUAAAUCAGUGAUGGAAAUUUGAUGCUUGAUCAUGCCAAAUAAUGGCCUUAGUCCUCUUCAUGGUGCUCAGUAUAUUUUUCAUCCAUAACGAACAUAUUCACAUGCCUGAAUUUAAUUAUGAUGCGACUUUAGGCAGUCUUUCAUGGAUUGCCUGCUAUCAUAAAUAGUGUAAUUAGUUAUUGAACAGGAAUUGGACUAGGACUUUUACAUCCGAAACUUGUACUAUUUUUUUUUUUUUUUGGUCGACACAGGGGUGUCCAGGCGGGUCAAUCCUUACAGGAUCCGACUAAUCCCCUGCGGCCCGGGCUCGACGCCCCAAUCCGGCCCGAACACGUUAAGUGCGCGGAGGAAUCCAGUGGAGUGGAGACUCGAAUUUGGGACCUCAAGGGUCACCGGUGAGAAGCGCUACCGCUGGACCAUUCACGCGGGGGCUCCGAAACUUGUACUAGAGAAAUGCUUUUAAGACGUUAUUGUUUUCAGGUUCAGAUAUAUAUUGUAGAGAAGAUUACUUGACGAAAAGAAAAUUCACUAUCUAGUAAUUAACUGAUUUUAAGAAAAAAAAUUAAAAAAAAAAAAGAUCAGCUAGCUACUAUAAAUGGUGAAAUUUAAAAAGCACGGAGAAAAAAGAAAAAUUUAAAUUCAAUAACUCUAAAUCCUGAAAUCUCAACUUUAAUCAUUAAAAUGAUACUUGCUCAGCAUUGAAAAUAAUUGUCCGAGAAAUUAUUACGCGUAAAACAUACAUUCAAAAGUCAGAAACUCGAUCGUGUUGGUCAUGCAAAUAAUCUCAACUGGUCAAAAAUAUAUGUUACAACUUUUGAAAGGCAAAAGAUUGGGUCUCAAUUUGAAAUCGUUUCUAGUUGCAAUGCUUGGUAAUAGGGCCAUCUUUAGGGCAGGUCAGAAGAACAUGCUGUUGACUCUUGGCUUUUCUAUUUUGAUUGAGCCAAAGUGGGAAUCCGAUAUUAUUCCGCUCUCUGUUCUUUCCUUUUGGCAAAGAAUCAUAUGAUAUGCAUGAUAACCGAGUAUGCAGGCUUUUUUGGGUCUGGGGAGGAAAGAAAAGGUGAAAAAUAUAAGAAGAAUGCGUCACGCUGGACACCAUAGCUCUGACUUGGUUCCCAAAGGCAUCCAUUCAAUUGGAACUCUGGUCAAAUUUGCGCUGUGUAGACUACGCAGUAUUGUUCCAACUAUUCCAAGUCGUAAUAAGGCAACUUGUUGGACAACAAUUUCUAUUUUGUGGACGUAAUUCAUCAUGUAAUCAUUAGCAACCUUUCCACAAUACGGAGAGCCCAGGUUGGUUUGCUAAACUAAUUUAAAACUACUCUGAAACUCAGCAAAGAAGUGUUUCAUUGGGUUUGUUUAUAUAUUAACUUAUUAAUAAAAAAUUAUUUAGUUAUAUCAAAAAUACAUAUUUCAAUUACCUUUUUAUCUUUCAAACUAUUAUUUUUUAUUUCACAUGCCUUACAUAAUAAUACAACAUGUGCUACAACAUUUUUUAAAAAAAAAAACAUUUCAAAUAAUCUCCUAUCCAAAAUUAUUAAUUUGGAUAGAAGAGGGAUUUAAAGGUAAGAAUGUGCGACACUUUAUUCUUUUUUAUUCUGGUGUUUAGGAGAGAAAUUGAGAAUUAUAUUUACUUUGCUUGGAAGUUAGGAUAAGAAAGAGAAAUGAAGCAUCCAAAUUAUUCUGACUUUCUCUACCUGUUAAGCAAGAGGUUUACUUAUUUUUUUUUCUCUACUUUUUUCAAGUUGACAAACUUGUACAUGUCCAUAAUUAUUCGCAAAACUUGCAAGGAAACUAUCUUAAAGAAAAAGAGCCAAAAUAGGUAAGUUGCCAAAGCAAAUGGUGCAAAUAUUUGCUAAUUACCUUUCUAGCUCUCGUUGUAUCCACAAUUCAUGAGUUCCAAUAAUAAUAAAAAAAAAUAAAACAACAAAAAUUUAAAAAAAAAAUGAAUACAAAAAUGAAGUUUUCUAACCGACAUUCAUUGAAUACUCGAUAACACAUCUAAAUUUCAUCUAACAUAUCGUGUGUGUGUGUGUAUAUAUAUAUAUUAAUAAUUAUUGCCUUCCCUCCUAUUUAUAUACUUUUUCUAAUUAAUUUUAUUUUUCAAAAAAUUUAGCACCUGAAUUAUAUUUUAAAACGUGUCUAUUGAGCACCCCUUAGAUAUAUCCUUAAAAAAUUGCAAAAAGCAAAAGUUACAAAAGUAUUAAAGAAAUUAAAGAAAAAACUUUGUUGGCCACAGCCCGCAACAAUACAAAUUCAUGAAUUCUCAUACAGACCCCCUUAUUCUUCUUUAACAGUAACCAAUAACCUUAGAACUGCGCCAGUUGGCCAAUUUGCAAAGCGCAAGAUGUGGUAGCGUUCUACUAGGUCAUUAGACAAUUAGUCUCUGACCCCAUAACCGCGUAAACAAAUUUAACCUAAAUUCUACCACUACGUAAGAAACUUCCUUCAUUUCCCAUUUUCAUUUUCCUUUCGUUUCCUUUUUCCUAAAAAUAGUUCCAAUUUCCCCCACUAUAUAUAUAAACCUUUCUCCUCCCUUCUCCCUCAAACCAUCAAUCACUUCAAUUUUCUUUCCCCUUUUACCAGCAUAUGUCUCAGAGACCCAACGUCCCACACUUCUCCUCCGUCGCCUUCGGCCUCCAUUCCCAUCUCCUGGUUUCCAGUGAGAUGUCCUCUAAUUCCAACUGGUCUUCUUCUACUUGUACCUUGUAGCUAUUCCACCACCUAGUCUUUUUCCUUAAAUACCCCACAAAAUAAAAAUUAAAAAACACACACACACACUAAACCCAAACAAACAAAGAGAAGAAAGGAAUCAAGAAAAACGCUACUCAUUUUUUCUGAGUUCAACAAAAGAAGAAAAUAUGGGUUUGAAAGGCUUUCUUGAAGGAGGCAUAGCUUCAAUAGUGGCUGGAUGCUCCACCCACCCGCUGGACCUCAUCAAGGUCCGAAUGCAACUUCAGGGAGAAUCCCCCGUCCCCAAACCGGCUGCUCAAGCGCUCCGACCAGCUCUAGCCUUCCACCCUGCAGCUGGUCAGGUUUCUCAUCAUCACAUUCACGUCCCUUCUCCAUCUCUUCCUCCGCCGCCGCCCCGCGUGGGACCCAUUGCCGUGGGAGUCAAGAUUGUCCAGCAAGAAGGGGUCGCCGCGCUGUUUUCCGGCGUCUCCGCCACCGUCCUCCGCCAGACUCUUUACUCCACCACCCGCAUGGGACUUUAUGAUGUUCUGAAGCAAAAAUGGACCGACCCACAUACCAACAAGAUGCCUCUGGAAAGAAAAAUCGCUGCUGGGCUCAUCGCCGGCGCGGUUGGAGCGGCCGUCGGGAACCCCGCUGACGUGGCCAUGGUCCGCAUGCAAGCCGAUGGUCGGCUCCCGGUGGAUCUGCGGCGCAAUUACAAGAGCGUGGUUGACGCGAUUGGUCAAAUGGCUAAAACCGAGGGAGUUGGCAGCCUGUGGCGCGGUUCAUCCCUUACGGUGAACCGCGCUAUGGUGGUGACGGCAUCACAGCUGGCAUCAUAUGAUCAGAUCAAGGAAUCGAUAUUGGAAACGGGUCUGAUGAAGGAUGGGCUUGGGACCCACGUGACUGCCAGCUUCGCCGCGGGGUUCGUGGCGGCGGUGGCGUCGAAUCCGGUGGACGUGAUCAAGACUAGGGUGAUGAACAUGAAGGUUGAACCGGGGAUGGCCCCACCUUACAGUGGAGCCCUGGAUUGUGCUAUGAAAACUAUCAGGGCUGAGGGCCCACUGGCCCUUUACAAGGGGUUUAUUCCCACAAUCUCAAGGCAGGGACCAUUUACUGUGGUGCUCUUUGUAACACUGGAACAAGUCCGGAAAUUGUUCAAGGAAUUUUGAUUUUUGAGGAUGAUGACGAAGAAAUUAGAAUAAAAAGAAAAUUAUGUUUCUUCUUUUAUGUUCCUGAGAUCUGGGAGUUUGAAUAGCAAGAAAUCUGUCAGAUGCUCAGGUCCUUUGAUUUAUAUUAAAUGGUUAAUUUUUUUUUAUUUGAAUUAUAAGCUUGAAACCAACGCAAUUAAAGUAUUCUAUAAUGUUUCAUUAUUAUUUUCAAAGGUGGCAGGAGAACACGUAAAUCAAUGCAAACUUAUUUGUUUCUUGGACGAACGAAUUAACUUUUACUUUUGGCCUAAUAUCGAACAAAGUCGAUGCAAUUUGUCAAAAGGUGAAUUUGAGUGGCUGCAAUUAGUACAAAUUGUUUAUUCAUAUGAGCUAGGGGCUCUAGCUUCUACUUACCCUUUUUUUCCUUUUUCUAAAUGAGCGGUAUUAGUCUCAUGUUCUUGUUUUUGUACUCGCAUAAUUACAUAUAAUAUCAGCAAAAAGUUAUAUCCCAAGCUUGAUUUUGGUUUCUUUGUUAAGCAAAAUUCAGUUCUAAAUUAGUAAUAGUAGUCUUGUUGAACUCAGUUAAACUUUGCACUCAAGUGGAAUAUUCGAAGCUCAUAUGCGAUGCUAAAAAGUGCUGGUAUAUUCUUACAAGAUAUGUAUAUAUUCUUUAGUAAUGGUUAAAGUUGAGACGCCUAGGAAUUAAACAUUCUGAGUUCUAAUUUUCCUUCUCUUCGUCCAUUUUUUGAAUCCCACCUCUUUCCUGUCAGAGAAAAAAAUUCUUUAAGGAUCUAUAUUUUCUCAAGCUAAGAAGUUACUUGAGAAUCUAUAAUUAUUCUUUUAAGUUUUCAAACAAACUUUAUGAAAAGCGAAUGCAUUUAACUUAAGGUAAUUUCUUUCUCAAUAAAUGAAGAAGAAAAUAACCAAAAAAAGUAUUAAAAAAAAAGGGGGGGUUACAUGAUCUUCACAUGCAAUGAAGGUAUUAUCAAACAGAGACGUUAAAUGGAACUUUUUUUACAUGAAUAUUUGGCGUUUACGUAGGACAACAUGAAAGGUUGUGGACAUGGUUUUUUUUGGCAUGUGACUAUGUAGGAUGUUAUGCAAUUUCUAGUCAAGAUGAGAAUGUGAAUGGCCAAUAGGCCAAACGAUGAAUGUCGAAAUGCUGCCGACCUGUCAAGAUGAGAUAAUCAUAUGAACCAUGGAAUUAUUUCUUUUUAUUGUUUAUGAAAGUGGAGAUGUGGAACCUAGCACCUUCAACGGGCAGCAACUCCUGGAAUUGGCUGUAAUCGUGACUGUGACAAACCAUGUUGGAGGAUCAAUUGGUCCAGCACUGGAAGUAAUUCAAUUCUCACUUUGGGUGGUGUUAAAUUGAAGGUAUUAUUCUUAUAUAUAAGAAUUUGGUAAAUAGUAGCUAUGUUAAGUUUUCCUGGACUUGUCACUCACAAAAAGUAAUACGUACUAAUUUUGAGGGGAAGAAUGAGUUCCAUCGUACGGAAGAAGAAGACGGUGUAAGUGAGAGGUUUCGAGUUUCGAGACUUCCCACUUAAACUUUGAAAAUAUAAAGAAAAAGCAAUAGGAAAUCAAACCAAUGAAAUUCCGGCCCUCAGGAAUCAAACCUUCAUUCCAAUGAAAUUCCGAGGGGUGCCAUAGGAAAUUUCUGAGAUAAUUUUUGGUUAUUUGGGAUAAUUUUUUGAAUGAUGUGAUAUAUGUGAGAUAAAAGGGUGGUUGAAAAUGUGUUAAUGAUACAAGCAAAUAAAUGUUAAUAAAUAAUUGGCUAUCCAAACAUGUUAGGAGAGGGCUGGCCAAAGGUGUUCAAUAAUUACAUUUUGUAUUAAGGUUUAAAAUAACUUUGUAAUUGGGCACUAUAAGAGCGAAUGAGUAACAUUCUGUGCAACAAUACAUACAAACUAUUUGUGAAAGUGAAAAUUUUCAAAUGUAUGUGUUAUACCAAAUUAACAUAUCAAUGCACAUGCUGAUAUGUAUUGUGUUGCCUUAUAUUUAAAUAAUUUUCCUAUUUAACUUUAAUUGUUUACAAAAUCGAUAUUGAUCUCUCUUAAUUAGUACUCGUUAGACACUUGUCAAACAGACCAUUUAUAUAUUAAAAAAAAAAUUUUGAGCUUCACAUUUAAUAUAUAGUUUACUAUUUUUGGGAAAUUUUUUUUAUAGUUAUUUUCUUUGUCUUAACGGCACAUCGAAUCUAACUUAACCUACUCCUACAGUCCUACUCCUACUUUGGGGAAGGGGGAACCUACUCUAGGAGGUGGCCCAACUGAAUCGAGGGAACCUGAUGAGAACUGAACCACCAUCAGUCCAGACGGGUGCACCACGCACCCGUAUGAAUUUAAAGCAAUUUUCGUAUAGAGGCGCAUUGAUGGGAGAUAAGGUUCUCCCACCUCACAAUUAUUGUGGUGGCUAACUUUUUUUAGAGGGAGUUGGUUUUUUAUAAUUGUUCUUUAAUAGGAAUUCUAUGCUGUUCAAAAGUAGUUUGGACAAGUAACAUGAAAUGAGCGUAGGGAUUGUAGCGGACGGAGCGCAGAGGAUUUAUUCUAUGGAAAUGGAACUUUUGUGCAUAAGACAGCCCCAUGAAUUCAUGGAGGAAAUGGCUCCCGGGAGCUGCCUUAAUUCCCAGAGCAAUCAUUCACCUAAGAAUACAUGUCAUGCACGAUAUUAGAUGCAUGUACCUGCCUGGAUCCUGAAAACUAACAUUCAAAGAAUUCCUUUGUCUUUUUCCUUUUAUAAUUUCAACCAGUCAAAUGAUUGUCCCAUCAUCUUUUUCUGUCUAGAAAAAAAAUUGUAUGCUGUUAUCGGAUGUUUGGUUUGUACCCAGAAACUAGAAUGAAAACCAAAUUCCACUUAGAAAGGUUGUCAACUAGCUAGGAGCCACCAAGCCACUAGCAGUCUAAUGCCUAAAAUAGGCUACUAUUCAACUGCAACAUUUUAGUUUAACACCAAUGCUUCAACUCAAAAGGAAAUUUUAUAUACGAAAUGAGGAAAUAAAACCAAGGUGAUUUUGAGCAAAAUAAAAAAUUUCAAUUAAUGUAAUACAAUCUUGUGGUUACACUUAACAAAAUUGUAAACCAUGAAAGCACUUCAUGGAGAUCAUCAAAGGUCAAGAGGUGGCCUAAAAGCAACAGCGAAGUUGCUACAACAGGCAUUGAUUCUUUUAAACAAAACAUCAUGGUUACUGAUUGUUAAGAGACACAAAACAAAAAAUGCUAUAAUACUUUUUUCACAAAAUUAUCUCAAAUAAUUUACGAUCCAAACACAAUAGUUUCAUUAGAGAAAACAUUUGCUCCAGGUUGAUAAACACCAUUUACGGCAUUCCUUUCUUAGUUGGAAAACAUUUAGCGUAUCCAUUUAAUGGAGUAAUUUCAUAAACCUCCCUUGAGGUUUUUGAUAAUUUCACUUAGCACCCUUAAAAUUUUAAAAAUAUCAUUUACUUCUCUUAUUUUCAAAUUUUGUAGCAUUCUCAAACCAAUUCAAACUAUAUGAUUAAAAUACUCAUUUUAGGAAAGAGAAAAUAAUUUCUUUCCAAUAAUGCCCUUUCAUUUUUUAAUUUUUUAAAUUGUAAGUAUAAUAAUCAUAUGUUAAAAUUAAGGACAAAAAAUGAAAAUGUUCUUUUUUUUAAAGGAACAACAUAUAAUAAUUGCAACCAUAAAAAAUAUACUUUUUUAAAGUACAAACAAAUAAUAAAAUUUUGUUUAAUAUGUUUUCAAAUUAUAAAGUAAUUUUUUUUCCUUUAAUGUUUGUCUAUUUGGUAUUCUAAAGUCACAUGGUAAGAAAUAUGAUCCAUUUGGAUUAGCUAUUUUUAGAAGUGUUUUUGAAAUAUUUUACUGUAACAAUGUAGUUGAAAAAACAUUUAUUAUAGAUGUUUUUAAUGGUGUUUUUGAAAAUAUAUUUUGAAAUAUUUUUAAAAUUUAAAUUUUUAAUGGGAUAUUUAUAAAAUUUUAUAAUCACCCACCACUAUUCCACCACCCCUUCUCUUCUCCCUUAUCCUCCUUCUCCUUCUCCCUCCUUCCUCCUUCUCCCUCUUCCCCUCCUCUUUUUCAUCUCUUUCUUUCUCCUCCCUUCUCCUUCCUCUUUCUCCUCUACCCCUCCCCUCCUCCCUCCUCCCCACCCUCUCCCACCACCCCCCUCUCUAGUCAUGAGUUGCGACUAGAAAAUGGACGCUGCUUGCGACCAAAUUUGGUUGCAAUUGGAAGGGGGAAGGGGGCAAUGAGAGAGACGUGGGGAGGAAGGAGGAGGAAGGAGGAGGAAGAAGGCAGGGGAGGGAGAAGGAAGAAAGGGGAAGGGAAGAGGGAGGAUAAGGAAAAAGGAGAGAGAUAAGAGAAGGAGAAGGGACAGCGGGUGGUGGUGUGUUUUUAUUAAUUGUUGUUGUUGGUGGUGGUAGUGGUAGUGGUAGUGGUAUAUAUAUAUAUAUAUAUAUGUGUGUGUGUGUGUAUAUAUUUGAAGUUGUUUUUGAUAUAUUGUUAUUUUUGUUUGUGUAUUAUUAUAACAUAGUAUAUGAAAAACUUGUUUUUGAAAAAAUGAGGAAUCCAAAUGGAGUUAUUGUUAUUGUUUUUUUGACAAAAAUAUAGAUUUCUUCUACAAAAGUGUUGUAAUUUAGGAGACUAUUUAUAAUUUUAAAACUUCAGUGCUUGUUCAACCUUAUUUAUCCAUAUGUUUAUCACAUGCUCUUAGGUUAUCGAAUGAGAAAAAUCUUUCUUUUUAUGUAAAAUGGUUUGAUUGAAUCUAAUAAAUUUUAUGAACUAUUUAGAAUCUUUAAUUUUUAUUUAUUUGAAUCAAUGGCUUGAAAAUUUACAAAAGGGAAAAAUUUUUAAAUUACAUUUAGAAUUUAUUUGAGUUGUUUAGAAGAUAAAAAAAAGUUAUUUUUCACAUAUUUACAAUAUUUCAAAUAAUUUUUACAUACUUUGUUAAUUAUUUAUGAUUUUUCAAUUUAAAAUUUUGCCUCCAAAUUGUUGAUAAGAUUUGUUAAAGAUUUCUCAACUCUAAACUUAUAAUUUUUUUUACUAAAAAACACAUCCAUCAAGUUUUCAAAUAUAAAAGGAUUUUAAAUUGAUUUGUCAUUACAGCUAAGGGAUCACAAUAAAAGAGCAACUUUAGAAUAAAAUAACUUUCUCUUUCCUAAACAUAGUAUUUUAAUGAUAUAAUUAGAACUGGGUUGAGAAUGUGAUAAAAAUUUCAAAAUAAGGGGGAAAAGUGAUAUUUUUAAAACUUUAAGGGUACUCAGUGAAACUAUAAAAAACUUCAAGGGAAAUUUCUGAAAUUAUCCCCCAUUUGAUCCUCUUGUUUGCGGCUGAUAUUUACUUGAAGAAAUUAGAGGCGUCAAAAUGGUUGAUUUGGACGGGUUUGGACGAGUUGAAAUGGAUAAUGGGUAUAAGUGAGUUAAUCCAUUUAUACCCAUUUAAUUAGAUAGGUAUAAAUGGAUAAGUCAAAAAUGAAUUGGGUAAUUCAAUUACCAUUUAUAACUCAUUUAUUUUAACUUUUUGUAAACUCAUUUAAAUUCAUUUUUGCAAACUAAAUUAUCAAUUGAUACCACUCUUUGCAUCCAUCAUUAUCAAUAAGCCUAAUUACUAAAAGAAAAUAAAAAUUUGAACUAACUACCAUGAAAGUUAAUAUAAAAACUUAAUCUAAAAACUUUGAACCCCUUACAAUUUUUUCGUGUGUAAAUUUAAAAUUUCAUUUUAGAAUGGUAGGAAAGGAGACUAAAACUUGUCAUAAAUUGGUAAUGCUAAAAAAUGAACAAAUUAACAAUCUAUAAAAAAAAAAAAAAGGUAAGAUAAAACCAACAAAUCUUUACAUAUAUAAAACGGGAAUCUUUACCUAUGGUCCGGUUAUGCUGUGAUUUUUGUGAGCCUGAUGGGUGUUAUGGUCUUUUGGAGUCGAGUGGGAGUGGUUUUGCUGGAAAUUCACCGUUCCCCACGUGUUGUUCUCGGACGGCAACAAGUGUAGCGGUGAGUUGAGCUGGAUGCAACAAGCACUGCUUCAAAGUUUUGCAAUCUUCAUUACUUUUUCUUAUUGUUUUCUUAGCCUUGUCUCCGUUACUUUCUCUUGUUCUUUUCUUGACUUUCUCUACCCAGCGUUUUUUCCGUUCCUCAUUCUCCUAUCUUUUUUCUCUAUAUUCUUUUCUUAGCUUCUCUGCCCAGUGUUUUGUCCUUUCCUCGUUUUCCUAUUGAGUUCUCUACUAGACCGCAAAUAAUUGCGCAUCAGAGCAUAGGUGCUUUGCAGAUGUUUAAUGUCAGUUAUGCUCUAUUUUAUUGGUUUGCAUAGCCAUUCAUGCAGAGCAACAAAUCAAAGUAAGGCUCAUGUAUCCACGCUCUUGAUGUCUGACUCAGAAGUUUGGCAAUGAAUAUAUGAGAAGGAGCUGUUGAUUGUGUUGGGUAGGGUGAGUUAGUCUUUUUUUUUCGCUUUGUUUUUUUUUUUUUAUUGUGUUGGGCCAGGUGAGUUGAGAUUUGUUUAUUGUUUGCAUGUAUGGAUGAAUGACGACAAUUAUUCCUGAUAGUUAGUCUUGCUGUAAUUGCGUCUUCUGUUGCUGCCAUUUCUUUGCUUUUGUCAAUGCAGUAUCUUCUGCAGUGUAAAUAAGUUCCAGCAAAACUAACAAACUAACCCAUUGCAGAAACAAUGUCUGGGCAACCUUAAGCGAAGGGCGAGGCGCACAUCAACUAGUAGUUAACAAGAAGUUGAAAAAAAAAAUUAUAUAGGAUAUCUAUUUACGUCAGAAAUGCAUCAAAUAUUUGUAUGUAGAUAUGCCGUGGAGACGCCGUCGCCUCGAUCGUGGCGGGGGCAGCGCGCGCCAUCGGCGUGCUUCGGCAUCUGCGCGCUCCCGGUGCUGGCCUGCGGGCACCCCAUUCGGCCCGUCUUGAAACACGGACCAAGGAGUCUGACAUGUGUGCGAGUCAACGGACGAGUAAACCCGUAAGACGCAAGGAAGCUUGAAAAAUAAAACAUUCCAAUAUAUACAAGGUUUCAGCAAUAUUAAUGCAUGAAAGUCUCCAACAAUAAGUUCAAUAAUUAAAAGCAGGCUCAAAUUUCUUCUAAAUGGGUGGGAGGCUUGAAAAAGAUAAUUCUAAAUGAAUUAAUUGGAUUUAAUAAUAAAGGGAUAUUAUUACCAUUUAUACCCAAAUGCCAAAAUUUAAAGAUACCCAUAUAUAACUAUUCAUAGGUGGGUGUGGGUAAAUUUAGCUAAAUGCGUUUGUUUGUUUGCCACCUAUAGCUGCAACGAAGCAGCCAUUCCUCAAUUCUUCUAUCGUUAUCGGUGUAUGAGAACUCCAAGUUUUCCCUCUAUGUCUAUGUGUGUUUCUUUACAAUUCUAGUAGAAGCAUCCUAGGAUAGCAUCGACCGCACUUCCAUAAUCGAUCCGGGAGGUUCCACGUCUUUUUGUUGUAGUGCAUUCCCGAGCAAUUGUUGCAUCCGUGAGGCAAAAAUAUCAUCUAAAACCUGCAAAUCAGAAUCUUUGUUGUCAUGGUAGUAUUUAUCAUAUUACUGGAUCUUAUUAAAGACGAUUUGGCCAGCCAAAGUUUAACUCGAGCCAAGUUACCAAGUCAGCCUGCAUUUUUCACUCCCUUGCAAACAUCUCUAACUAUUUCAAGGAUGAAAGACUUACAUCACAUAGAAGAUUCAAAGGAUGAUCAGAUUAUCCCUCUUUCCUUCUUUAACACUCUACUUCGUAUAAGGUGAAUUUCAGUUAAAAACGUCAUGCUUUUAAUCUUUUCAACAUUUGCAAAUAAUGGCUGCUGCUUAAAGUGACUAUCUGAAUCCUGGAAGAAUUAGCUCAACUUACAGAUACUGCAACCCGUGAAGCUUUGUACCAUGACCGAUUUUCCUUCCUCUCUGCCAGAAAUCUAAGCACAUCCUGUCACAAAACAUCAAACAAUAAUAAGGAAAAAAAAGAAGAAGAAAAUAAAAGAUACGUAAUGAAAAAAUAAUUAUGAGACAUUUUGCUGAACAUUCUACCAAGAAACUUACCUGUGCCAUCCUAUCCCAAAUACCUCUUGAUACGAUUAUGAACACCUGAGGGUCCAAUAAAUUGUAAAGUUGAUCAAUCAUUUUUUCAAGCAAAUCCUUCAAGGGCUGCAUCCUACUUCGAACAUCAGAUUCUACAACAUUUUCCUUUGCAUCCUGAAUUAUUUUCUUCAACUUUGUAGAGGGUUGCAAUCUUGUCUGAAUCCAGAAAAGCAGUAUAAAAAACGAAAUCAAUACUUGAUAGUGCAUAUCCAAAUGUCAUUAAGAACACCACAAAGUAUAGUUGUAAUGGUGAUCAUAAUGACUUUUUCUGCAACUUGUAACCUUGCAUUAAUAAAUGACCAAGAGAUGAAAAAAAAAGCAUGCUUUCCAUCCAAAUGCAUCUUGCUGGAUAAUCAGCACAACACAAUGCAGGAAGAAUUUUUUUUUUUUAAAAGGACCAAAUUCAUAACCUAAAUGUUAGUACACCUACAUUUUCCACAAGCUUUUCUGUAACUCCUUGCAAAUAAGUUCUCAAUUUGGCUCUGAGCAUAACCGUUACUUCACUCAGAUGCUCGCCUGGGAUGGUACUCCCACCAUCAGGGAUGCAAGAACCCCAUACCUUUAUCUGUGCUUCUAUUGGGGGCCGCAAAACAUCAAGAAUCCUUUUCACGGAAUUAAGAAAAAUUCCCAACUGAAAAAUUAGAGCAAAAAUAUUAAUUUAUGGUCAAAAGAAGGGAGAUACCAAGUUCACAAAAAUCCAAAGAUAGCAAACAAUCUGACCUCUCUGCAAACGGAAUAGGCAGAUACAGUGCCCUUAGCAAAUUUCUGAACAUACUUGAGGCCCAAUUUAAUUGGAAUUGAGUUCUCCUUCAGUGCAUAUAAAACAUCUGCAUAAUGUUUUUCCAUAGUCUCUAUAACUGUCUUUUCCACAUCUGUUAUGGCCUGUAUCCAAACAAGAAUUAGAUGUCAAGCAUUGUGUGUAUUACUCCAUAAAGUUAGAAAAUACACUAGCUACCAUGAUCCGUUGGGUCCUACUGUGUCACCAAGAAGUACCAUUAUCACACAAACUAAUCAUUAAAUGUCUAUCCAUUGAUGCAGUAAUACCAAAUGAAGACCUUCUAAUCGAAUCAUAGCAGAAGAUUGGGAUUCUAUACCCCACUUAGCUAAAACCUUUCCCAAAUGCAUACAAGGAAAAUUUCAAACUGGAAAGUAACAUAUAGAAUACUAGCCGGUUUCUGCCAACCCCAAUAAGAGUUAAAAUGAUGAAGGCAAUAGAAAUUAAAAAAUUCAGACUUUACUUACACUUUCCAACUGGAUGGUAUACUCUGGCCAAUGACUUAUAAUGACAUCAUAUUCCUUUAGUGUCUCCUUCAGUUGAUCGUAUAUAUCAUCCACGAAAGGGGUUGUGAGAUCCAGUGCUUGGAAGCUGGACCAUUUUACCUGGAGGCAUGUAAAUUCUACUAAUCAGCAAUAGGGAAAUUAUAAACACACCAGCAAAUGCUGACAAAUUCAUCCAAAGCAUCAGUUUUUGGCCAAACAUAAAAUGAAGCAAGAAGAACAGAUAUGUCAAAUCAUAUUAAUUAUGUAUAUAUGUACUACAAACAAACAGUAAAACCUACGCAGAUGACUAACCUGAUGUUUUUUGAAAUAAGAGUUUCUUGUUCCCUAUUUUAAUUCCAUAGGAACAAUUUUACCUUUCUAUAUCAAUAUAAGAUGCCUUAAGAGCCAGUUAUUUUAUCAGCCUCCAAUGCAACCCACUCUUAUCAAGUAAUGUCUAAGAUGCAAGUGCCACAUUAUAAAAGGUUCAAUGGUCCAUAGAUAUAUUAUUGAAACAAAGAAAAAACUUAAGGUAAAGUAUCUCUUUCUAUUGCUUUGCUCAGCGUUUAAGCUGCGGUUGAGCAGACAAAUAAGGUGAAAUCUUGUUGAACCUAAAGCUUCUAUUUAGAAAAGUAAGGAUCAGGCUUCUCAUCUACAAAGGUAAGGGUAGUAAAACUGGGACAGAUCAGAUAUUAGUCGCAGAAAAGCUACGACCUACGUUGUAUUUUGAAGUCAAAUAAACUUUCUUCCCAUUGGAAUGAUCUCCUCAAGAGAUCAACUGAGGCAACUACCAAAUAAGUUAUCAUGUGCACAUAACCAGUUCAGCCUAAUAGCUCAGAAGAAUUCAGACCAGGUAAUUUUAUGUGCAUAUCCAACACAAGAUGGUGUUGACUUCCAGUGAACAAUGCUUGAUGGAAAUUGAAGAAAUAUAACAUAGGCCAUGAACUUGACCCAGUGAGUCCAUGUAGACAAAAGAGUACCUUAUCAGGUUUGCAUAGUUCCAGCAAGGUAAGACGCUUUUCCUGGAUCCAGAAGGUUAUAUAUGAGUGGAACAAUUGUUUUGAAUCAACUCCACCUUUAACAGCUCUGCAAAAGGUCAUGAUAUGAUUAAGGCAUGCUAGAAAAGACUAAAGUGUAAACUAAGCACAUAUCAGACUUACUUAAUAUUCCAGGAGGCAAGAUCCCUUUGAAAAUCAGCUGUUGCAACAACGAGUUCUGUCACAGGUGGCAAUGGACUAGGAGGUGGACAAGCAACAAGAAAUGUCUGCAAUCUACUGUUGAGUUCGGUGCUAUAUAUGGAUGAGGAUAGAUUUGGAAGGUCUAUGAAACUAUGCAAAGACAGAUAAGAGAAAAACCAGAGUUAGAGACUUCUAUGAACAAAAAUCCUAUCCUUGGAAGAGAUCAUGCUCAGAUAAAUAACAGAGAAGCCAUUGCAUGAAAUGAAUGCAAAUAAGACUUGAAUAAAUCAGAUUAUAGGAACUACAAACAUCUCUAAUUAUCUAAUAUGGCAGAAUCAAGCUAUCUACACUUCAGCAAAAAUGGGUCCUUUUUUUUUCAUUUUCUUCCUUUCCUUUUUACCUGGGGAGUACAUGCUGAUCGUGAAUUUCUAUGUCUGUGAAGAUUUCUCGUCUGAUGUUCAAACAAAGAGAUUUUAUUUUCUGAUAUGCUGCAGAAAUAGUUACUGGGUCCAUUAGUACGUUCCCAUUAUUGUUAGAAACAAUCUCAUCUGUUUCUGACAUAUGCCUCUUGGAUCUCUUCUUCACUGCAGUCUGCCAAAAAGAAAUGGUUAAUGAAAUGGAGUGCAGCAGGGAAAGAAAGUAUGUAUGCGUUCAAUACCUGAAAAUAUCUGCAAAGCUUCAACUGUGCCUCAGAAGAGAGAAUAUCAUGCAAAAGUUUGUACAGCUUUAGGGCUGGUACCAGAGCAGAAGCAGCAAAUCCAGUAGCUGGUGUAAACACAUCAGCGACCCCUGAUGGAGAUGACUCAUCAAGUGACUUGUAAUUCUCAAAAACCACCGCAAUGGUCUGCUCAAUUUGAUCAGAAACAUCUCCCAGCAUACGAUUCUGGUGGGGAAUGCAUAAGAAAGAACAUUAUGUUAGUUGAAAAUUUGGUAUAAAAACUUCAAAGAAUCGUAACAGAAGAAAGCACUAAAUGCAUAUGAAGCUAAUGGAAGAUGCUAGAUGAAAAGGCGCAAGAUGUGUACAACACGACCUCAGCAUAACUGAAAAAGUCAAAAAAAAGUCCAUGAAACAUGGUAUCAUUGAAUAUAACUGCUGAAGGACAAGUGCAGAUAAAUCAAAUAAGAUUCUCCAUGUUAAAGGUGGGAUACUUUUACUGUCUCAUUUUUAUGCAUAAGAUACUGUGUAAAAUUGAGCAGGACAAUAACUGUUCACGUUUUUUUAAGUUAAAUCCCUCCUACCUCUUGGUGACUCAAUGCCUCUUUACUUUUGCCUUUCAUCACAACAGGAAAGAGCAGAUCAUGCACCAAAUCUAGACAAUCUGCAGUUGGUGUAGCAACAUCCAUAACAUAGGAAAGAUAUCUGCAAAGUAAUCAAACAUUAUAGACCUACACAGUAAUUUCACACCACAUCUUGAAACAAUUUAUCUGUAAAUAGGCAUUUAAACGAAUUUGAAUACCUCAGCUUAGUGUAUGCAUCUGAAACUCCAUAGUAUGAAGCAAAUUGAGUCACUAGCCACUUCCAUGAACCAUGCAGCAAAAGCUUUCUCUGUUGAAACUGUUGAGCUUUCAUUGCAGUCUCCAAAACGAAGUCAUAUGCAACAGUCUCAGCAACAGAACCAUACUGAAAUAAAGAACAAAAUAAGGAUACACCUUACCAUGAAACUACCUCAUUUUAACAUUUAAAUGGAUAAAUGUUACAUAGAAAUGAAAAGUAGAACUAAAGUCAUUCAAUAAACCGAUGAAGUCUGAAUUCACAAUGCAUAGCAGAGUUCAUAUGAUAGUCAAAAUAAUAUAAAAUCCCUUUUUUUCCUUUGUUCACCAUUAUUGUAUUGCACAUCUACUGAACCACAAAGAACAACAUUUUCCUUAAGCUUACAUGAUAGCUGAAAAUACCAUCAGAUGAUCUUUAGAAAGAAAGCGAGACAUUAAAUAUGUAGCUAAAACUACUCAUCCCUUUUCUGAUUCUACAUCAAAGGACAAUUAAUGUGGGGAAAAAAUGAAGAAAAUGGAGAAGAAAGAACCGAUAACAAUUCAAAUCAUAAAACAUUAAAAGAUUCAAAUAGUAUCACUUAAACAUCUAUUGAAAGCUAGUGAACAGCCAAAAAACCAGUUAUGGCAAACUGGCUGCUCUCACAUUUGAACAUAGAACCUUAAGAUUGUAAUUUCUAACACUAUGACAAUGCACGCCUGCAACUUAGAGUUAAGUUGUGGACAUGAAAAAUUAAAAGACAUGUCACAACUAAACAACAGAGUUCAACCAUUUCAGUCAAAAUUAAAAUAAAAAAAAUCUUUUGCCGGACUAAGACUGCACCAGAAUGUUGGUGUAUCAACAGUGAGAUAACAAAAAUUUAGAAAAGAUCUAUUGCAAGGAUCUUACUGACCUUAAGAUGACUAUUCUCUUCUUGAUUUGAAUAAUUGAUAUACAAUUGUAUUCUCCCCACAAGUUCAUGCUCUGGCUCUUGAUAUAUAGACCACCAGCGAAGCUUGUCAGCCUGCAUCCAACCAAUACUUCAUGUAUCUAGCAAAGAAAUCUGUAUCUAGAAUUUGAGAAACAAGUAGUAAUCUGAAUAUCCUACCGGAUUAUCAGCAAUUUCAGCCACCUGAGCCAUUGCCCUCCCACAAUACUUCCCCUUUGAAUCAUGGACUUCAAUAAUUAGAUCAUCUCCUAACCCAUCCGGCAAGCUAUACUCCAGAAGCAAUAGAAUCAGUUUAUUCUUCUAUUCGAUAGGAGACUGAGAAAAGAAGAACACAAAAACUUACAACACAUGAGUCUCUCCAGAUCCAGGCUGCAUUUUAACUGUGUCCUCUUCAGAUGAAUUUUUCAAUCUCAAUGAACAAGAAUAUGUUUCUGUAGAUGGAUAAUGAAUCAUUUCAGUAAUAUGUCUGAACAGAAUGUUUCAAUGUAUCUACUGCAGUCUGAGGAUGCAAUCACUGACAAAAAGUUUACCUUAGCAAGCAAACUAAAUACACUUAUAAACACUGAAACUAAAGUAUCCAAAAGGGUAUUGUACCAUGUUUGCUAGAGUUCAACUUUUCUAGCUUAAUUUUCACUAUCUAAUGGAAAAACUAAAUGUAGUGAGAACAUAGCAACAUUAAGAUCUCUCAAAGAUUUUAGUGAUGGGUAAUGUGGUUGCUUUUCAGUUAUAAGUGGUUUUUCAAGUUUCGGAGCUCCACUUUUUAGCUAUCACUAAAAGUAUUUACAGCCGAGAAUUUCACAACCAUCAAAGUUGCUAUUUCAGUUUAGACCAAACAUCUUCAGAAGAACUUCCAAGAGAAUUUCCUACUAACUUAUUCCUUGAAUAGGAUCACAGUCUAAAACAGAACACACUAAGCAAUUAGCAUUUUAAGACCUUGAGGUGCUAGAAGCUUCCUAUGGGUGUCUUAGCUAUGCCUAGCCAAGCACCUGUGGUAAGUUGUAUCCUCUUGCACAAAGGUUACAAAACAACCUGAUUAAUAAUGUGGUUAGUGACAAAAGACAAAAUAAGUACGAGGACCAGAAAGAAGUUGCAGUGUGCUAAAAAUGAGUUUCAGGUACUGGAUUCAAUUUGGUAAAUGUGGUGUCAUGUUUCUUUUACGAUUCCUAGCAAAUAAUUAACAAUAAAAGGUUCAACAACCUUUAACAUUCUUAUGUGUCCGUUCAAGUAUCUUGAUGAACAGUAUAAGUGACAUGUAGUAUGCAUGACACUAUAAUGAGGAACUGAUUUUGGUAAAUUAAGGGAAAGAAUAUGCAAAAUUAAGAAGGUAAACCAAAUGUACAACUUUUGAUUUUAACAUUUUUUUUAAAACACUGUGAGGGCAUACAUACCUUGCACCAUUUCAUAGGAUGUCGAAUGGUUGCGCAAAGCAGUAAUGCCAAUUUUUACCAAUUCAGGCAAUUCUUUUACAUACUGAGUUCCAGCAUUAACAUAAGCCAAGCUCUGGCGUGAAAGAGAUCCAUUUGAUGGCAUACGUGGGCUCACACGUACUUUUUUGUAAGUUUCCCACUCAGACGAGAGAGCUGAUUUUAUGCUGGACAACCGUACUCGAAAAGGCUCCAGCUUCUUUAGGGGUGGUUUCAAAGAUGAAAGGCUACAGCCUGUUGGUGGCUCCAGAACCAUUUUUACUUUACGAACUGUAAUUGGAAAAAUCUAGGUAGAUUUAAUAUUCAAACAUAUUUCUGAGAUAGAGAACCUACUGUGGACAAGGAUCAAGAAGAAUACCUUGCACUUUCAUCUUGCCAAUAAUUUUCUUAGGUUUUACACAAGCUCCCUCGCUGAUUAGUUCUGCUGACCUUUUCCUCAAGAGCUCUUCUUCCGAUUGUAACAGCACAUGCUUCAAUCUACAACAAAACAGUGGUCAUGUCAUACGUGGUUUGUUGCAUAAUAAACAAAAAUCAUUAGUCAACAGGUCACUGCAUUGGGCAUACUCACAAUAAAAGGACAGUAAUCACAUUAUUACACUAAUUUUGAUUGAAUUGUGUGUUAAUGCUUCUGCAAAACCACCAGGACACAAUUCAGUUCACUAAAACAGCCAUGAACUUCUCUUGCUUGCUGAUCUAAUUAAAAACUUGUUUCUGAUCAUUACCACGCCACGUGGAGACUAAAUAUGUAGUUGCCCACAAAAUAUACACUCUUUUAGCAUCAAUUAAAUUACUCCUCAUACAUUUGUUUUUCGUGAACAACGAAUUAGAAAAAAAUUACACACGUCCACAUAAAGUCCUCAAUUUUGGAUGUAAAAUGUAUCAGAAUGCAUGGAACUAACACAACAGAGAUACAACUACAUGCAUAAAGGGAAAGGAGUUUUACAAUAUCUUACCCAAAAGCAUCUCUCAGAACUGCACACUCAUUCUCUAGGAAGAUGGGAGCUUCCAUGCAUUCGCUGGCCCAAGCGUGAAGGCAUAGCCGAAUACAUGCAUCAUAAGAAAUGAAAGCAUUCCAAGAGCCUAGACCACUGUAUUGUUUCAGAUAACAGACCGAAAAGGUUCAAUGGUGUUACAAUUUUUAUUGUCACCACAAGAGUUAUAAACAUAGAUGUAUCAGGGAAAAUAAAUGUAAAAACUUGCAGAUUUCAGCUACCUUGCAUGGAAAGUAGGGAUUUUUGCAGGUAAGGAAUGCAAAGACACACCAGCAGCCCUGUCAUCAAUUACAUAUAUAACCAUCACACUUGAAAUUCUCCCAUGAAUUUACAUAGAGAUAAUUUAAAACACAUGCAGUUGCACAAACAGCUCACCAAAAACAAAACUUGCCAAAAUAAUAUACCUAAGAGAUGCAUCACAAGCUGUCUUGGCAGUAGAGUUUAAUGGGGUUCCAUUGCCAGUAUUUGGCAUAUCUGCGGUUGCAGAACCAUCCAAUUUUGUAGAGUGAGGGAAAAAAUCUGCUCUAGGUUGCCCCGAAACUUGGUUUGUUUCUGAGACAGAACCAGCCAGUGGUGGUGCACUUGGAACAUCAUCCGGUAACUUAUAAUUCUGGACUCCUGCACCUUGAAGAACCUGUAAGAGAAAAAUAGUAGCAUAUAAAAUUUGAUUCAUAAAAGGAAAAUAACAAUCGCAGCACAUAGCAGCACUAAAAGCAGUUUUGUGCACUACUACCACUAGAUAGACAUCAAUUAUUGCAGGUGCCUCUUGAGCAUGGAGGAGGAAAAGGCAACGUAGGUAGCUGACUGCGCUAGGACUUAAUUUAGCAGCCAUCCAACGGCUUUAAUGUAGCAUACAGAGGUAAGUUCAGACGAAAAACCUGUCUUGGUGUCUUAGCAUUUGGUUGUAGAUUUCCAUUGAAGUAGUAAACCUCUGAAGUUUCAUUCCUGAGGUCUGGCACACUAGCAUCGAUACUUCUGAUACCUUGUGCUCCUAAACUUCGAAAAUUACUCUGACGUUUGCCUGCAAAAUGUACAAUAUUCAGAAUGAAAGCACCAACAGUUACAUUAUCUUCUCCGUAAAAAGAAUUCACUGCUUUUGAAAACAACACACCGUUCACAAAUUUAUCAUCUUGGGGCGAUGUUUCAACCGAAUAACGUCCACCGUAAGCCUCACUAUCCGAGUCAGAGCUGGUAUCCAUGUCUGACUCUGAACCGAUUCCAGCGCCAUUUUUGACAGGCAUGCCUCUGGACACCGGGAUAAUCCCAGAUGGCAGGUGUCCACUUUGAAAUCUAGUUGCAGAAGGCAAUCCAAAGCCUCGACCUCCCCGGCUUUGGUUCCUCAAACCGACAACAUGAUCAGCCUGAGUCGGCAUUGAUGAAAUCAACUUUUCCGCUUCCUUGCAGUAUAAUAUCCUAAUCCAUCAAAAAAAAAAAUCAGAACAUCAGUUGCCUAAAACCAAGAAGAAAAACGAAGGGAAAAAAAAAAAGAACCUUACUUGAAUUCAAUGGUGUGAGAGAUUAAUAUAGCAGAAGGCCCACUAUUAAUACACAAUGCAGCAGGAAGAUAGCAAAUGAAACACCCUUUUCCUUAUUGGGAUUAAUUUGGAAAUCAAAUUAGAAAGAUUCCACUUUUAUUUUCUUUCAAUAUUUUCCUAAAUUGUCUUUUUUCAAGAAUCUGAGAAAUCAAAGAUUGUAAUCAGCUUCAAUUUUUUUUCCAUCCCAAUUCAAUGCAACCAGAAAGAUACGAUUUUGAUCCAAUAAUUCGUUAAAGAGAACAAAAAAAGAUCACUUUCCAUAUACAUUGAACCCACAAAUGAAACAAGGAAAAAGAAAAGGAAUUCUUGGCAACUUUUGCUAUGCAACAGUAGUGACACACGCUACCAAAUGUAAAAAUGCACUUACCAGUGUGUGAGAAGAAGCUGUAGAGGCUGCACUUUUUCUGCAGUCUUCUCAAUGGGUUUUCACAGUUACUUGGCUUAAACUAGCCUUAGUUUCCUUAAUCUGGAUUAUAGUCCCAAACAUGCUAGUUAACAAAUGUGGUUUAGCAUUUUGGGGAAAUUAAUAUAGUAUGGAGUUCUUGAAUUCGGGUUUGGAGGUUUUUUUUUUUUUUUUAAGGUUUAAUGAGCAAAGGAUGGAUUAGCACUAAAAAGGAGACGUUAAAAAUCAAAUGUUCGCAUGGCAGAAAUUAACGGAGACGUGGGGGUAAAUUAACGCGAGGGGAUGACGUGGCACCCGCAUGUUCUGUCUUUUGAUAACGGCCGGUCGUUAGUGGCGCGUCUUUGGGGCGUUUCUUUUUGGAUUACCAGUUGGUGCACACUCAUUUUGUUGCCUCCUUUCUGCCUUUGCUUCGUUGCUUGUAGUUGUAGGGAGCCUCUCUCUCUCUCACACACACACACUAGACACGUUUGUAUGUGAGUGAGAAAAUUGUUUGUGUGCCAUCUUGGAAAUCUAACCUAAGUGGGAGCCUGCUGUGUUCUUUGUUAAUUGCACUGCUUAAUCACUGAGAAAGUGAUGUGUAAGGUGCAAAAAAGGGGCAAAAAAUAUGUUAAUCUUGAAAUGGAAAGAUUUGGUAUUGUACUAUAAUAUAUAUUCACUUCCAUCCUUGAUUUGGUUAAACAAGAUUUUGGUGUGCAAAAGCCUUUCUCAGAGAAUAUUGAUAUCAGAGUCACAUGUCAUUCAUUCAACCGUGAUAUGAUAGUGUAUAUACUGACAAUAAUAUAUAUAAGAUUUAUUCGUACUUUAAUUGCUUCAUUUUGAUUUUGUAUUUUACUUCUGUAUAUGAGCAAUUUAUAGCUUGAGGGCUAAGUUAACGAUCAAAGCAGAUUCUUUGAAUUUCUUCUCACUUGACAAUCUAAUCUUCUAAACAAUACCGAGUAAAAGUUUUGAUACCUGGGAUGAAAUUGCCUUUUUAAAGUAAACAAUUGAUGAAGUGCAUGAACUUCUAUUCAAUGUAAGCCUUCCUUAAAAAUUUUCAUAAUUACUUAGUAGUGUUUUUGGUCAAAUGACGAUGUCAAAAUCUAAUCGGCUUUGCUUUUGGCCCAGUAGCCGGUCUCCGAGGUGCUAGUUAACACUUUUUGACCGUGAUAGUUCCCAAAAGUGCACCAUAUCAUAUGACUUUGACAACAUUGAAAAAGGGUUUAUUUUCUUGUCUUUGGGGGUCUAAAGUAGAACCCCUAGAAUUCUAAAGCGUUAGCUGUUAAGUAGUAGACUGGUAGUUGUUUACAACUAGCAUCUCUUUCCACUGGCUGACAAAAUUGUCCACCGCCAUCUUCCAAAUGAACAUGUUGAAGGGUACUCGAAGCAAAGCAAAAGCAAAAGCAAACACAACAAAACAGAGGAGCAUGUGAAAAUAAUUCAAGAAACAGAUCAUUAUUAGUAUAAUAAAUAACAGUAAUCUAUCACCAUCCAAGCAGGCAAAUGCUUAACACAAUUAGCAAAUGUGGGCCACUCCCACUUGAACAAGAAGACAGGAUAAUUGAUUCAAUUAGCUUGUCUACCGUGUGCACCUAUGGGGCGAGUUUUGCAUCGCCGCAGAGAAAUUAGUCUGACAUAAUUCAGGAAUAUGACAUAAUUCAGGAUAUUCCUUGCGUGAACCCAAAAAAAAAAAGACAGGGAUCAUCAUGAGGGUAAUUGAUUCAAUUGAGGACUACAAAAAGAUUUGGUUAACAGUUUAUGAUAGUAAACUAUAUUGGUUAAAAAGAUACUUGGGCGCAUCAUCCUUCAAUUAGAGGACAAAAAAAAUCUCGGGGGAAUUAUGCUAAAAGAUGUUAAACAGUCUCCUUUCUCAUUGGAAUCAUUUCACUGGAGCAGCUGUACACGGCUGCCAAACAGCACGCACCAUGCUGGUCUUCGGACACAAAACAGUUCUUCAGGAAUGAAUCCUUUUGUGAAUAUAAAACCGUGCGAGAAACCAAAUCAGGCUUAAAGGGUAUCUUCAAUAUUCUGUUGGAAGAGCGCCAACAGCUUCUAUAUUGCUUUCUUUAGUUAAGUUUCAAAAGGGCAGAUUCAUCUAGGCCACAUCUGCUUAAACAAAUGAAAGUCCAAAAACUAGCAAGUAGGAAAAUAUUAUCAGUAAAUAAAGAUUUUGAUCUUCUAUUUCAGAUUAUACAUCGACCUAAGAUCCUACUAUCCACAUAUUGACAACCAAAACUGAGUCAUUAAACUUUGACCAUCUCUUCUGACAAACCUUACUCAAUUUAUAUAUCUAAUUGCAACAAAAUCAUAGCGAUAUCCUUGAGUCCACAUCAAUCAUCAUCUGAACCAAGGACUUGUUGCUUAAUAUCUUCAAUUUUAGCAGCCAACUGCUCCCUGCUUUUCUGCAGAAACCAAGGUAAACAAAAAUAAUUUAUGAUUGCUAACUAGGAAGGUAAUGAAUAAUGGGGCGCCAAUUUGACAGGGAAACUACCUUGAAAAGUAGAUAGCGGGUACCGAACCAUACUGUGUAGGAAAGUCCCACGACUUGCAUCAACUUUGGAACCUGAAAUGAUAGAGAGUCCCUUGUGUCAGUAAUAAAGCCCCAAACGAUUCCCAAAACAUGACUAAAUGAGUUUGAGAAAAUUAACGCUCGUACAUACCAAAGGAAUCGAAUCAAUUGCGCCAACCACUGCAGUUGCUAUAUAGACAGCAACCAGGGCACCACCGCCUAAUAAGAGGAUUGGGUAUUUAUCGUCCGAAUCAAACUGCAAAAUAAUCAACAAACAAUUCCAAUAAGAAAGAACUACAUCUGGAGAAUUCAUUCUUAAUUUCUUGUUACCUUUCAUUCACGAGACUUUGUUCCCUUUUUUAUUUUUGUAUUGACCUCUUUUAGCAUAUUUAAGCUUUUUUGUUUUUUUCAGGUGGGCGAAGAACUCUUCUGAUAAAAGUGCUCGCCACGUUCAAAAGAAACAGUACAUAUUAAUCAGUUCACUCUUCUUCCUCGCAGAUGAACACAAGUAACUUUUUGACAGGCCACCCCACUUAAUUACCAGUGUCAACAAAUCACGAAACAAGAAAUCAGGAACAAAAAUUAGAUCACCAUCAGCACACAAACCUUCAGUGAGAAAAAAAAAAAAAAGUAAACAGAGAAAGUUCUUCAAAACGAAUACAGCAAAAAGACGGAGCAAAAGGAAAAGGAACCAAAAUAAUGCAGAAACUUUAUUUUAUCAUGAUAACAAAAGUUUCUGACUCGGUCAAAACCACUGACACAACAAUUCUACCUCUCACCUCUUUCAAAACUGCAUUACUACCCCCAUACACCCAGCUACCUUGGACUACACUAAAGCUUGAAACUUAAACCAAAGGCACGGAAAGGCCACAGAAAGGAAAAUUAGCAAAGAGAACUUCAAUUGGAGCAUCAUAAGAUAUACCAUGGGAUUCAUAAGAUAGAGACAGUGAGAAAGUAGAAGAAUGCAAAUCAAAGUUACAAGAUUGAGGUUGCUCAGGUAACCGCUCAGGAUCGACGUAAUUGCCGACGUAUCAUCAAGCAUCUAUAACUUUCCAAAUAUCAUAACAAAAAAAGUCAUCAUAGCAACCUGCUUAGUUAUUGAUUGUUCCUUGAUGAAAAAGAAAAAUGCACAGAAAAAAUUAGGAAGAGUUGGAAAACAGAAUAUUCACAAAAACAUUUACUAAGAACAGGAAAAUACGGGUGUUGGACAAAAUUGAUUUAAAAGAUGAAAGGCUGCUCAGGUAACCGCUCAGGAUCGACACAAAUUGUCGAAGUCUCAUCAAGAAACUUUCAAUAAGUUUUGAUUUUCAUCAUAGCAACCAAGUUAUUCUUGCAAAAUAAAAGAUGUAAGAUAAUUACAAAAAGCAAGUUCAUACUGCUGAUGCGUAUAAAACUUGGCUGAGCACCAAGGAAGAUGGAUCAUCCAUAAAGGAAAGGAAAAAGUUUGCAGCUGGUGUCACAUGAAGAAGAAACCACCUGUUUCAGUCCUCUGUAUUCAGGUCUAGAAGAAUAAAAAAUGCUAAGGUAAAAAAAUUCAAACUAAUAAAGGUGGAAAUUUGUCAACAUUUGGACAGAAAUUUCCAAUUCACGCAGACCACGAGUUAUUAGAUCAAAAGAAUGGACAAAAUUAGGUGAAUCCUCAUUUAAACAAAAAGGGUCCUUUAUUCUCCAAACGGAAAUGGCUUAAAAUAGGAUGACACUCCAAGCAAUCAGCAUCCUAUCUUUCAAACUGACCAAGUAAAAAAUUUGUAAAUAGCCUUCUGACAUGGCUUCAGCCUCUAAACUACAGAUAAACAGUUUGGCAGAAUUUGUCCUGAAAAAGAAUUAAGACUAAAAGAGAGGGCAACACUAAAAAUGUAAGCUGCUAGGAGCAAAACUAUCUAUGGAGUCAUAGUGGAGUUCUUCACUUUCAAUUGAGUUCAUUAAAGAUAGUUAUUUGUGCAACAAAGACCACAUAAUAUUAUUGUUUACAAGAACAUCCUAAAAGGAAAAUGAGGAUGAUCAAAAGCAGCUCAAACACAAUAAGCAAAUACAAAGAACUAGACACAAACCUUUAUGUUGAGCUUCUCUAAAAACUCAAAUGCCAGCACUUGAUUUUCUUCAGGAGAAUCUUCUUUUGGUUCUUCGUUUGGAAAUUUUUCUCCAUACUCAAAUGCCUGCACUUGUUUUUCUUCAGGAGAAUCUUCUUUUGGUGCUUCGUUCGGAAAUUUUUCUCCAUACACAUUCUUUUCAACUGACCUGGACUCUUCCAACGUCACCACACCAUCUGGUCCAUCUUUGGUAUAUUUACUAGCCCCAGUUGAAAUUUCAUCAGAGAGUGAUGAUCUGAGAGACAAGUUGGUGCAAUAUCGCAAUCCUGAGGCGAACACAUAUAAAAAUCAGUCGCAACUGUUCCUGAAUUUCUUUCUUUCUCUUUCUUUAACCCUUACAAAAAAUUUCUAAAUAAGUUUCCUAAUGCUACUAUAGGAAGUGUUUACAAAAACACAUUCCAUUUAACUAUUCACGUUAUAAUAAAAGGGUAAACAGACAUCACAUAGGUGUUAUUUUCAACACCAUUUCUAAUCAACUUAUUGAAUCUUUAAAGCAACCAAUCACAGUUCAGCUAAACCAUAUCCGUACUGACCAAACCAGAAAAAACAACGGGGUUAUUUACAUAAAUAUUGAAGGUUUUUUUCACGAUAUUAAAUAAAUUUUAAUACUUUAAUUUGGAUUCAAAGCAUAGAAAAUCAAUUUCUUGACUUCUUCUUUAUUUUCUCGCCUCUUGUCAAGGUUCCUGCUCUUCCUACGUUCUUCCAUAUGAAAGUUACUGUACCCUUCUCUCCUCCAGUCUUGUAGUGGUCACGCUCACAAGUCAGUGGGGAGAAGGUGGUCACUAAUAUUUAUAAGGUGAUGGCGGCAGUACUUUCAGGCCUACCAUGAAUUUUGCUGCUGCAAAUCGCCUCCCUAUUUUUUUUAAGGAUUCAAUUUCUCGAUUUUUCAAAUUCCCAUUAAAUCAUCAAUGUUGUGUAUUUUUUAUGAAAAAGUUUAAUAAUUUUAUUAUCAGUAACCCAUAAACAAUGAACUCAACCUGCCCAAAUCCCCUGAUAACAUGGUUUAUAAUCUCAUUUCUUAUUCUAAAUCCAACCCCAUGCCAUUGCACAACAACAAAACAAACAAAAUCUCCUCAUUGCUGAGAAACCCAUUGCACCAAGCUAAUCCCAAUAAUCCCAUUGUUCCACUCACAAAAAACGCCUGAUAAAUUCACAAUAAACAUCGAGAAAUGAUCCACGGAUUAACAAUAAAUAAGACUUGGGAUUGAAACAAUUACCUGAAGGGUUGAAAUGGGACGGAGAGAUUCUUGAAGCAGGGAAUUUGGGAUUAAGUUUCUGAAAUCGACUUAUUGGGGAAGCACCGGCAGUGAAGAGCCUACAAUAUGGAUGAUUCGAGAUUGAUCGAGCUGUGCAAAGCUCCAUUUUUUUCCCUUUUUCAGCUAAUUUAACUCGAUUAAGCCCUAGAAAUGACUAGGGAUUUCAGACUGAGGGAAUUUAUGGAGGAAUGUUAGUGAAAAUGUGAAACGCUAGGGUUUAGCGGCGGGGAAGAACAUAUCAACACGUGUUACCUAAUUGGUGGACUGUUGGUUUACUAGAUAAUAAAGAGGGGAGAAUAAAAUAAUAAAUGGUGUGGGUUUUUUUUUUUUUUUUUUUUUUUUAAAGUAAGUUUGUCGUUAAAGGAAAACAAAAACGAAAAUGAGUUGGAUUUGAAAGAUAUUACUAUAUGUUUUCUUCCAUAAUUCUGAGGACAAAAAAAAAAAGGAAAAAGGGACCAUGGAAGGGAGUCCUUCAAAAAGAUUGAAAAUAUCUAUUUUUGUGGUUUUGAAAAUUCAUUGAUUCUCAAAUUUCAAUCACUAACUCCCUUCAACCCCUUGUGUAUAUAUAUAUAUAUAUGUGUGUAUGUGUAGAGGCUUCUAAUUGAAGAGAGUGAAUAGAUCAAUAGAUACUUGGAUUCUCAACAAUUUUUUGAAUUAAAUAUGAAUAAAUAUGUAAAAGUGUCAUAUUGAUAUUUCUUUCUUGGAAUAUAUAUAUCCCCUGGCUUAUAACUAAUCCAAAUUUUGAAAAAAAAAAAAAAAAUCAUGUACUAAUGCACGGGCUAAAAGCCCAAAACCAAUAAUUAAUCACUUUGUGAAUUCUUUUUCUAAAUUUCAAAGCCCAAAAGUUUUGCAAUAGACCUCCUUCCGUAACAAAUUCCAAACUUCCAAAUUUCAAUCCAAAUACGACAACUGUCAACCCUCAAAAACCUUGUUAAUUUAUACCCUGCAUACCUGAAACUCUCGAGACAAUUUUUGUGUACGAGCUUAGCUUACUUUAAUUGCAACAAAAAUGGCUGAUUCCCAAAUUUUAACUCGAAAGCAAAACCUGUACAUGGCAAAACUAGCCCAUGAAUCCGAGCGUUACAAUGAUAUGAUGAAUUACAUGAAAAAUCUUGCAUGUACAGAGGUUUCUCCAUCUUCCGAUUUAACCCUGGAGGAGCGAAGGCUACUUUUCGUGGCUUGCACGAAGGUGAUUGGCUCCCUUCGUUCUGCAUGGCGAUCUGUGGCUUCCGUAGAAGAGAAGGAACUGGUUGAACAGUAUCGAGUCAGCAUUGAAGCCGAAAUUUCGAAGUUUUGUGAUGGGAUUUUGGAGUUGUUGGAUAAAUCCUUGAUUCCUUCAGCCUCCUCGAGUGAGUCGCAGGUUUUUUACCUCACAAAGAAGGGAGAUUACGAGAGGUACUUGGCUGAAAUUAAGGAUGGUGAUGAUUUUAACUUGGCUUCUGAAAAAGCCAUGGAAUCUUACAAUGCUGCAGAGGUGGUUUUCACAAACUUAUGCAUGCAAAAAUUACUUAUGUCCGAAUUAAUUAAGAACUCGCAAAGUUGUCUAAUUUUUCAUACAUACAUAUCUUUUUUGGUAAUAUUAAAAGGCAAGCUAAAUAGUGCAGGUCCCUUUUUCUUGAUGUUUUUGUUUAGGGAAUGAGAUUAUUAGGGUUUGACUUGUGUCCCCUAGUAACUUUUUCUUAUUAUUAAGAGAAUUAGAAUUGGCAUCCCUUCCCUAUAUAGAUUUUUUUUUCGCUAGAGAAAAAAAAAAAAAGAUUAUUAGGGUUGCAUGCCUUUUCAUGGCAGACUUGAUUGCUCGCCGGAGUCCAAAUUACUGGGCUUAAGUUUUAAACAAGUAAAUUAUCUCCCAAUCGAUCAAGACAAUGUGGAGGCUGACAUGCACAAUGUUGCUCAUAUGGAUGUUUCUUAUGUUUAUGUUCUGCACUAUUUUCAAUUAGAGUAGUAAAAGAGGGCAAAUUGUAUGAAAAGAUUUAAGCAUUUAAUGUAUCAUUUUUAUGGGCCUAAUUAUUGUUUAUAAUAAUAUUUUCAAGUUGAUGAAUUGCUUUAUUCACUUUUUUCGUUCUUUGGAACAGAGAACUGCGUUGGCUGGCAUUCGUCCAUCGCAUCCUGUAAGGUUGGGUCUGGCUAUCAACUUGUCGGUUUUCUACUAUGAUGUCCUGGAGUCAUCGCAAGCUGCUCUUGGCACGGCCAGUUUGGUAAGUUUAUUCCCCACUGUUCCAAUAAUAUGCAGCCAUUGGAAGUACCAUAAAAGAGUUACUUAAGACCUUUUUUUCGAUAAAAGUUUGCUUUAGUUUUUAGAGCUAAAUAUGCAAUCCGAUCCAAAAACAUAUAACAUUGCAAUCUUUUAAAUUUACUGUUUAUAAAUUGUUGCUCAAAAAAAUUUCUGAAAAAUAAAGGUCAGUUUAAUCUCAGUGUUUGUGAUGGAAGCGUCCAAGAGGUCUUGAUUAUAACCAUAUGCAGUCGAUGAAAUUGCUGGAUAUCUGUAUUUGAUCUCUUCUUGAACAAACUAAUAUCAUAACUCUACCUGCAGGUAAUCAUACAUAGCAAAAUAUCAAAUAUGCACAAGUAACUGGUAGAAAAUAAGCCGUGUCUUCUUAAAUGCAAUAAUACACACUUGAGUUUUGAGAAUGUGACAUGCAUUUACUUGCUCUUUUUAGGCUUCUAUACAUAUUGAACGUACUUGCUUCUUCACAUGAGCUAGUUGAAUUUGUUCGCUCUUUUUAUGCAGGCCUUAAGGGAUGCUCUUGCAGACAUAAAUUCAUUGCCUGAAGAACUCUACCAGGAAAGCACACAUAUGAUGCAACAACUCCAAGAUAAUCUCGAUCUUUGGAAGGAGCCUUGAACUUCUUCUUAGAUAUUGAGGAUUGUGAGUUAUUGUUAUUCAGUUUUUUUAAUAGGAAGAGUUAACAACAAAGCUUUUUUUCUUUCAUUUUCACACUUUUUUCUUUAUUUUUUCCUUUUGAGACAAGGCAGUUCAAUUGCAGUAACGAAUUUCUCAGCAAUGGUAUAUGCUGCCAUGAAGGAAAUUAAACCAAGUUAUUUUAGUAUUUAGUUUCCUAAUUCUUUUAAUUUCUUGUUUUGGUAUCUUCUUUGUUUAGUUUCCAUAUUAAUUUAAGAAAUUUUAAAUCAAUUUCAAGUAAGUUUUGAUUUACAAUUGUUUCUAUUUAGGAAGUUUUGCAAUCUAUAAAUAUUAGGAGUCUAGUACAUUAUUUUUUGAAGAGUUGAGUGGAGUUUCCAAGAAUUGAGUUGAGUCUUGUUAAGUUGAGUUGAGAGAAAAGUCUCUAAGUUGAGAGUUGUGAAUUGUCUUAAACGAAAUUGUCUUAAGCGAAAGGUAACGACUUGAUAUUAUUAUUAUUGAGUUUUGAGUUAAUAAAAUUAUUAAGUACUUGUUUGUGUGUUUAUUCUCCUCCUCUUCUCACAUAUUUUUAUAUGUGUUAGAAUUGUUUUCACUAUGCAUGUUUUUUUGAGCCAACAAGUGAUAUCAAUAUUCUAGACUUUGGUCCUAAUGUUUGUUCAUGAAAUUAAAGUAUGGGUUCGUAUUAUUUACAAUGUUCUGACGUUUUUAUCUUUAAUAAUAAAAUGAUUUUGAUGUUUGGGGUUGAAUGAUGAAGAUGUUUUUUCAAACUAUUGGACUUUGUGAUAUUAUCCAAAAAGGGAUUCAUGGAACCUGUAGAAAGCACUUUGAAAGGAAUAGACAGUUGGAUUACAAAACAUUUCACUAUCUCAGCACCCAAGUCCAGUUGCAUAUGAUGAAAAAAAUUCAUGCAUGCAAAGACGGCAAAGAAGGCUUGAAAAUUUUUGAUAAAUUAUUAUUGUGGUCAUGAUAGGAAGAAAUUUGUAAUGAGGAAGAAGAAAAUGAAUUUUUUGAUGAGUCAAAGAAAGAAAAAAAAUAAAAAAUUGUAGGUGCACAUGAAGAUGAGAAAUUUGUUCAAAAAAAAAUUUGCAAGUAAAUGAGGAAGAAACAAAUUUACUCGUGAAAUUGAAAUUGUGAGAAGAUCGUGGCAAGGUAAAAAAAUAUUGACUGGAAUUGAUAAUUUGUUUGAAAAGACAAAUCAAACAUUGGAGUUGGUUGAGAUUAAUUGUAGAGUGGAUAAAUCAAUUGAAAAUUGUGACACUACUUUAAGUGAUAGGAUUGUUCAUGUCAACAAGUUUGGGAAUUUUAAAAAUAUUAGUGGUGGCAAUUAUGAUUUUGUGAUUUUGGGAGAUUUUAUUAGUGAUAUGGAUCAAUUGAAUUAUAGAGAAUUGGAUGAAGAAAGGGUGGAUAUGUUUGAAUUUUUCGACAGAAGUGAUCAAUCCAAGAAUUGUUUGAGAACUAUAAGUUUCGUCUAUUGCCACGUGUGAAGAUGAAGUUGAAGACCAAUCAUAAGUUCAUAUUGAAUAUUGUGUUUACUGUGAUAGAUUCAAACUUGAUAUGAUAUUGGAAGUGACCAUAAUAACGAUCUUGAUUUAAAGGAGAUAAUAAAGGAAAUUAAACCAAUCUAUCUUAAUAUUUAGUUUCCAAAUUCUUUUAAUUUCUUGUUUUGGUCUUGUUUAUUUAGUUUCUAUAUUAGUUUAGGAAAUUUCAAAUCAAUUUCAAGAAAGUUUCGAUUUACAAUUGUGUCUAUUUAGAAAGUUUUGUAAUCUAUAAAUACUAUUAGUCUAGUACAUUAUUUUUGGAAAGAGUUGAGUGGAGUUUUGAAGAGUUGAAUCAAGUUUUAGAGAGUUGAGCUGAGUCGACUCUUGUUGAGUUGAGGAAAAGUCUCUAAGUUGAGUGUUGUGAGUUACCGUAUGUGAAAGGUUACAAUUGAAAUUAUUAUUGUUCAGUUUUGUAUUAAUAAAAUUGUUGAGUAUUUAUUUGUAUGUUUAUUUUCCUUCUCUUUGCAUACAUUUUUAUAUAUGUUGGAAUUGCUUCUGUUGUGCAUGAUUUUCGUGCCAAGAUUGCAUAAAUUGGUAUUUGAAGGGAUGACAAGUUACAACAAACAAUAUUUGCAUGAAAAAAGUUUCCGCCAACAAUUUCUGUAGCACUACUAAGUAAACAAGUACAAUAGACAGAUGGAAAUUGAAUAAAACCAGCAGCAGAUAAACACAAGCUUGAAUUCCAACAAAGAGAACAAAUUCCACAGACUAGAUUUUGGCAAUCUACAGAAAAUAUUUAAGCAAGUAUUGUGGGCUAUAAAAGAGAAGGUUACCAUUCUGACUAUCAUGGAGUCGUCGAUAGGGGUGGGCACGGGUCGGGUACCCGCCCCUAACAUGAUUUGGCUGACCCGACCCUAAUAUAUCGGAUCAACCAUUUUGCGACCCUAACCCGCUCCUAAUAUUUUCGGGUACCCGAAUAGCGGGUACCCGAAAAAAAGGGGCGGGUCAUAGGGUACCCGCCCCUAAAAAAAACUAUUUUUCAAUAAAAAAAAUUUAUUUUCUACUUAAUAUCAACAUGUUUUUCAAUAAAAAAACAUGCUUUUCCAAUUAAUAUUGGUAGAGAUAUUGUAAUUAAAGUCCAUACAUCACCAUUUUCACACAUUUCAUCCAAUAAUCAAAUCAAUCUCAUAAAUUUAGUACAUAUUAGAAUAUCUAAUGGACAAAACGAAGUUUCAUAAUAAUUUUGAGUACAUCACCAUUUUCACACAUUUCAUACUUCUACAACACAACAAACACAAGGAUAAUAAGUAUUUGGUAACUUCCCCAAGGAUAUUAUGGUACAAGACCGCAUCUCAAAUAAGUCAAUUGUGAAAUCAAGUUCGGAAAAGAAUUGAAUAGAACUAAUUAUUUUUGAAAAAAAUAUAACCAAAAUAAUGUUAAAAAUCUUCCCCAACUUUUUUACAUCUUUGGAAUAGACCUUAUGGUAUUAAGGUGAUGAAAAAGAAAAAUAAAUUUCUUACACUAAAUAAAAGAGACAAAUUUAAGAGAUAUAAUUGCAAAUGAAUGACACAAAUAUUUUAAUUAUCUAGCUAACAGAAAAUUGAGACUCCAAACAAAAAUCUUUGAUUGAAUUGAUGCAAGAUUUGCAGGAAAGAUCGAUGGAGGUAGAAUACAAAUAAAAAAGAUGAAAGGGAUGAACAAUUUUUAUAACAUAGUUUCACAAAUUUUUUUUUUCAUUUUGUUCAUGUUUCACCGAGAAUAUUCACUUUCUUCAAAAAAAAUGAGAAGAGUAGAUCAUAUAGGAUUAGAAUAUGAGGCUGCGAGCCACUUCACUUGCACUUAGGAUUAAAAAUUACAAAAUUAUAAAAUGAUCCCUACUUUUUUAAUAUUUAUAAAAUAUACCCUGCGGGUCGGGUACCCGCGGGUUUUUAUUUUUCUGAUCCGUAUCCGUACCCGAUUUUUCGGGUACCCGACCCUCAUCUCCCGUGAUUGGAGGAAUUGCUCGUGUCAAUGUUUACUGCCAUAGAUUUUUAUGUAGUCUGAAGAAAAACGAUACAGAAAGGGAGAGAGAUGGUUAAGGUGUUCUUGAGAGUUGAUGAAUAUAUUUAAGAGGAAGCUUAUUGCGGUUAUCGGGUGUAUCGAUUGGAUUGUAAUUCAAAGUGAAAGAAGUUGUUGCUGAUAUAUAGUACAGAACUGAAGAAAUGCACGUGGAUAAUAUGCAGAGUGAGAAAGUUAUGAAAGAGUAGCAGUGCAUAUUGUGUGCUAUAUAGCUUUGUUGAAAGAGAAUUGGAUUGAAGUAUGUGCAGAAUGACAAUAAUAAUAGUUUAAUUGAAAUAUGUAUGAGGUUUUACAUGCAAAUCAACAAAAAGAGAUAUAAAAAAUAUUAAUUGUACGUUGUAAUAAGUUUACCUAUUGAUAAUAGGUUAAUAUUUAAAAUGUAAUGUUAAUUUUUUUUUAUAGAUUACAAAAAUUAGGGGCGGAAAAGUAUGUUACAAAUUUUGAUAAUGACAAAUUCAUAUAUUUAUUAAAUUUAUUAGGGUUUUCAUUUUACUAAAUAUUAUUAAAUAUAUUAUUUAGAGAAUACAUGUUGAGAUAAAUUUGUUUUUAAUUAUUUUUUGUAAAUUUGAGUUGCACCAAUUGUGUAAUUGUUUGAAAUUUCGAAAAUAAAAUUUUUUUAUAUUGCUUUUUCUAGCGAAGAUGAUAUUUUUAAAGAAUGUAGAGGUAGUAAUUUAUCUUUAAGUUGGUAGUUUGGAUCUCAAAAAUAGACAUAGGAGAAAGGCACGUAAGAAUAGAAGAAGAGUGGCAAUAAAAUUUAUAUUCAUUGCUUUUGAUGUAAGAGGAACUUGAUACAGUAUGUUAUCAGGGGAAGGAGAAUGGCGAAGAAGUUAAACUUACAAUUUGGUAUAGUAUUAGUUGUGUUACAAAGUAUGGAAGUUGUAUUUUGUCUGUGUUACAAAGUAUGAAAGGUGUAUUGGAGCCAUAUGACAGAUAGCAGGAAAAUGUUAGGAGUGCAGAAAGUGUCAAGGAAAAUUUGUUGUGCUGCAUUGGUUAUAUUUAUUUAAUUCUAGUUUGACAGAAGAGAUAUUUAGAUAAGCAAAUUCUUUUUUGCAUUAACUUGCGAGGCUACACAUCAAAAUUACAGUAGAGCAAUGCAACUACUGUAGUGAACGUAGAAAUACACAUAAACUAUACUACUUAUGUAGAAGCUUGAUUCUAGGCAGUAUUUUUGGUCUUUGUCAAGCGUAUUCAGCAGCUGUGACUUCUUCUUCAUUGUAGCUUGUAAUUAUAACAUGAUUGGUGCCUUUGAUUGCUUUUUCAUGUGGAUUGGAUGGUUUGAUGUAACAAAGCAAUAUUUUGCCUUGGAUUGCUUGAGUGAUUUGAUGUAGCAGAUUCAUGUUCUGGGCAUAGAAAAUAGUAUGUAUGUUGUAAUUAAAAAUAUUAGUAAGGAAUGUAAGUUUAGAUAAAUGUUGUACCUUAUUGUCAAUUUGUUGUAGGUGACUGGCGUUGAUGCACAUCAGGGCUUCAGCUGCUUCUCCUAAUGUGACAGCGUGUAUCUUAGCAGUUGAGUCAGUUAUGAAGAGGGAGAUGCAAGCUCUAUAUGAUCAACUUGUUUGUUAGUUAUUAAGGUGACAAAUAUCUUGUGUUUAUUUGAUGUAUUUGUCACUUGCCUGGGAAUAGGGCUGAUUUCGAUAUCACAUGAUUGACAUUUCAAUCCCACGUGUUUAUGAAAUCAUUAGAGCGAAGACAUAACGGGCAGGCUGAGUACUAAAAUGGUCCUUCUAUGCAACUAAUCUCAACUCUACCUUUAAUCCAGGCUGUUGGUUUCUGCUGUUAUUUGUAUAGGAAAUGUUUACGUCAUUGUGGUGGAAAAAUUGUAAACGCGAAAUGAAAUGUUUGAGAAGAAUAGGGAAUUACGAUUCCUUUUGCAUGAAGGACUGUCUAGAUCUGUUGGAUUUGAUUGCUCUGGACUGGAGGAAUAAUAGUUCUUGGAUUUGCAAAGGUUUUUUCUUGAAUGACCAAGGCUAAAUACGACAGGUUGUUAUGGAACCUGAAAUAGUGUCGGUAUAAGUAAUAAGAGCUGUAGUGUGAAUUUGUUAAUGAAACACAAUAGUAAGACUAUAUAGUUACCAGUGAUUGAGUUUCAUUGAUUGUUGAACAUCAGGUGCUACCAUUAUGACAGAUGUUGGUUGUGUUGCCAAUGACAGAUCUAGGGAAUGUAUAGAACAAAUGAAGGAUUUUACUGUUAAAUUAAACAAUGCAUAGCAAAGUUUGGAACUCAGUAGAACUUACAGUUUUUUGUAGUCACUUUAAGCCUCAAUGCUAGGACAACAUGAGGCUCUUUUCUUGCUAUGAUAGAAGCACCUUCAUUGGUCUGGAAAUCGUUAUAAAGUGUCAUGAGCAGUGGCCUUUUCUGAGAAGCAGAAAUUUCUAUGGUUAGUACAUGAUUAAUAUAGUUUAUGUAAACUGUAAACGUUUUUAUAGUGAAUGAUACUGUACUGUUGAUUGAUGAUGAUAUAAUCUCUGGCUGGAAUUGUCCGUUCCUGGAAUUGAACUUCCUUUGGGGAUAAAGCAUAAAUCACAAUGGCAAGUAUAUCUGAAGUAAUUUUUUGGUUAAUUAUGUAAUAUGAAUAUAAAGAAUAAUGUUGAAGAGAAAAGAUAGAUAAAAUAUUAGAAUACUUAUAUAUCUAUCAGUGUGGGCGUAGACAUGGAGGUUGGACAUGCUGUCCAAAUGCAAAAAUGGCGGAAUGGUUGCAGUUUCCAGUUCAUUGAUUGGUUGAAUGAGAGUUGCAGUUGUCAGGAUCCAGUAGAAGGGAUAUUGUUGUGUUGAGGAUGAUUGUUGAUUGAGGCGUACUGUUGCAUUGGAUAUAUAGUAUUUUCUGAUUGGAAUCAGUAAGCCAUUAACAAGUGGAAUGUCAUUAUCAAAUAUUAUUGCCUGAACUGUGAUUCCCUGAAGAAUUUGAAGGUGGUUAGUUAUUUGUAAUAGAGUUAAUUCUGUAUAUAAAUCAUGUUAAAUGGAAAUAUAUGUACCUGUGAAUUUGAGAGUAGAAAUUGGCGGUAUCCUUUGGCCGGUGAGAAUCUGUUGGUGGUUCGAGUAAGGGUUGCUUCAAUUACCUGUAUGAUGGUGGUCCAAUUGGUACUAUAGGAGUUGAUCUCAGCUAAAUUGCAAGUUGUCAUGGCCAUUGUUUUCUGUCAACAUAUUGCCAUGAAUGUAAAAUAAGAAUAGAAAAAUUGGUUCUAUAUGUAACGGUAUGCAAGAAGAAUAGAAGAAUUUGUAGUUUUUUUAAGUUGUAAAUUAUAAAGUUGUAGAAAAAUGAAAACUGAAAGAGAUGUGUAGAUUGAGAGUGAGUGCACACCUGAAGGCUGUUUUGCGGAAUAUACUUGUGAAUAAUAACUGACCGUUUGUGGAAAGGAAACUUUUGGGUAUAUAUAAAAAGAAAUGUAGAUAGCAGGAAGUUAGUGCAGCAGGUAAAAACUCACUGAGUAGCAUGCAAUAGUAACUUGUAAGUCACGUAAAAACAUAGAGUAGAUAACUUGUUAGUGUUAUGAUUACGAGGCUGAAUUCAUCAUAGUAUAAGUUAUGUUAUGUGAUGUAUGUCAGGGUCAGUGAAUGGUAGUUUGUUUGUAAUGUUUCUUGACAAUUGUUAGUUUACUGAUAUGAGUAGGUGACCAAAUUCAAUGUGGUGUAAGUUUUGUUAUCUGUUGAAUUUCAAAGUCAGUGAGUGGUAGUUUGUUUGUAAUGAUUUUUUGAAGUUUAAUUGUCUUUCAAAGAUCUUUUGUUCAAUUCUUUUGCCUAAGCUGACGUGUUGCAGUAAAAUUAAGCAGAGUUGAAUGAUGAGUUCUGCAUAAAAUUUGCAGGAUCUAGAGGUUUCGGAGGAAAAAAUUAACUGUUAGGUCUAUCGAUCCACUUAGAAUGUUCAAUUAACAUAAUCUAUGUAGUUUAUCGUGAAGAUUGUUCUUAAUGCGUCAGAGAUGAUAAUAUGUCAACAAAAGAAAGAUUUUACAGAAUGUUGUAGAAUUUGUGUUUAGCAAAAGAUAUUUUCUGGUUUAAAUAGGAUAAUCAGUUAGAUUCAUUGAUGUUCUUCAUCCUCUUUGAUCAAUUUGAUUGUACAUUUUUGUGAGGAUAGCUGGUUGCUGAUGGGAAUGUUGAAGUAUGUAUGUCAAGAUUGACUCACGGAAGUUCUGCUGAUGUUUGGUGGGCAGAGGAAGCUGCAAUGAGGUUUGAAUAGUUGCUUAAAGGAUAGGCCUGUUUUUGUUGAAAUUUUCAAGGUUCAUUUGUCAUAGAUAGGAGAAAAGGUUCCAGUAAUUUGUUCAAAUAUGAAUUUGGUUGUUGGAAAUUUUUUUUUUUUUUGGUUUGUGGUGUUCCAGGAUUGGUGGUACAAGAAGGUUGGUUCUUAUUUCUAUAACACUGCUGUUGUUCACAGCUAGUAAUAUUUGAUGGAAUUGUCGCAUGGCAUUGACUUUGACAAUUGACUGUAUUUUUUUGCGAUUGCUCAUGCUACUGUAUAGCAUGCAUAACAUUCCAAAACAGGCUUUAAGGAGAUAUGCAUCAGAUAGUUUCACAUUGCUAUUCCAUAAGGGUUUUUUUCCCAAAGGAUACAAAAGAUAUAUUACUAUCCUUUAUGUCUGUCAAGCAAAGAUAAUGGAUCGUAAUAUGUUAACAAAAGAGAGAGUUUAGACAAUGGAACAAAAGCAGUGUUUAACAAAAGAUCUUUCCUGAUUUAGACAUGAUGAUUACUCAGAUUCAAUGAUAUUCUUCAACUUUUUUGAUGGACUUGGUUCUGCAUUUUUUUCUGGAGGGGUGCCUGUGGGCAGGAGAGUAGAAGCAUUCACGUCAAGAUCGACUUGUAGAAGUUCUGCUGAUGUUUCCUGUCCAGAGGGAGUUGCAUUGGGUAUGCUCUGUUGUUCAAAGGAUAGACUUCUUUUUGUUGGAAUCUUCAAGUUUGAACUGGCAUGGGUAGCAGAGACGCCUGCAGUAAUUUCUCCAAGUAUCAAUUUGGUUGUUGGAGAGAAUAAUUGUUCCUCAGCUUUGUGCUUUCCCUCUAGAACUGGUGGUGCAAGAAGGCUGGCUCGCGUUUCUAUACCCCUGUCAUUGUCGACAGCCAGCAAUAUUUGAGGUAAUUCUUAAACACUGUAAGCUUUCACAACGGUGUUCUUUUUCUGUGACUGGCCAUGGUAUUGUAUAUCAUAGGAGCGAACAAAGCAAACAAGUGCAUGCUUGCUGAUAGAUUCUGCAAGUUCCAUAUCUAAAGAUAGCCUCUGUAUAAUUUGUUGAGGAUAGAAAUUUUAUCAAAAUUUUUAUAUUUGAUUCACAAUAUGUUACAACAUUUAUACGAUAGAAUCAAAACAGAGUACAUUACCUAAACGAUACUGUAAUUUGCUAGCUAGCAUGAUAGAAGAUUUAUAGCAUAGCAAUAGUUUUCAUAAUCAGUGAUUUUUUAGAAGUAUGAUGUUAACAGAGAAUAAUGUGUGUUUUACAAAUAAAUUAAUGUAAAAUCUGCUUACAUAGUUGGGAAUGCGUGUUUUGAAGCAAAAAUAGCUGUUACAGUGGAAAAAUUGGUUAUGGAGUCUAUAUAGUUAAGAAAAUAAGUUUUCUGAAACUUGCGUGUUCAUAUGCAUGUUGAAGCUGAAUAGCAGUAUAAUGAAUCAGUUUUCAGCAUCUGGAGUAUAGACAAUGCAGUUCAUGCUUCCAGUCUGGUUAGUCAGGCUAAUUCCAAUGCGACACCUGAAGCAUCUUGAAGUUUGUUUAGCAGAAAAGCUGAAAAAGACAAUAUGUAACAUUAUUUACUAAGUUGUAAUUUUGAUUGAUAUUAUGUCACCUUAGUUCAACAUGAGUAGAUUCAUUGCAUUACGGGCAGGUUAUAAUCCAUUCUGUUUGAGCAUUAACAUUCUUGUGACAAUUCAUGCAAGCAGUGAACCAACACUUUCCUUGUCCAGGAAUGUAAUUUGUAGCACCUCGUAUCCAAGCAGUUUUUGUUAUAGCAAAACAUUCGAUGUUAUAAAUUGUGAAGAAUACUACCAAAAUUAUCAGUAUUAAUUUAUUAAAUGUUAGUAAAAUGAUUAUUGUAACUGAUAAAUGUGUAUUUGGAGUUGUAUGAAUGGAACUUACAGUGUCAGAUGAAGCCAAAACAUCACGUAUCUCUUUAACAUCUUCUUCUUUUGGAGGAGGAAGUAAGAUGGAAGGAUCUUUGUAUGUUUUUUCCUCAAGUAGUUCUUUUAGUUCUUCUUUAUGAUCAAAAUACCUGCACAAAAAGAAAUGAGUUACAGGGACCUAUAUAGGAAUAGUUACAUUGAUCCAAAUAAAUGGAUUUGUUCACCAUUGAUUCAGCUGCAUUUGUGGAGGUAAAGGAGGAUUGUGAAGGAAACAAGAUGACAAUCGAGAGGUCAAGGAAAGAGCUGAAAAAAGAAGAACGAAGUUAAAAGAUAAUAUAUAAAUAUAUGACAAUUAUUUAUAAGCAGUCAAUCUGUAUGUAAAGUAUACGCUUACAGUUAAAGGUUGUGACUUUAACCCUCAUUGCUAUGAUCAAAGGUGCUGAACCAAUGUUGUUCAUAAUCUUUGUUCCAUCAUCUUUUUCAAAUUCAUUCCAAAGAGUGAGGAGCAUCAGCUUUUUUCUUCAAAAAAAGGAAAAUAAAUUACAGUAUAUCAUAUAUAAAUUCUCUGAAGUUACAUUGAAGUUCAUAAUAAUAGUAGUUAACUGUUCAUUCACAAUGACAAAAUCUCUUGUUGUGUUGUUGCUCUGCUGUUUCUGAGGAAAAGCAUGCAAAACAACUGCCUUCACAUCUGUGUUAACAAAGAGAAAUAAUAAGCUGAUAAUAAUUUUCUUCAACAUAGAAACUGUGUUUUUAUAACUGAUAAGGUAUGAAAUGUGUAUUUGUAUUAUUAACUUACUUUGCAGAUUUUCUGUGUCUGCAUAUCUAUGCAGAUCAUCAAACUGAGUCAGCUCAAAUGGACAUGGCAGUGCUGGUACAACUGGUUCUUCAUAAGGCUCAAUCAAAGUGUCAUUGUUAAUAGCCCAUGAAAAGAGAUAAUUAUCAAGUUUGAAGUUGACAGAAGUAUCCAUAAGUAUAGCAUUUGAAAUAUAAUAUCUCCUGAAUGGCCAAAGCAUGUAGUAAAACUGCCUGGUGGAAGCAUCGUAAAGCACAGCAGAUACUCUUGUUCCCUAUGUAUUCAUAUAUGUGAGAAAUUGUUAUUUAGUAAUUACGGUGACAAAAAACAGGUACAUAUUAUAUAGUAUGUUAUAGGGGUUCUGUCAAGUCAAGUCGUUCGCGAGCUUGGUAAAAAGCUUGACUCGAACUCGAUACGAGUUCGAGCUAUUCGUUACAUUUAACGAGUCGAGUUCGAACUCCUAAAAUAACUACUCGAGUGCUCGACGAGCCUAAUCGAGUUUUCGUAUAAUAUAUAUAUUAUAUAUAUUUUAAGUAUGGAAUGACUAUUAUGGGUUGUGUUUUAAUAAAUUUACAUGAAAUAAUGUUUAGUUAAAAAAAUGAUGGAUGGCAAAAUGGUAAUGUGAUAAAUCUAAAAUGUAAAAAAUUAAAAACAAGAAAAAAAA
RNAcentral lists this long non-coding RNA (126234 nucleotides) under Coffea arabica (coffee). RNAcentral's name for it is "long non-coding RNA (CARA_LNC005245)". The stretch from base 83534 to 83615 matches the Rfam family "tRNA". The record is from RNAcentral. Lineage: Eukaryota; Viridiplantae; Streptophyta; Magnoliopsida; Gentianales; Rubiaceae.